GCUUCAAGAAAGAACUUAUUUGUCUUUUAUUCCCAUGUUUGAACUAGUACAGGUCGAGGUUACACAUGAUGGUGCACAUCACUUUAUUUAUCAUCGUUACAUUAUGCUCCAUUUACUAACAAUGAUGAUUCACCCGUCUAGUAUUACAUCUCUUCAUUUCAUCUGCCACUGAUACUUAUAACGUCGCUCCCAGAUGGUUGUUGUUGUGGAUAUUGUUUGUAUGGGGAAGGUUCUUGUGAUUGCUGGGGUGGGUAUGGUAUUGGAAAUUGUUGUUGGGAAAAUUGUUGUGGUGGUUGCUGGGGGAAUUGUUGUUGGGGUAAUUGUUGUUGUUCGAGGUAUUUUUGUGGUUGGGAGAAUUGUUGUUGCGGUAAUUGUUGUUGUUGGGGGAAUUGUUGUUGUUGGGGGGAUUUCUGUUGGGGGAAUUAUUGUUGGGGAAAUUGUUGUUGCGGGAAUGGUUGUUUGGGGAAUUGUUGUUGCGGGAAUUGCUGUUUUUGGGGAAAUUGUUGUUAUUGGGGGGAUUGUUGCUCGGGGAAUUGUUGUNNNNNNNNNNNNNNNNNNNNNNNNNNNNNNNNNNNNNNNNNNNNNNNNNNNNNNNNNNNNNNNNNNNNNNNNNNNNNNNNNNNNNNNNNNNNNNNNNNNNNNNNNNNNNNNNNNNNNNNNNNNNNNNNNNNNNNNNNNNNNNNNNNNNNNNNNNNNNNNNNNNNNNNNNNNNNNNNNNNNNNNNNNNNNNNNNNNNNNNNNNNNNNNNNNNNNNNNNNNNNNNNNNNNNNNNNNNNNNNNNNNNNNNNNNNNNNNNNNNNNNNNNNNNNNNNNNNNNNNNNNNNNNNNNNNNNNNNNNNNNNNNNNNNNNNNNNNNNNNNNNNNNNNNNNNNNNNNNNNNNNNNNNNNNNNNNNNNNNNNNNNNNNNNNNNNNNNNNNNNNNNNNNNNNNNNNNNNNNNNNNNNNNNNNNNNNNNNNNNNNNNNNNNNNNNNNNNNNNNNNNNNNNNNNNNNNNNNNNNNNNNNNNNNNNNNNNNNNNNNNNNNNNNNNNNNNNNNNNNNNNNNNNNNNNNNNNNNNNNNNNNNNNNNNNNNNNNNNNNNNNNNNNNNNNNNNNNNNNNNNNNNNNNNNNNNNNUCUAUUGUGGGAAUUGCUAUUGGGGAAAUUGUUGUUGGGGGAAUUGUUGUUGUUGCGGGAAUUGCUGCUGUUGAGGGAAUUGUUGCUGGGGGAGUUAUUGUGGUUGGGGGAUUUGUUGUUGGGGGAAUUGUUGUGAUUGCUGGGGGGAUUUGAUGUUGUUGGGGGAGUUGUUGUUGGGGGAUUUGUUGUGGUUGAGGGAAUUGUUGUGGUUGGGGGAAUUGUUGUUGUUGUGUAUGCAAUUCCUUGCCUAUAGGGCUUAGUUGCCUAGUGGCACUGGCGUUGUUCAUUGUCAUGGCAAGGAGGACAAAUAUGAUGAAGGUCUUCAUGUUUGAUUUGUAUUUACUAUUGCUCACUUGUCUUUGAUGUUUUAGCUCCAGGUGCUUGAAGGUUGGAUGAUGGAAGAGACCCACAUGGUGUAGUAGCAUUUAUAGCUGGCAUCGCACAUUUUCUUUUCAUCUUCACACUCUUUUCUUGAAAAAGUGCUCUUAAGCUUAUCGACCUCAUAAUUUGGUAUGUUGUGUUUGAUGGCACUACAUACUAGCGUGAUUUUGGAUUGUUCAUCAUAGCUGAUUGUUCUUGCUCAUAUCAUCUCGGUGUAUCAAAUGCUUGAUAACGACGAAUGACUCAUCGUAUUCACUUUACACUUCAAACAUUGAUCUAGAUUUUAUCCAUCUUUCUGAUUUAGCUUGUGAUGUUCUGCAUGUUGUUAGGUGUAUCCAGAUUGGCAUAACUUAAGGGAACUAAGUUUGUAAUCUUCACACUCGCUUCUUGAAAAAGUGUUCUUAAGCUUAUCAAUUACCUAAUAAUUUGGUAUGUUGUGUUUCAUGGCACUACUUACUAGUGUGAUUUUGGAUUGUUCUUCAUAAUUGAUUGUUCUUGCACAUAUCAUCUAGGUGUAUGGAAUGCUUGAUAACGACAAAUGACUCAACGUAUUCACUUGACACUUCAAACAUUGAUCUAGAUUAUGUCCCUCGCUCCAAUUUAGUUUGUCAUGUUCUACAUGUUGAUAGGCGUAUCCUGAUUGGCAUACUUAAGGGAACAAAGUUUGUAAUCUUGUGUGAGUCCUUGAGAUAGAUCACACUAUUAAUGUGAAGAUUGUUCUAGACACUAUUUUUUCUGAACUAACUUUAUAUAUUUUGCACAAUAUAUUUGUAUGAUGGAUAAGCAUCCAUGAAUCAUCAUACUACCUUUUCGUAUGGAGCGGUUGUAUUGUCAUAUGAGUUACUAAUACAAAAACAAUUAUUAGGGCUUUGCGCAGCUUGAUUGAUUCACUCCACAUAGACAUGAACAUUUCUUUUGUAUUUCAUUCGUUAGUUAAUCUAAGUUUUUACAUAUUGUUUCAAAUUGUUCAGAUAGUUUCGUGGUUUCUUUUAUUGAAUUUAUAACCACCAGUAUAGGAAGCUAUUAGUACUAUGAUUGUUGAUACUGAUGCAGAACAAAAAGGGAAGAGAAAGCGAUAAACAGUUGAUUUUGUCUGGUAAUUAUAUAAGUGUCUUUUUUUCUAUUUUCUUGUAAGCAUGGAACGUACAAAAAAGAAAUGAAAUUAGUUCUCCUUCUACACGAUACGUGAAUAAACUAAUUUAGGACCUAUCAUGGCUAACUAAAUGGGAAGCAGCCUGUCGCCAUCAUGCAGCAAAAACAAGCCAUAAUGCCGUACACUUGGCUCAUGCAACAUGCACACGUGAACAAAAGAAGAGCCUAGCUAUUGGUAUAUUUAAAUUUGUUUUCCUUCUCUUAUCCUUGGCGAUAUCAUUCAUACAUAUGUUUGCACCAAAUUAAUUGACUUGUCAAUGUCAUGGACCAGCUAGCAUACUGCUGGUUUUGUUUGUGUGGCUUUAGGUUUUGCGAAUCCUCUACAUAUGUUUUUUUUCAUUCUUUUGCCUUCUACCACUUAUUUUCAGAUUGAUGGAAAGCGAAGUUUCUGAAACAUGGUUACCGAAAAAGGCUUUCGGCCUGCUUUCUGAAACAUGAUUACAUCCUCCUCCAUGCAGCUUUGUGGAGGCUAAUUAUAAUUGGAACUCCUAUUAAUCACACUGGAUGUCAUGCCAGAUUCAUGCAAAAUUUGCCGGAUCGAUUGACCAGGAUUUGACCCUUGGAUUUUUAAUCAUUUACUCCCUCCGUCCGGAAAUACUUGACAUUGAAAUCGAUAAAAAGAGAUGUAUCUAGAACUAAAAUACGUCUAGAUGCAUCCCCUUUUUUCCAUUUUGAUGACAAGUAUUUGCGGAAGGAGUGAGUACGUAGUAAUUUUUGUUGUACAUGGAUUAGUCAAGGUAUAGUCGAUCCACCAUCAUCACUGUGAAUCAGUAUUAUGGAGUCAGAACAUGUCUUUGUCAGAGAACGAAGUAGGAGUAACAAAUGAGACAGGAAAAAGCAAAAGAGACCUCACUCUCACACACUCACUAUCCACCUGCCUCAUGUUAAUGUUGUGUUGAAAUACCUAACUAGCUAGCUAGCAUAUCAUAGGUUGUCCUUCUCUAAAAAAACUAUAGAAAGUUCUUUGCAUGUAGUUAAUUAAGCAAGUGUAAUUUUAAAAGAAAAACUAUUCUGAAGUUGUUGGUCUGUUUGCUGUUGCUAUUGUUUUUGUUGUUCUCGAUACAGGAUUUCGCACUGUUUAUAAAUAAAGCAACAUCCAAAGAUGUACAAGGCCAACUGAUACAAUAUGGUGAGGUAGCCCUUACAAAGCCGAUCUUGAGAUAUCGGACACAAGGAAAAAGCACGCGACUACGCUGCCAGCAACAAGCACCGGAAGAACUAAACAUCCUCACGCUACGAACUAGCACACCAAAGCUCCACGAGAACGCCCCCAAGAGGGAGAACAGCAUAGAGCGUCGCCGCUUCCAAGUCCAUACCGGACAAAGGUCUACACCCGGAGCCCUGACACUGAGAUAAGAAGCACAACGACGUCUUCAAGAAGAGUGUGGCACCCAUGAGUGUCGUCGGCAGCGGCGCCCAGGCAUAGAGCUUUCGCUAGGUAACUCACCUGUGCCACCAUGAGGUCCUCAAGAGUAGCGCCGCGAUGUUCGAUCCCCAGAUCUUGAUUAGGAUGCUGCCCCUCCGAGAGAGAGGGCACGUCUGAGCUACUAACCGCAAUACCUACCGUUGCCCACACAACCCGGGAGGGGAGCCACCAUCACCGGAAUAAUGCCCGCCAAAGAGCAACCAUGCGGCCCGCCAUCAGGGGCCGCCAACCCAGUAUCCCUGUCGCGAGAUACCAUACGCCACUCACAUCACAUAGCAACCAACCACGGUAAGAAGAGCGACAAGACUCCAUCUACUCCUAGCCUAGCCUCUGUCCCAAUGUUUGGUUAUGCGCCUCCACCGUAGGACGCACCCAUACAUGCAUCCCCAGCCAAUGCUCUGUGGACUAGGGGGGCCACUGGCAAGCCAGCCUCGAGCCCCUGGUUAGGCGAUCUCACACGACGCCAUGUUCGUGUUCUCCGACACUGAUCCGCUCAUGAAUGCAACGCUAACACAACCAUCACCACCGAUCACCACCCAAGCUGGCUCACUUCACAAUGCACACAUCAUGGUAGGUAAAGCCUGACAUCAGUCACCUAGCCAGUGACUGCCGACGGCCAUCAUCGAGGCCAGCUCAGACGCCAAGUCUGCGAACUGAGGAACUGGUCCGCAAGCCGGCAUAAUGUAUCCCUGACAACCACAGCCAUGAACCAUCACCGACGCUACAACGUGUGGAGGUGCCUCCCCCAACCUAGCUUCAAGCAUCCAGCUUGGCUUGAUCGGCAGUGACCUAGAGCCAAGAAACACUACUCCAUGACGACUAAGCAUCGAACCUCAUGUGAUGAGAAACCAACCCUGACAAGGACGACCAUAUCAAAAUCCAUGCCCGGUAGCUAGUCUGCCGACGUACGCACCCAGACAAGGCGGGCGCCGCCCCAUCAAGAGGGGNNNNNNNNNNNNNNNNNNNNNNNNNNNNNNNNNNNNNNNNNNNNNNNNNNNNNNNNNNNNNNNNNNNNNNNNNNNNNNNNNNNNNNNNNNNNNNNNNNNNNNNNNNNNNNNNNNNNNNNNNNNNNNNNNNNNNNNNNNNNNNNNNNNNNNNNNNNNNNNNNNNNNNNNNNNNNNNNNNNNNNNNNNNNNNNNNNNNNNNNNNNNNNNNNNNNNNNNNNNNNNNNNNNNNNNNNNNNNNNNNNNNNNNNNNNNNNNNNNNNNNNNNNNNNNNNNNNNNNNNNNNNNNNNNNNNNNNNNNNCAACUCCGGUCACUGGGCAGCUGCACCAAUGCCAACCCCGCCUCUCCAUUGACACCCCCCGCCUAGAUCCACCGCUGCCAGCCAAAACCAUGGCCACCACCCACCGCCCCUUGUCAUGCCUCCACGCGCGUGAGAGGGACUGUCGAAACCCACCAUCGCCAGCUGUCACACUCAGCAGAGAGAGAACCGCCACCAUCACCCGGUGCCGCUUGUCACAACCUGGCAGCCAGAUCCACACUGCCACAACCAUCACAAGCCCGCCUACACAGUAGGAUUUGCUAGCUUUUACAAUGUCUGCACAAUUCUUCUUUCCUGUUUUCUCCAAGAUGUUGUUUUUGAAAUUUGCGUGCAGGUUUAAGGAAAGGAGGAGAUCACUAUCACCACCACCUCGUGGAAGGGGACGUCAGCAUUAGUCAUCUUUACCAUCAUCCAUCGCCAUCCCAUUGUAAUACCAAACCCUUCUGGAUCCAUACAUGUAUUAUCUGUGUGUUUCAUACAUGUUUACCACCACUGUUUCCACUAUUCGCACGAUGUUUGUCGUCUCCAUGUGUGAUUUGUUUCCUCAGUUCUCAGGGAUAUGUACGAACCAUGGUAUUAUAGGAGCUGAAAUGUUAAUUAGGGAAUGGGAUUCUCUAUGUUUAUUUUAAAAGAAUUCAUGAAUUUUGUGAAGGGGCCCCACUGAUCAUUUCCAUCGCGAGGCCACGAGGCAUAUUAUCGAGGUUGUAAAGUUUAGGAUGUUGAGGUCACUUGAGGUGAGAGUAAAAGACUCUCUACCUCACCUUUGCAACUGAUAGGGGCAUAAUAGAGAGCCCUCGAUAAGGCAACUUCCAUGGGGAAACCCUUAAUUACCGUAGUGAGAACUAGAGUGGGGAAGCUACAGUGAUGGCCUGCGGGGUAUGAAGUACACCUCGAGUAGAACAUAUUUUGCACCCGGAUAUGCCCAAUGAAAAAUAUUAAGAGUGACUCAAGUAUCUAGCUAAGAAUUGUGAAGUGGCAUAUGAUACCUUAGACACACUGCAAUGGGAAUUAUGGUGUCCCUGAGAACGUUUCAAUCCUCCACCGUUUAACAUCUUUAUUCGUUCUGCUAUGCUCUUUUAGUUCUUUUGCUAUAUUUACUUUUGUUCGCACUAAACUUAGAAGUCAAUAUAAUCUUCGCCGUUCACUUUUCUUUGUGUCGAAAACUAAGAUGCAGGCACAUUACAAUAAGUGUCUCUUACGGACAAAGUCCAAUUCAUGUAUUCCCUGUGGGAUUUAUACUCAUACUUAAAUAGGUGGAAAAAAACCAUGUGCACUUGCAGAUCAUCAAGCUUUUUCUGGCCCUAGGUGCGGAGUGCUUUUGGGCCUGUAUUACGUUUUAUUUUAUUUUGUGUUUAUGGGUGAUAAUGUGCGCCUCCACAAAUUGUUGUUUGACCGCGGCAAUGGUGGACUCCCUACGUAGGUGUGUAUCGAGUGGAGGGUUGAGGAAGCCCAUUAUGAUUUCAGUUGAUCGUAUGCAAAUUAAGAUUUUUGACUCAAGUUGAGGGGGUCAUUUUCCUUCAAAUUUAGAACCUUGUUUGAUGGGUCAUGAUUUGUGAGAGGAUACUUUUUGUCCUGCUAAGAUUGUUAUUGGAGAUAAUUGGUAGUUAAACUCAUUUUGUGAGUGGAACAUCAAAGGCGAAAAGUGCAUAAGUAAUCAAUUAUUCUCACUAUAAAUGAACAAUGAAAUCUGGGAUGGAGUUUGUCGAAAACAGAAACACCUAGUUUGAUUUAGAUCCAUGUCAGAUAAGAUGGUUGCAAACUCAUGUGGCUCACCAUUGAAGUGUUAAAUUGCAAUUACUCCUUACUUCCUAAUUAAUAGUACUUCAAUUUGAACCAAGUUUCACACACGUGAAGUAUGUUAUAUUGUUCAUAAUACUACACUUUAUAAAUAAGUAGAUAGCGCAUAACAUUGAGGUUGUAGCUAGGGAUGAAAAUCGAAAUAUGGCAUGAAUGUAACAAUUGCCAGCAAUAUGCUUUAGAAAAGAAGUUAUUUGUCUUUUAUUCCCAUGUUUGAACUAGUAUAGGCCGGGGUUACACAUGAUGGUCACAUCACUUUAUUUAUGAUUGUUACAUUAAAUGCUCCAUUGACUAACAACGAUGAUUCACCCGUCUCGUAUUACAUCUCUUCAUUUCAGUCCACCGAUACUUAUAACGUCGCUCCCAGUUGGUUGUUGGUGUGGGGAAGGUUGUUAUGAUUGCUCGGGGAAUGGUUGCUGGUGUGGGUAUGGUAUGGGAAAUUGUUGUUCGAGAAUUGUUGUUUCUGUUGCUAGGGAAAUCAUUGUUGUUGCGAUAAGUAUAUGUUCUUCCAUGAUCUAGAAAAUAAAAGACCUUGCUCUUACCGUCUCUGCAUGUCUGUCAUCAAACAUCAGUAAACUUGUUAAAAUUAAGUGAAAUGGUUCAACUUUUGGAUUACAGUUCUUGACGCCUUGAAGCGAAUUUGAUGAGUCGGGUCACUCUACGAAUUUCACUUCGUCUUAUCACUUUAGAAAACACAACAAAGUUGUUUCCAGAAAAAAAAAUCCAUGUGCAAAGCUUUACUAAUUAUCUUGUACAAACUUCAUAUACUUAGCUCUACACAAACUGUAGAAAGUUCCAAACCUCUGCCGCAAAAAAGAAUGAAACCUUGAUAAGGAUUUGACAUGUAAAGUGAAAAAGGUGAGUCAGUUUUUCCUCAAAAUAAAAUACCAAGCACCAUGCUUUCGUGACAAAUAUACGAUCUUUUGCACAGCUGACCAAACAUCUUUUGAUGAUCAAUACUAUAUUAAACUUGUGGCUAGUGCAACUUGAAAGAAUAUACAAAAUGAUCCAUUUCACAAGCAUGCAUGCAAAAAAAUUGGAAAAUGAAUGAAAAAAUUAACCUCUAGCUGGAAUUUUAUUCAAUCAUCCCAUCAAAGCUGGUACAACAACACUGACUGCAAGAUGUCCACAACCCAACACGUCCAAAACAAAAAUAGAAAAAAAAUGCAAAGACGGCAAGAGGUUAUGCCAUAAAUGGACUUGUGCCGCAUACUCAUCACAAGUACAAAACACAAAUAGAAACAUCAAAGACAUGUAGCAGUAGUCAAGAGAAAUUCACCAUAAAGACACAUCCCCAUCCUUUCCCUUACCGCCAUUGCACCGGCUAGCGCCAAUGAACAUCUCGAUGGCAGCAGGAUCAAUGCCAGUGAAAGGGUUUCACUGACUUCAUCUUGCUGAGGAAGUCCAUGAAAGGAAUCGACAUGAAAGAAAGUGUUUAGUUAGUUCAAAUAUGGAUAUAUAUCCUUAGAGCAUCCUAAUGAAUGAGAAAACCUAUCUUAGUCAUUCAUCAACAAAAGCCAUGUCAAUGCGCUUGGAUGGAUCACACAUUCAGGAACAAAAGGCCAAGGGGGUGACAUAUAUAUACAGUUUAUUUGCUUGGUAACUUUGGUUUAGCACUGUCUUUUUUCCUUAUCCUUGUCCAUUUUAUCCGUGCAGAAAAGAGCCAAACGAGGAAGCAAAGGGAAGUGUUUGAUUAGUUCUCCAUGAAACAAGAAUAAAUGAAUUUCGGACAAAGUAUGGUUGAGCUACGAAAUCCAAAGAUCAACCUAACUGAAUCGGGAAACCUGUCUCCAUCAUGCAGCAGACAAAAGCCAUACUGCUGAUACACUUGGCCCAUGCAACAUGCAUGCAUGAUCAUAAGGAGAACAACCAUUAUUCUCUAAUUUAAACGAUUAUCCGCCUCGCAGUAAACAAGGUCCAGAUAUAAUGUUCAUGCUCAACGCAGGCACUAAAUAACAAUUAUUCAGGUUCAUCACUAAUCCUGAUGGUAAUCGAAGAACGAGCGUGUCGAUGGCGAUAACAUCAACCUUGGAACCAUUUCCCACACGCAUCGUCAUUUCGUUCUUCGCCAGCCUCUGUCUAUUUCGUGGGUCCUGCUUUGUGUUGCAAAUGUGAGCAACCGAACCGGUAUCAAAUACCGAGGCACUACAAGAAGAGUUGGUAAGGUACACAUCGAUAACAUAUAUAUCAUAUAUAUCUUGUUUGGCGUUGGCCCCUUCUUGUCGGCCAGGCUUGGGGCAAUUCCGCUUCCACUGGCUAGUCUCGUUGCAAUAGAAGGACUCAACUUCCAACUUGGGCCCAGCCUUUGGUUUAUUCAAGGGAGGGUCAACUACUUUGCCACUCUUCUUGGAGUUACCAUUCUUUCCCUAGCCAUUCUUCUUGAAACUAGUGGUUUUAUUGACCAUCAACACUUGAUGCUCUUUCUGGAUGUCUAACUCAGCGACUUUCAGCAUCGCAAACAGCUCGGAGACUGACUUGUUCAUCCCUUGCAUGUUAUAGUUUAGCACAAAGCUCUUGUAGCUAGGUGGUAGUGAUUGAAGAACUUUGUCAGUGAUCGCUUCUGGUGGGAGCACAACUCCCAACUCAGCCAGACGGUUGUAAUACCCAGACAUUCUAAGUAUGUGUUCACUGACAGACCCGUUCUCCUCCAUCUUGCAAGCAAAGAACUUAUCAGAGGUCUCAUACCUCUCGAUCCGGGCAUUCCUUUCAAAAAAGAACAUCAACUCCUGGAACAUCUCAUAUGCCCCAUGACGUUCAAAACGUCUUUGAAGUCCCAGUUCUAAGCCAUACAACAUAGCACACUGAACUACUAAGUAGUCAUCCACAUGCACUUGACAGGCGUUCAUAACAUCCAUAGACGCCGGAGGGGGUUGCACACCAAGCGAUGCAUCAAGGACAUAAGCCUUUUGGGAAGCCGUGAGGAUAAUCGUCAGAUUACAGGCCCUGUCUACAAAGAUACUUCCAUCAUCUUUCAGCUCGGCUUUCUCUAGGAACGCAUUGAAAUUCAGGGAAGCUAUUGUGCGAGCCAUUGAUGUACAACAUAAAUUUGCAAAGUUAACUUAGACUAUUGUUCAUGAUAAAUGAGUUCAAAUAAUCAUAUUACUUAAACGACCCACUCAAAUUGACAUCCCUCUGGCCAUCCGAGUGUAAUAUGAUGCAAAUUCAUCAACCCAAGUCCGAUCAUCAUGUGAGAUGAGGUGGUUUCAAUGGUGAACAUCUCCAUGUUGAUCGUAUCUACUAUAUGGCUCAUGUUCGACCUUUCGGUCUCUUGUGUCCCGAGGCCAUGUCUGUACAUGCUAGGUUGGUCCAGUUUAACCCAAGUGUUUUGCAUGUGCAAAACUGGCUUGCACCCGUUGUAUGCGAAUGUAGAGUCUAUCACACCCUAUCAUCACAUGGUGCUUCGAAACGACAAUCUUUAGCAAUAGUGCACACUCGGGAGAACACAAUUUUAUCUUGAAAUUUUAGUGAGGGAUAACCUUAUAAUGCUACCAUCAUCAUAAGCAAAAUAAGAUGCAUAAAAGGAUUAACAUCACAUGCAAAUCAUAAGUAACAUGAUAUGACCACCAACUUGUCCUUUUUAUCUCCAUCUCCAAAGCACCGGCAUGAUCUCCAUCGUCACCGACAUCACACCAUGAUUUCCAUCAUCAUGAUAUCCAUCAUCAUGUUGCCAUCGAUGUUGUCACGCCAACCAUGCUUCUACUACUAUUUCUACCGUUUAGUGAUAAAGUAAAGCAUUACAUAGCGCUUAAUGAUUGACACACAGGUCAUACAAUAAUUUAAGACAACCCUAUGGCUCCUGCCGGUUGUCGUAUUCAUCGACAUGCAAGUCAACACAAACUAUUACAAGCAUGAUCAUCUCAUACAUCAAAUAUGUUCUAUCAUGUCUUUGGCCAUAUCACAUCACAACAUACCCUGCAAAAACAAGUUAGAUGUCGUCUAAUUUGUUGUUGCAUGUUAUACAUGGCUGCUAUGUGUAUCUAACAAGAAUGGUUCUUACCUAUGCCAAACCACAACGGUGAUAUGGAAGUUGCUAUUUAACCUUCUACAAGGACUGCCUUCAUCGAAUUCGAUUCAACUAAGGUGCGAGAGACAGACAUCAGCCAGCCAUCUUAUGCAACAAAGUCACAUGUCUGUCGAAUGAACCGGUCUCAUGUACGUGGACAUGUAAAGUUGGUCCGGGCCGCUUCAUCCCACAAUGCCGCUAAAUCAAGAAAAGACCAAGGAAGGAAGCAAUCUGAAUAUCAACACCGAUAAACUCCUUUGUGUUCUACUCGUGAUGUCAUCUGCUCAUAGACCUAGCUCUGGUACCACUGUUGUUGAACGUUGCAUGGGAAACAAAAAAAAUUCCUACACUCACCAAGAUCAAUCUAGGAGAUGAACAUCUACGAGAGGAGUGAUUGCAUCUACAUACCCUUGUAGAUCACUAACACUACAGGAAACAGGUAAUUUGCCGUCCGUGGAUCACAGACGGCAAAGACGUAAAUCCAGACGGCAAAGAGUUUGCCGUCAGGAAGUAGACGGCAAAGUCAGACGGCAAAGAUAAAUCGGCAAAGAAUACUCUGCCGUCUGCUAUUUUUUCUAGAUGACGGCAAAAACUUUGCCGACAGUCUAUACUGUUUGCCGUCAGCCAGCAAAAUCAAACGACAAAAAAUGGCAACAGACGGAACGGACGGACUGACGAACGGCGUUAGUGCUUUGCUGUCAGCCAGAAUCCAUCUUUGCCGUCAUCCUCAAAAAUCACAAACGGCAAAUAAUUUUUUUAUUUAAAAAAUGUAUUGUACAAAUAAUUGCACAGGCGACCAGGAACAAACUGAUGAAGAACUUCACAGUAUCCAUCAACACUGCUGUUCUAAGAAUCAAAUACGAACGAACGGAUUUCACAAGACAAAACAAAACUACUCUAUUUAACAAGAUAAAUGGAUUACACACGAACAGACUACACUAUGUUACAAUAGAUCAGUUGGAUCUAUACACCCACGCCUCGCUGGAGCAGCAGUUGCGCCUCUCUCCCUUCUCCUUCCUUUCAUCCUGCAUAUGAAGUUAAGAACACACAAACGUCCGAGGAGGCCAAGACGUCAGCUGCCGUGCCGGAGCUCGCCACCCUCAUCCGGGCGCUGGAUCCACUUGACCCCGCCAACUCUGUCAGCGCCAAGCCCCGCCGCCGGCAAAGGAGAGUAGAGGAGGCGGGGGCCCGUGGCGUGCGAAGGCGGGGGAGAAGGAGAGUACUCGGAGGCGGGCGGCUGCUGGUACUCGGAGGCGGGCGGCGUGUGAAGCCAGGCCUCGCGGAUGGGGAGGUGGGGCUGACCGGGCGGCGGCCGUUAGGCGGGGCCAGUUGGCGCAGGGUCGUCGAUGAGGAGGUGGGGCCGACAAGGCGGCGGCGGCGAGGCAGGGCCAUGCAGCGCGGGGUCGCGGAUGGGGAGGCGGGGCCGACCGGGCGGCGGCGGCGAGGCAAGACCAAUCGGCGGCGAUGCAGCACCGAUAGCAGAGAAGACGAGAUCGAGGGGGAGAGAUGGUGUCGGAGUGGGGGAGAGGUGGGUUCGAUGGAUGGGUGGGUGGGGGCAUGGGGAUAAGGUACAUGGGGAUGUGGUGGGAUGGGUGGGUGGGGUCGGGCGUGGUAGAUGGAAAGAGAGGCACCGCAGGUCAGAUCGUGCCAUGUCAUCGAUCCGUGGAUGGAUCCGCGAGGUGUGCUUCUUUGCUUUGCCAUCUGCAAAUACAAACUACAGACGGCAAAAUUCUUUGUCGUGUGCCUUUUUUAUUACAGACGGCAAAAUAUGAUCUUUGUCGUUUGUGUUUAUUUGUACAGACGGCAAAGACAUAUUUUGCAGUCUGUAAUAAAAAACACAGACGACAAAGAUCUUUGCCGUCUAUAGUUUGUUUUGUAGAUGGAAAAGUGAGCUCUUUGCCGUCUAAUUUUUUUCUACAAACGACAAAGUAUAUUUUGCCGAUAGUUUCUCUUUGUUGUCUGUUGAUGACGGCAAACCCUUUCUUUGCCGUGUGCCCCGAAAAAAUGCUGAUGGCAAAGACAAUACUGACGGCAAAUCUCCUGUUUCCCGUAGUGUAAUAGGAAGCGCUAAGAAACAUGGUUGAUGUAGUCAAACAUCUUCACGAUCCAAUCACGAUCCGUCCCACAAACUCCCGAUCUAGUGCCAAAUGGACGGCACCACUGCAUUCAACACGCGCACGACUUGAUGAUGCCUUCACCUCCUCGAUCCAGUGAGCAAUAGAGAAGUAGUAGUUUGAGUAGUCCGAUAGCAUGACAGCGUGGCGGCGGUGGUGGUGAAGGAAUUUCAGCAGAGCUUCGCUAAGCACUACGCGGAAGGAGAAGGACUACGAGGGAGAGGACAGACAGCGCCACGACACAGAUGGGUGUGUCUGCCCUACCUCUACCCCUACAUAUAUAGGGGAAAGCGAGGAGGUGGGAAUGCCCUAUGGGUUCCCUUAGGGGGCACGCCGGCCACCACAGAUGGUGGCGCCCCUAGGGAAACCCGAGGGUGGCUUGCCCCCCAAGCUAGGUGGAGGCAUCCCUAGGGGGUUGCCCCAACCCUUGUGUCAUCAUGGGAUUGGGUGUGGGGGCGCACAACCCCUUAGUGGGCUGGUGUGCUCCCUCCCCUUGGCCCAUGAGGCCCCCCAACACUUAUUGGGGCACCCUGAAACCCAUGUCCGUACUCCGUUGCUUCCAUCGGUACCCCUGGAACAAUUUCAGACUCCGAUACCCUUCGUCCUAUAUAUCAAUCUUCACCUCCAGACCAUUCUGGAGUUCCUCGUCAUGUUGGGGAUCUCAUACGGGACUCCGAACAACCUUCGGUAACCACCAUAAUGACUCAACUAUACUUAUAUCGUCACCAAACAUUAAGUGUGUAGACCCUCCGAGUUCGAGAACUAUGCAGACAUGACCGAGACACCUCUAUGGUCAAUGACCAAUAGCAUGACCUGGAUGCCCAUAUUGGUUCCUACAUAUUGUACGAAGAUCUUUAUUAGUCGAACCUCGAUGUCAAGGAUUCAGUCAAUCCCGUAUGGAGUUCCCUUUAUCCAUCGGUAUGUUAUUUGCCUGAGAUUCGAUCGUCGGUAUAUCCAUACCUAGUUCAAUCUGGUUACCGGCAAGUCUCUUUAUUCCGUAAUACAAGAUCCCGUGCCUAACUUCUUAGUCAUGUUUCUUGCAAGCUUAUUGUGAUGUUGUAUUACCAAGUGGGCCCUAAGAUACCUAUCCAUCAUAUGGAGUGAGAAAUCCCAGUCUCGAUCCAUGCCAACUGAACAGACACCCUUGGAGACACCUGUAGAGCAUCUUUAUAGUCACUUAGUUACAUUGCAACGUUUGAUACACACAAGGUACUCCUCCGGUGUAAGUGAGUUGUAUGAUCUCUUGGUCAUAGGAAUGGAUACUUGACAUGCAGAAUGAUAGCAAUAAACUUGACACGAUCAUAUGCUACAUUCAUAGUUUGGGUCUUGUCAAUCACAUCAUUCUCCUAAUGAUGUUAUCAUGUUAUCAAAUGACAACUCAUGUCCAUGUCCCGGAAACCAUGGCCAUCUUUGAUAACCGAGCUAGUCUGGUAGAGGCUCACUAUGGACACGUUGUUUGCCUAUGUACCCACACAUGUAUUUGAGUUUCCAAUCAAUACAAUUAUAGCAUGGAUAAUAAAUGAUUAUCAUGAACAAGGAAAUAUAAUAAUAACCAUUUUAUUAUUGCUUCCAGGGCGUAUUUCCAACACUUUCGAUGAUUUGUGAGUAGUUUACGACAACCCUUCGAGUCUAUAGCUAGAAUCUAGAUGGCUUCUUCUCUCUCUUUGAUCUUCAAUCCAAAGUUCUUCUCAAUGUUCUUGGAGUUCUAUCCAAUGUAAUCUUCUUUUGCGGUGUGUUUGCUGGGAUCUGAUAAAUUAUGAGAUUAUGAUCAGAUGAUUCAUGAGAAUAUUUGAGUCUUCUCUGAACUCUUUUAUGCGUGAUUAUUUUAGCUUUGUAUUUCUCUCCAAUCUAUCGAUUUGGUUUGGCCAACUAGAUUUGUUUAUCUUGCAAUGGGAGAGGUGCUUUGUGAUUGGUUAAAUCCUGUGUUGCUCAAUCCUAGUGACAGAAACGGACAUGGCACAUAUUUGUAUUGUUGACAUUAAGGAUAAAAAGAUGGGGGUUAAUCAUAUUGCUUGAAUUUACUUUGUCUACAUCAUGUCAUCUUGCUUAAGGCAUAACUCUAUUUUAUACCUAAAACUCUAGAUGCAUGCUGUAUAGCAGUCGAUGAGUGAAGUAUAGUAAUAGAUCACUACAAAAAAAGACACUUUUGGGCCGAUCAAAUUUUUUUUGUGUCAUACAUAUGACACUUCUAUGACGAUAAUUGUGACAAAACCCGGUAUCAUCAUAGAUGGUGGGCUCCUACUUCUAUGACAAAAAAUCAUGACAGCAAAUGGGCUUUUCAUCCUGGGCGGCCGGAGACGCAGCUACAUGACAUUCUUUGGGCCGUCCAUGACGGAAAAAACCAUGGUAGAAGCGAGGGCGGGGAAAAAUUCGGGGAGUUCCCGGUUACGGUGGGAGGUCGGAGGCCGAGCGAUGUGCGUUUCUCUUGUACACGUAUGCGCAUGUGUGCGAGGGGUUGGCUCUAACUGAACCCGAGCGAGGCGUUGGCUCUAACUGAACCCGAGCGAUUGCACUACAAGCUACACUUUACUGAACCCGAGGGAUCGAUCGAUGGUUGUUAACUGAACCCGACCGAGCGAUUGCUUCACUACUGCUGCUAACUGAAGUCGAUCGAUUGGAUGAACAGUGAGUGUUGCAGGGGGGGUGGAUGAACAGUGAGCGGUGGUGUUGCCUUUGGAUGAACAGGACCCCGUUGUGUGGAGGGCUGGAUGAACAAUAGACGAUGGAGGGGUGCCCAUGGAGGGGUGGAUGAACAGGACCCCAUGGUGUGGAGGGCUGGAUGUACAGUAGACGGUGGAGGGGUACCCGUGGAGGGGUGGAUGAAUAGGACCCCGUGGUGUGGAGGGCUGGAUGAACAGUAGAUGGUGGAGGGGUGACCGUGGAGGGGUGGUGGAACAGUAGCCGGUGGAGUAGCGCACGGUGGAGGCUGGAUGAACAGGAGCCCGUGGAGGCCGGAGGAGGUCGACGGUAGCCCGUGGAGGCUGGAGGAGGUCGACGGUGGAGAUGACCAGUAUCCCGUGGAGUCCCAUUUUGCGGUACGCCACACCCCUCCCGAUGAACAGGAUCCCCUUUUCUACUGUAGCGCUCCAACACAAGUCUAUUUUGUCCGUUUUGCGAUACGCCACAACCCUCCCGAUCAACAGGACCCCCGUUUCGACCUUAGGAGGUUCAUUUCCUCCGUUUUGCGGUACGCCACACCCCUCCCGAUCAAUAGGACCCCCGUUUUAACCAUAGGAGGUCCGUUUCCUCCGUUUUGCGGUACGCCAGACCCCUCCCGAUGAACAAGAUCUCGUUUCGAACGUGUCCGGUCGAACACAAGGCCGUUUCCAUCGUUCUGCGGUAUGCCAGGCCUCGUUUCCAUCUCCUGUUCCGUCCAAGCCCUCUCGAUGAACACGACCACACAUUCCGUUCUGACCGAGCUGGUGGGCUCCCUAUGAACACGAUGACGACGCUAUUUCUCCGUUCCGACCCAGCCAAUGUACACGAGCCCUGGACGUACGUAUAUAUGCGCGAGUAGGCAUUCGAGACCCCGCCCGUAUGUACACAUACGUGGCCGUAUUUUAUUUCUUACACCCCGGCCGCUGUACGUACGUGUACAUGCUAUGUGCGCGCCUCUACUACGACACGUGCGCGCCUCUACAUCCACCAAUAUAUAUGUACAUACACAUUCGCGACCAGAAUGACAAUGCUACAUACGCUUUGACCAGGUGGGUCCGGACUGUCAGGCACUUCCUUGCGUGCAAAGAUGUAGCUGGUGGGUCCCAACAGUCAGGGGGAAACAUUUUUUCGUGAAAUACGGUGGCCUGUCCGGUGGGUCCUUGCUGUCAGGUGGAGGAAUAAUUAUUUUGCACUUAAUAAGGAGGCACUUCCUUGCUGCGGCCGUGGACCCAGCUGUCAGCCUCUCCACGUACAGUUCACGUCCGAUGGAAGCCGUUCCUUGACCAUGUUGACCACGCCGCGCCGAGAGCACCAGGGCGGUGGACGACGGCGAGGCCUAGGAAGGGGACGACGCGGAGCCGGGGAAGACGCGGCAGUGGAUGCCCACGCGUAGAGAAGUAUGAGGGUUCACUCGUUCGCUGCGGUGUGAGGUUGCCGUCGCCGCAGAAUAACAGGGGGUGUGGGUGAGUAGAGGGAUGGCCUGGCCAGCAGUGGGAGUAGUAGGGGGCGGUGAGGCAUCCGCGGCAUCACAGCCGGCCACGGGAGGCAGGAGCAUGCGGCACGACCGACGCUGCUUUGGGCGGCUGGAGCACGAAGACCAGAGGUUGAAGAAGCACUACGACCGUUGGAUGGACAUCGUACGGUCACUGGAGCUAGAAUCGUUCAUAUUGACUAAGUUGACAAAGCCCUCCGUCCCCGUAAACUUAGUAGGCCCACAAGUCAGCCUCCCACCAAGGUGAGUCCCAGCUAGCAGGGUGAGUAUUCAUUUUUUGUGCGUAAUAAGGAGCAUUUCCAGUGGGUCCGAGCUGACAGCGAGCGGAACGUUUUUUUCGCGAAAUAUAGAGACCGUUCCGGUGGGUCCCAGCUAUCAGGUGGAGGAAUCAUUAUUUUGCGCAUAAUAAGGAGGCAUUUUCCUAUGUGGGCCCCUACUGUCAGCCUCUUCCGAUGGCUGUUGUUUGUUGACCAUGUUGACCUCGCCGCGUCGAGAGCACAAACGUGGUGGACGAGGGCGAGGCCCAGGAAGAGAACCACGCGGAGCCGGCAAAGCCACCACAGCGGAUGCCCACGCUGAGGGGAGAACGAGCGCUUAUUGGUCGGCUGCGGGGUGAGGCUGACAUCGUCGGAAAAUAACAAGAUGUGUGGGUGGUUGCAGGGAUGGCCUGGCGGCAGGAUAGUCAGCCACGGGAGGAGGGACCAGGUAGUCCCACUGGCGCUGGUUUGGGCGGCUGGGGCAAGAAGAUCAGAGAUUGAAAAAGUAUGACGGCCGUUGGAUGGAAAUCCAACAGUCACUGCUGUGUGUUGACUAAGUUGACAAAGCCUUGCGUACGCGUCAAAAAAAAUUUAGGACAGUGUCAUCGUCAACCUGGUCAUUGACAAAGCCAUAUUCUUUUUAUUAGCAUUACAGACCAUAUAUUCUGGGCACUGCUCAAAAAUUGAACGAAAUUUUGCAUAUUUCGGUGGGGUCCGAAGUCUUUUAAUCACGAAAUUUCGAGUCAUGUUAAAAAUAAUUUUCAAAAAAUUAUAUCAAUAUAAAAUUCAAAAAACAAUUCUCCGCAAAAAAAAUGAAUGAAAUUUAGAAUAUUAACUAGCAAGAUGCCCGUUCGUUGCACAGAACAUGAAGAUGCAUUUGUGUGAGUAGUUUAUCUUGUGGGAGAAAAGAUGGUAUUUUAAUGUAAUUGCCAGUUGGCUUUGGUUUUUAUAAUAGUAGAGAGUCGAGAAAUCCUGAAAAAAAUAAUAUUUUAAUGCAAUUGCCGGUUUGCUUUGGUUUAAAAAUUUACAAGCUUAUAGCCCAUUUUCUGGGGAAGCCCAUUUCUUACUACUUACAUCCCUCCUCGUCUUGAAAGAUUUGCAGCCCAGCAGGGCUGAGAAAAGCAAGUAGGCCGCGCUUUGUUAUUCUUCAAAAAAAGAACUGGGCUAGCCAAUUUCAGAAAGAAAAAAUAUAUCAACUGGGCUCGUCAUGUGUUUAAUAAAAGUGUAAGCAUGGUCUAGACGGGGCACAGCCCCCGCACAACACGCAGUUGAGCUCCGUCUCUGAAACUGAAAAACAACUGGGAGAGCUGCUGGGUCCCUGGUGUUAUCCGCUCGUUGUGUAAUUUUCUCGUUUAUUGACUACAUUGACAAUGGCCUGGAACCUAGUUGUCAAACAAUUAGGAGGAAGUAUUUUUUUGGCUUGUAAUAACGAGGCACCUGCUUGCGAAAUGCAAUGACCCUGGUGGGUCCCUACUGUCAGCCUCUCCACGUACAGUCAUCUCUUGAUUCCUCUUGGUUGUUGACCAUGUUGACAACACCAGACGGCGGCGGGCACAGCGAGCUAACCAAGGCGAAGAACGAUGGCAAGGCCUCAGACGGGAACGAACAGCAGCAAUGGAAGAUGCGACAGUGUAGUGGCAAGUGGAGGGGAGUACGAGGGCAACAACAUGCAAGUCAAGCAUACAAAUGGUACAAAAAGCCCAAGGAUUAAUUGUUCAUCAAAUUUUUAGACAAAACCCAGAUUGAACAUGACAGUAACAUCUAACCCAACAACUCUUUUUUGCAGUCACAAACAAAUGGAUCAGUCUGAUCCAUAAAAUCAACAUCCUGUGCAAUUUUUUUUAUUUCAGGAUGUCUACAACUUAUUGUAAAUAGAAGCCGAGAACUUUUAGAAGCCCAUUUGUCCACCUGAAACUUCUUUUUUUGCUGUUCAAUAUGUUCGUCCGUGAGAAAUCUCUUGCUGUAAAAAUUAAGCCUCAUGGACAAUAGUAACCUCGCAUUCAACAGGAAGAAUGUGACAAAGCUUCUGUUUGCCUGGUUGGAUGCAUAUCGUCCCAUCAUUAUUGUCCUCAAACGAAUGUCAUGAGAACUGAGAAAAUCCUUGUGCUUAUUACGCCAACCAUUGGUUACAUGUUUUUAUCCAUGUGGUUCUGCCUAAGUAGACAUGAAGAUUGAAAACAGUUAAGGUCUGAAAAAAGAGUAAGUCGAAAUAAUGGCAGCUAAACAGUUAAUUCUAGUACAAUAUAUACGACUUUCAAUAUGCAUGAAAUCGUCACCUCUAUGUAUAAAUUCUCCAGAGAUCAAAAGCAUAGCAGCAAGCCAAUAAUUAUGUCCAAAUCAAAACUAUACAUACUAAUAUAUAUGAUCUUGACAGAAUCCAGCAGUAUUGAUAGGCUGUCAAUGGACGAACUCUUCAUUGAGCAUAUAACAUAAUAUUAGUACCCAAAGUGUACUCCAAGAUUAUAUAAAACUUAUGCGCACAAAUGAAAAAUGCAGCAUAUGAUUACAAAUGUGUAGAUGAUAAUAUACGGUACCUGAAAAAGUGAGGAUCCAAACACCCACUCCUUGUCAUUAUUAAACGGGUCAUGAAUUACACCCAAGGUCUCCAGUUUGGGCGCAGAGACGAUAGUUAUUUCUGAAGGUGUAUAACAAUUACGAAGGAGCAACCUUUCAAGUGAAGGGGCAUCUUCGAUGAUGAGUCGUUGUCCUUUAAAACAAAUUCCAAUGCUUUUAAGGUGAGGCGACUUUAUUUGGAGACAACUGAUACCGAUUUCUAUUCCCAAAACAAUCAGCAAGCGUUCCAGGGCAGGGAAACUAGAGUGGAUGAUGUUGUGCAGUGAGGCCACUGACAGAUAAACCACCACAAGCGAAAGUUCUUUUAUUAGUGGGAGUCGAAGCAUUUGUACCAGAUCGUCUGGUAGAUGGCAUCGGGCAAAGGUGGCGGUGUGGAGAGAGGAGGAAAACUGCAAGAUGGAGAACGGUGGUGUGGGCACAAAUUCUUGGUAUGUUCGUGGUAUGAAACUUUCAUGGUAAUGGUAGAACUAAAACUGCUGGAGUUUUACGAAUUUAGGGGAUGUCAGCCAAGCAUCCACCUUGCCGGGUAUGGACAGCAUGUAGCUUGUCGGGAUGCCGAUGCAUUGAACGGGGCCUUGCUGGUGAGAAGAGACGAUGGCUCUGAGGAGAUCAAAUUCAGGAAGGACAGAUAUCUGACGACAUUCGAGAUUGAGGGGCGCGGUGCGCCAUAGAAGGUGCCACCAAGUUGUGAGGACUUGUGUGCGGCAGCAAUCCUUGGUGGGGAGAAGCGAGAUGAUCUCCUCAAGGAUGACGCCCGGGAGAUCGCUGAUGCGGUCCAUCGGAGAGUCUACAGGUUCCUCAGAUCCGGGUGGGGGGGGGGCUCGCCGCUUCUCCCCGGCGCUAACGGGUGCGGGAUCUACAACCGGCGUUGCUGCUAGCGGGAGCCUCGUCUUCUUGGCGCUGGGGCCAGCCAACUCCAUUUUCCUUGUGGGCGUCGCGCCGAGCUCACGGGUUUGAGCAGAGUAGCCAGAGACGAGCCUAGUGGUAGUGCGAGUGGGGAAGAAGGAGGGCUGGGGAUUUCUGUAGGAGUGGAAGAAGAGGAGCAGGCGUUUUCUGUACGAGUGAGGAAGAAGGUGAGCGGGGUUUUCUGGACGAGUGAGGAAGAUUGGGGAGCGGGGGGAAUUGGGUGGGGAGACGAAGCGGGAGAGCGAGCUGUUCGUGUUUAUAAGGCCCGCUACACUAACUACUCGCUUUUUUCCAAGGCCCGCUCUCUUCUUUUGUGUUGCUGCAUUGGAGCUGGCGCAUGGGCUUGGCUGACUGGCCAUGCAUGUAGGAUGCAUGUGCCCGCCGACCACUGCAUGCAUCUGGUUUGUUACUAGGCCUAUUUAAUAGGGUGGUAAUGGAGUAAAUUAAGGAGAUUUAUUUUCUCUGUGUGCGUCCACCAAAUUAGAGGAUGCGGUACUGGAUGCAGACACUCAGAUUAAACUAACAUUUAGAAGAAAAAAAGUUCAGCAUGUCUAUGCAUCUCAAUGAUUCACCAUACUAUAACCAAUAUACAAAGCUGUGAGAAGGUGUGGAAAUAAAGAAAAUCGGUUGAUGCUUCUCUGAGCAAAGGGCCUCCCCGCGCACGCGUUAAUUUCCUGGGCAUGCUUGUUUCUUCUCAAUGUUGCGAGCACUUUGAGCAUGUUGGCAACUCCACAGUUAGCUAGCUGCCUCAUCUUGCAAUUGAUGCUGACACAUUUGCAAAAAACACAUGAGGCAAUAGAGAUGACUCAACAUGGGUCCAUAUUGUGCAGUUCCCCUGAUAUCAUAUUCAUUGUCCUGAAUCUGAAAAGAUAGGAAAACAGUAGCUAUACUUAAACGGGGUUGCAAAAAAGUAGCACAUAUCAAUAGCUCGACAUGACAAAACACGAUCAUCUGGAUGAAGGGGAUACUGACCUGCCUGAGGAAGAUUACAUAUAAUUUCAUAAGUCCUUGGUUGAUUUCCACCUUGGGCUGCACUGCUUGUUUGCUCCUCCACACAUGUCAGGAUCGUUCCGCACUGCAUUCAGCAAGUCAACGUACGAAUAAGCUAAUUUCAUCUUGCGGUAGUCAUUGUACCUAGUUACGAAUGUAGGAAUACCUGGAGUACCAUGAGGUUAGCUGACAGCAGGUAGAUGCAGCCAUAUAAAUUUUGUGCGGUGCUACCAAAAUUGAGGUUUGUAUCCCUUCCCGUUAUGAGAAUUCUUCUUGAAGUUGGUAGAAUGUGACGGCUUGUUCUUUGCAUCAAACUUGCCUUUCCCCUGAGAUUUGUUCUUGUUGUUUUGGGGCUGGUUGGGCUGGAAGUUCUUCUCGUGUACCAUGUGGGCACUAGAAGCUCCCUUAGCGACCCGAGCACGUGUGUCAUUUGCUCUCGCCUUCUCCUCAAAAUGAAGAGUGCUAAUGAGAUCCAAAAAGGAAAACUCAUGUCUCUUGUUUUUCAGAGAAGUAGCAAAAUCGUUCCACGAAGGUGGAAGCUUGGCAAUGAUGUUCCCAGCAAAAAAUUUGUCUGGCAACACACACUUAAAGUACUCAAGUUCCUUAGAGAGAGACUGUAUCUCAUGACUCUGCUGAACAACAGAGCGCUCAUCAGUCAUCUUGUAGUCACAUAAUUGCUCCAUGAUGUACAACUCGUUGCCAGCGCCAGAGGGCCCAAACGUGGCCUCGAGCGGAGCCCACAUGUCUUUGCCGCUGUCAAACGACCGAUAGAAUUGAAAACAGGGAUGAAGUGUGUGGCUGCGCGAUCGAUAAAGAGUGCCAUAAUAUUUGUGUUUGCCCACGUCAAAGAUACAGGGCGGCUGGCCUACUGGAAUUUGAGAGGGCAGAGGUGACUUCUCCGUGGCAUGGAUACCUACCUACAACGUUCGACUAUCGGUGUGUGUGGGUGGGGGGGUAGAGACCGGUCAACUAGUAUAUGUGUGGGGAAGGAGAAAGACCUAGCUAUGUAUUGAGGGAGAUCAAUCGACAUCCGUGUAUAUGUGUAGUAGAGGAAUAACGUUGGGAAAAAGACAAAGGUAGAGCGUCGGAGGGUUGGUGGUGGAGUGGCGUCUCACAAAUGGUGGGAGAGGCCUGCUAGACAAACGGAGGGUAUGAGUGCAAUAUCAAUAAGACAGGGCGGGGGAUGUCUGUCUGUCUAUGCAUGUGCGUGUGAGAGACGGGUCGGGAGGUAUUCAAGGAUGAUGAGGGGAGAAGAUAUGGUUGUGGUAAGCAUGCGUAACUACACAGGAAGAUCAACUGUCGUGUGUCCGAGAAAAGGAGUGACAUAACUAGCGAGGUAAGUGUGUCGGUGCUUGGUGAAAACAAAUUAUAGUUGACCCGGCUAUAUGUAGGGAGAGCAGUUCAUAUACACGCUUGCAUGUGUUAGAAGCAAAUAAGGUUCGGAGAGGCAGACAGGGGGAGAGGGUGUGGCUAGGAGGUGGUGCGAGAGGCCUACCUUGUCGAGGGGGGAGGAGUGUGCGAGCAUGUGAUAAAUGAAAAGAGGGGCGGGAGUGUGCACCUGUGUGGAAUCGUAUUGGACAUAUGGGGGCAUGGACGGUGAGAAGAGAAGAGGGGAAGUAUAUAUGUCUUUGUUGUAGGCACACUUGGCUAGAGAGGUAUAUCGACCGGUGUGUGCUAGAAAGGAGCCGGGGGCCUACAGACACCGCUAGUGGACAACCUAAAGAGAAAUAAUGAACGUGCGCGAUGGAGGGGACGCUAAGGGUGUGUGAGGGGGCGGGCGCGUGCAUGCACGAUAGAAAGUUAGCGCUAGCUAGCUACAAAUAGAAGAGGAUCAUGAAGGUGUAAAAGACGAACAAAGAUCAUAAUUCAUUAUAAAAAAGUGGAUAUGGAUACUUGAAGAAUAUAUCAUAAUGUAGAACAUUGAUUAUAAUUUGGGCUAAUGUGUGGCUUUUGUAACUCAGGUCUAAAUACUCGGGUCGAUAUAUGUAGGGAGAUCAGUUCAUAUACACGCCUGCAUGUGUUAGAAGCAAAUAAGGUCCGGAGAGGCAGACAGGGGGAGAGUGUGUGGCUAGGAGGUGGUGCGAGAGGCCUACCAUGUCGAGGGGGGAGGAGUGUGCGAGCAUGUGACUAAUGAAAAGAGGGGCGGGAGUGUGCACCUGCGUGGAAUCGUAUUGGACAUGUGGGGGCAUGGACGGUGAGAAGAGAAGAGGGGAAGUAUAUAUGUGUUUGUUGUAGGCACAUUUGGCUAGGGAGGUAUAUCGACCGUGUGUGCCAGAAAGAAGGAAACGGGGGCCUACACACACCGCUGGUGGACGACCUAAAGAGAAAUAAUGAACGUGCACGAUGGAGGGGACGCUAAGGGUGUGUGAGGGGGGCGGGCGUGUGCAUGCAUGAUAGAAAGUUAGCGCUAGCUAGCUACAAAUAUAAGAGGAUCGUGAAGGUGUAAAAGACGAACAAAGAUCAUAAUUCAUUAUAAAAAGAUGGAUACAGAUACUUGAAGAAGAUAUCAUAAUGUACAACAUUGAUUAUAAUUUGGGCUAAUGUGUGGCUUUUGCAAGUCAGGUCUAAAUACUUGUCAUAAUGUAGGGGGCGGGGCACUAUACUUUGUGUGAUAAACACGGUGUACGUAUGGAAGAUGGUUUAGAUUAUGAAUAUAUAGUUAGUACAUCAAAUGUACUAUUAUUUGGAAUCAACAUCAAGUGUAUUCAAAAAAUAGAAUUCGAGUUCAUGUAGUACACAUAGUUCAUAUCUAUCUCUAUAGUAAUGAUGUGGUGUGUUAUUAAGGUAAUACACAAAUGAUGGUUCAAGUUGGCAACAAUCAUGAUUGCAGAUACUUAUUGAAAUAGAGAACGAAUUCAAAUUUAGUUCGAAUUGCAGCGGUAGUAUAGACAUUUGGAAUGCACUAAAAUGUUGGUAUGAGUAGGUUACAUGCAUUAUCCAGCAAGCGAACAAAAUUAAUCGGACAUAACAUCGAUUCAUACUCCCUCCUUCCAUCUAUAUAGGGCGUAAUGAGAUUUUUAAGACCGCCUUUGACUAUUGACAGGAUUAAUAGUACAUGACAUGCACAAUGUGAAAAUUAUAUCAUUGAAAGAACCUUUCACCGACGAAUUUAACGGUGUGCUUUGUGUAAGUUGCAUGUCAUAUAUCAUUGUUCUAAUAUUUGGUCAAAGUUAGCAUCGAAAAACGCAUUAGGCCCUAUAUAGAUGGAAGGAGGGAGUAGCUUUGAAUAGGAUUUGUAUAGUAAGACGGGGCAAGACUCUCUCUUUGUGUGGUGUGAAUAGUUUUUUUUUCAUUUUCUUUUUGGUUGAGGGAAGUGCGAAUUGAUUUGGUACGUACAAGUACAAUAUUACUAAACGUUAGGCUUGUCCCUAAAAUUCAACUCGCGUCUUGUUAUAUCUCGAAAAUUCAAAUAUCGUGCUCUCAAAACUAGCGCUUUCACAACCCGCGCCUUGCUAUCCCGAAAUUAUAACGCGUGCAAAAACUCCCUCCAGCUGCCAAAUCCCGACACACGAAAUCCCCCUUCUAAACCUGAGCCAAAAGGGCCACUAGUUCAAAUCGGUGGGGAGUACUUUUGUAACACACCCUACAUUUUGGACAAGCGCGUCCCUAAGUCAUGCUUCACCCCCUCCCAUCACCCCCUUUUCGCCAUUCGAAAUCCCAGGCCCCAUAACCUCUCCGCUUCAGCCGCGAAACCCCACACUCCUCCGUCCGCCACGUCACCGCUGCCCAGCCGGAGCCUCUUCCCCGAUGACAUUGUCCACCGCAACAGCUCGACGUGCCUCGUCCACCUCCCCGGAUGAGGAUCCGACGUCCAUCUCGCCGUCCCGCUGGUUCAGCCGCCCCGUCCUCCACCUCCAGGGAGAUGCUCCAACGAUCGCCUCGUCUAUCGUGGCUGCUCCAUCCCCACAGUGCCGCCUUAACCUGCUCCAUCGGAACCGCAGCAUCCUCACCGACUCCUCGGACGAAGCCGAGGCCUACUCGGCAACACCAAAGAGGUUGUACACUGAUUGCAUCGCACCUUCUCCUUAACUCGACCUCCCGGCGCCGACAGUGCUCCAUCCAGCACCCCCAUGGAGCGGCUAUCUUGAAGCCGGCGCCGCGGGCGACAUCUCCACGGCGGCUCUCCCCCAGUGCAAGGCCCCUUCGGCGGCUGCGUCCAUACCAGCCGGAUCUGCUGCUGCUGCUCCGGCUCUCACUUGCUCGCUCGCGCUGCCGCUGCUCCGACUCUCGCUCCAUCGCUUGCUCGCCCAGCUGCUGCUGCUGCUCCCCCCUUGCUCAUGUUGCUGCUCUGCUCCGAUUAAGACACACUUCAGUCGACUGAAUCGACUUUUGGGUCAGUCGAUUUUCAGGGGUUGGAGGGGCUCGCCAGAGUUAAGGAAGAACCACCCGCAGCGGGGACGGGGGCCGCCGGAGAGGUACCCCACUAUCUUUCUUAGGGUUCAGGGCGGGGGGUGGGGACCUAUAGGGUUGGCCAAGGCGGCGGUGGCGAGUUGCUUCGGGGCGGCGAGGCGACGCUGGGGCCGGCGGUUCGGCCGGUGGUGGCUGGUGGCUCAGGGGGGGGUGCAGGUUGAAGAUGAACUGCAGGCCCUCCCUAAACUACAUGUCAAGUGCCUCUCUGCUACCAUUGCGUUCAGUUUCGACAGUAGCAUUCAGAUUCCACAAUAAAUUUCAGUUUUGACAGUUAAGUUCAGAGUCAACAGUUUUUACCUCAUCUGUUGUAGUUAGGUGGUUUUUGGUGAUGUUAAUUUUACAUCCAUUUUUCAUCAUCUACUGGAGAUGCUAUUAGAAUCCCACUUGAGAUUGACGAUGUCUGUUUUGUGCUGCUUCAGCAUUGACGUCCUAUGGCUAACCGGAGCUGCUCCAACAACAGAACGAUCCAUCACAAUAGAGCAGUGCCCUGGACACCGUCUAUAGAUUCCUCAGAUCUUCCUCCACACCUCCGAUAGCCACCUCUGCCUCAACUGCUUCAGUGACCGACCCAAUGAUGCUGAGGUCGACACGGCUACGGCAAAGAGGUUGUACACUUGUUGCAUCACUUAUUACUAUACAUUCACGUCGAUCCAUUAGGGCUAUUUUGAUUCAAAGGAAAAACAUAGCAAUAGGGAAUUUUCCAAUGGCACUCUACUAUUCAAUUAUUCAUGCAUUUUGUUGAAAGUAAUGAAGCAAAACAUCCACCUAGACCUACUUUUCAAAAUCCUAUGCAUGAAAACAAGACCAAGUGCAUUAGUGCCAGAAUAACAUUCUAACUGUACACGCUUUCAUAUGGUUUCACUUUAUUUUGGCGAGGUUUCUUUGCAUUCCUCUGCUCUUCCAAUUCUUGUAAACCAAACACCCAAGUUGACAGAAAUCCUGUGUUUACAAAUGCUCCAUUUACCAUGUGCAUUUUCCUGUCCUAUUCCGGUGUUUUUCCUAUCCCUGCACUUUAAGAAUCAUGCAAGCUAAAUCAGCUCUUGCAGAAUUACUUCAGUUACAGGUACGUGUCGAAGGGAACUUUGUGUGGUUUGUCCUGCUCCUGCCGCGAUGUCGUCCACCUCACCUGAGCUGCUCCAUCGACAGAGGCAUCCGCCAAACCAUACAUCACGACCCCUGUCCGUCUUUCGCCGCCUCAAAUCUCCUUCCCUGCCGCUGGCACCCACCACAACGACAUCAGCAUCAUCGACUCAGCAGAUGAACCUGAGGAGUACACGGGUCCACAAGAGAGGUCGCACUCUUUUGUUUCUGCUUAUGUUAUGCAUUUCUUAAACUUACCUGCUACUUUAUCGUCCUGUUCAGCUCUUGGACUCCCAAGUCAGGUCCAAAUUAAUACUCAAACUUGAGUUCUAAAUUAGUUGUGGGGCAAAUAUCGAGGCAACAAUCAAUAGUAUGUCCGUCUAAUAUCUGGUUCACCUAGGGUAUGCUAUGUUGUUCAUCUUGGGUGGGAAAUAAAUAGUAAAGCAAUCAUCAUUUGUCUUUUUAUUAAUUUAAAGCAAUCAUCAACCUGCUAUCAUUAUUUUUGGAUCCAUCCACUGGUUAUUACAAUCACUCUAAAUUUCUGCAUGCUCUCCUUACAUAAUCUCACCAUAGUUUUUCAUAUGCAUGUCAAAUAUUGUACACAGUCAUGUUGAACAUGUAGAGAAAUAGAGAAGAGUUUUACGCGGCAAUACAAUGUCAUGCAGACAUCGGUCCAUUGUGGGUUCAAUGGCAAACCCUCCCCACCCCUCUCCAGAUUGUAAUCCAGAGGAAGAUAUCUGUUCUGAGGCGGAUUCGGACGCCGCUGACCACUCCUAUUUACCCCCCAAGGUGUUUGCUCUACCUUGGCAUGAUAAAGUUAGUCAUAUCAUGCAUAUGUUGCCUUGCAGUGCCUACUUUUGACAUCAUAUAUGUCAUCUGCUUAGUUUAGACAUGUUCGGUAAUGCCACCUGUUUAGUUUCUAUAUCAUAUAUGGGAAUUAUGCAGUCUCAUGUCUUUUAGCCAGCCAUAAUAUAUGUGAAAUGUGCAAUGCCAUCGUGUUUAACCAGGAAUCAUAUAUUUGAAUGAUAUCUUGCCCAUCCUUUUCUUCAUUACAUUUCCAUUUGUCGACAAUGUUUGUACAUUAAACUACUCUUCCUGUGAACCAGCCAUUUGGGUGGGAGAUGGCAACAUCUGGUGUGAAAACAAGGCCUUCAGAGCAAACAGUGCUACCUGUCGAAGCAGAUCUCUUAUUGGGUCCGAUAGCUCCUCAGAGAUGGAUUUAGAGACAGAUGACCAGUCCUAUUCCCCCACUGAGGUGUAUGCUCUAACUUGGCAUGGUUAUACUGCUCAUAUCAUGCAUAUGGUGUCUUGCAUUGCAUAGUUUAGACAUCCUAUACACAAUAUUCAACACAAUGUUCUUAGUUCAGACAUCAUAUCGAAUGCCCUCUGUUUAGCAUAUAGAUCACAUAGUGAAUUAAAUGAUGCGAUCCUGAUUACUUAGAUAACAUGUAGGUGAAUUAUGUCAUGCGAUCCUAUUUAGUUAUUCGUCAUAUCUUUGAAUUAUGUUAUGCUAUGCUAUCCAGUUUAGAUAGACAUCAUAUAUGUGAAAUCAUGUCAUGCUAUCCAUUUUAGUUAAACAAUAUACAUGUCAACUUUUUCAUGCCCUCUAUUUUCCACACUAUCUAUUGCAUCUGUCUCUCAUACAAUGUCUGUACAUUCAACUAUGUUUCCUGUUUAUCAGCCAUUUGAAUUGGAGUGGGUGAUGCCAGUAUAUAGCGGACUAAAAACACGGUCUUCAAAUAAAACAAUGCUACCUCUUAGUGGAGAUAGCACCCCGGUUGUACAUGCACAAGAACCAGCCCUACCACACAUAACCCAAACUCUCGCAGAUUGUACCCCUACUGCGAUGGACAGAGAACCAGCUUCACCCAAUCUAACCCCAACCCCAGCCGAUAGUAACCCAGUUCCUGUUGACACAGCACCAUCUCCACCACAGAGCUCCCAAACAAGAGCAGUUAGUAAGGCAGCUCCAGUGCCCAAAGGGCCACUACUAUCAUGGCGAACCCCAACUCCACCAGUUAGUACGCCUAUUCCCGUGGAGGAAGCACAACCAGCUAGCCGUAGUUUAGCAUCUAUCGCAUUUGAUGUUGUUAAAUCGUAUGUGUGUAUCUUCCCAUCUUGGAAAUAUUAUACUGAAGAUGAAGGAAAAUGCCAGUUGUAGGUGUUUGUCCUGGAGUUAUGUGUAAGUAAUGUUAUUCAUGGCAGUUACUUUGCUUCGUCCCAUACAUACUACCUCCAUGAUGGUUAUAAUACAACAAAUUUUCCCAUUUUUCUCUAUAGAGAAGGACCGAUUUGGAAACUCAGGAUGAGGUAACCUGUGCUAAUACCUCUGCUAUCUUCAAGAAUGCUUCGUGGAAGUAUCGGAAUUACCUGAAGAAAAGGUACUUCGCCGACAAAGAAACUCAUCAAAUUCCCUUUCGUUCUCCUGAGACACAUUUACUGGACGAUGACUGGGAACGCCUUGUUUUGUACUGGUCCCGAACCAAGAAUGUGGUAAGGUCUAUGAGCUCAUUUUCUAUUUUUAAGUAUUAUAUCCUUGUGUCUUGCUGUACUCUGUUCAUGUAGAACAAGUGCCUAAACCUGAAGAACAACUGUUCUAAUUUAAGAUUCCAUUACUAUCAUAGUUCAAAAAAGCGCUAGGCAUUAAUUGUGCGUUUUGCCACCGCCUUGCGCUUUACUGGCCAAAGCACAUGCUUAUGCACAGUUAUGCACAGAUUAAGCGUAGUUAUGCGCAAUGCGUUUUGCCAACGCCUAGAGCCUAGGCGCACUGAAGCGCUCGCUUAGGCGCGCCUUUUUUAACUAUGAUCGCUUUGCUCUUGUAUCACUGUAUUUACUCAUACAAACUUAUUUUUAAAUUGAAGGAUCCAAUCGAAACUCCAAUGGCACAGCAGGUAUGUUCACGCAUGUUUCUUUAACAGGUUUGCUCUUAUCAAUAGCUCUUUUGAUUUCAAUUUCAAUUGUGUAUACAGUUGACUUUCAAUAGCAUCACAACAGAGCCAAUAGUGUUGUUGUACAUGUAGACCCGUGGUACCCAUCUAAAAUCUUGUUGUGCCGUGUAGUUUCCCAUGCUUUGUAUUCUUUCACUGCUGCUUUGUCUUGAACUGAUAUGAUUUGAACCGUGUCUCUAUUUUGAUUUGGCAAGAUAAUACAAUGACCAUAGGACAUAGAUAUAUGUUUGUUUGAUGCUUUUAUUAUGUACUAGUACUUGACAAUAGAAGACUUGGUAGUUUAUGUUGGGGAACGUAGUAAUUUCAAAAAAAUUCCUACGCACACGCAAGAUCAUGGUGAUGACAUAGCAACGAGAGGGGAGAGUGUUGUCCACGUACCCUCGUAGACACUAAGCGGAAGCGUUAGCACAACGCGGUUGAUGUAGUCGUACGUCUUCACGAUCCGAUCGAUCCAAGCACCGAACAUACGACACCUCCGAGUUCAGCACACGUUCAGCUCGAUGACGAUCCCCUUGCUCUGAUACAGCAAAGCUUCGGGGAUGAGUUCCGUCAGCACGACGGCAUGGUGACGAUGAUGAUGUUCAACCGGCGCAGGGCUUCGCCUAAACUACGUGACGAUAUGACCGAGGUGAAAUAUGGUGGAGGGGGGCACCGCACACGGCUAAGGAACGAUCCGUAGAUCAACUUAUGUGUUAUGGGGUGCCCCCUUGCCCCCGUAUAUAAAGGAGGGAGGGGGAGGUGCGGCCGGCCCCCUUGGGGUGCGCCUGGAGGAGUCCUACUCCCACCAGGAGUAGGACUCCCCCCUCUUGCCUUGGUGGAGAAGGAAAGGGGGGAGGGGAAAGAGGAAAGGGGGGUGCCGCCCCCCCCCUUCCUUGUCCUAUUCGGACUAGGGGGGGAGGGGGCGCGCGGCCUACCCUGGCCGGCCCUCCUCUUCUCCCUCAUGGCCCACUAAGGCCCAUUAACCCCCGGGAGGGUUCCGGUAACCCCCCGGUGUUCCGGUUAAAUCCUGAUUUCAUCCGGAACCUUUCCGAUGUCCAAACAUAGGCUUCGAAUAUAUCAAUCUUUAUGUCUCGACCAUUUCGAGACUCCUCGUUACGUCCGUGAUCACAUCCGGGACUCCGAACAAACUUCGGUACAUCAAAACUUAUAAACUCAUAAUAAAACUGUCAUCGUAACGUUAAGCGUGCGGACCCUACGGGUUCGAGAACUAUGUAGACAUGACCUAGAACUAUUCUCGGUCAAUAACCAAUAGCGGAACCUGGAUGCCCAUAUUGGUUCCUACAUAUUCUACGAAGAUCUUUAUUGGUCAAACCGCAUAACAACAUACGUUGUUCCCUUUAUCAUCGGUAUGUUACUUGCCCGAGAUUUGAUCGUCGGUAUCCAAUACCUAGUUCAAUCUCGUUACGGCAAGUCUCUUUAAUCAUUACGUAAUGCAUCAUCCCGUAACCAACUCAUUGGUCACAUUGCUUGCAAGGCUUGUAGUGAUGUGCAUUACCGAGAGGGCCCAGAGAUACCUCUCCGACAAUCGGAGUGACAAAACCUAAUCUCGAAAUACACCAACUCAACAUGUACCUUUGGAGACACCUGUAGUACUCCUUUAUAGUCACACAGUUACGUUGUGACGUUUGGUAGCACCCAAAGUGUUCCUCCGAUAAACGGGAGUUGCAUAAUCUCAUAGUUACAGGAACAUGUAUAAGUCAUGAAGAAAGCAAUAGCAACAUACUAAACGAUCAAGUGCUAGGCUAACGGAAUGGGUCAUGUCAAUCACAUCAUUCUCCUAAUGAUGUGAUCCCGUUAAUCAAAUGACAACUCUUUUGUCCAUGGCUAGGAAACUUAACCAUCUUUGAUUCAACGAGCUAGUCAAGUAGAGGCAUACUAGUGACAUUAUGUUUGUCUAUGUAUUCACACAUGUAUUAUGUUUCCGGUUAAUACAAUUCUAGCAUGAAUAAUAAACAUUUAUCAUGAUAUAAGGAAAUAAUUAAUAACUUUAUUAUUGCCUCUAGGGCAUAUUUCCUUCAGUCUCCCACUUGCACUAGAGUCAAUAAUCUAGUUCACAUCACCAUGUGAUUUAACACCAAUAUUCACAUCUGUAUGUGAUUAAACCCAUAGUUCACAUCUUCAUGUGACCAAAAACCCAAAGGGUUUACUAGAGUCAAUAAUCUAGUUCACAUUGCUAUGUGAUUAACACCCAAAGAGUACAAAGGUAUGAUCAUGUUUUGCUCGUGAGAGAAGCUUAGUCAACGGUUCUGUCACAUUCAGAGCCGCAUGUAUUUUGCAAAUAUUCUAUGUCUACAAUGCUCUGCACGGAGCUACUAUAGCUAAUUGCUCCCACUUUCAACAUGUAUCCAGAUUGAGACUUAUAGUCAUCUGGAUCAGUGUAAAAGCUUGCACUGUUGUAACUCUUUACGACGGGCUCUUUUAUCACCUCCAUAAUCGAGAAAUAUUUCUUUAGUCCUCACUAAGGAUAUUCUUGACCGUUGUCCAGUGAUCUACUAUUAGAUAAAAAUUGUAUUCCUUUGCCAAACUCAGAGCAAGGUAUAUAAUAGGUCUGGUUCACAGCAUAGCAUACUUUAUAGAACCUAUGACUGAGGCAUAGGGAAUGACUUUUCAUUCUCUUUCUAUUUUCUGCAAUGGUCGGGUCUUGAGUCUUACUCAACUUCACACCUUGUAACACAGGCAAGAACUCCUUCUUUGACUGUUCCAUUUUAAACUAUUUCAAAAAUUUAUCAAGGUAUGUACUCAUUGAAAAAUCUUAUCAAGCGUCUUGAUCUAUCUAUAUAGAUCUUGAUGCUCAAUGUGUAAGCAGCUUCACCGAGGUCUUGCUUUGAAAAACUCUUAUUCAAGUAUCCUUUCAUGCUAUCUAGAAUUUCCAUAUCAUUUCCAAUUAACAAUAUGUCAUCCACAUAUAAUAUUAGAAAUGCUACAGAGCUCCCACUCACUUUCUUGUAAAUACAGGCUUCUUCAAAAGUCUGUAUAAAACCAUAUGCUUUGAUCAACUCAUCAAAGCAUAUAUUCCAACUCCGAGAUGCUUGCACCAGUCCAUAGAUGGAUCGCUGGAGCUUGCACAAUUUGUUAGCACUUUUAGGAUUGACAAAACCUUUUGGUUGCAUCAUAUACAACUCUUUUUAAGAAAACCAUUAAGGAAUGCAAUUUUGACAUCCAUUUGCCAGAUUUCAUAAAAUGUGGCAAUUGCUAACAUGAUUCGGACAGACUUAAGCAUCGCUACAGUUGAGAAAAUCUCAUUGUAGUCAACACCUUGAACUUGUCAAAAACCUUUCGCAACAAGUCGAGCUUAGUAGAUAGUAACACUACUAUCAGUGUUCGUCUUCCUCUUGAAGAUCCAUUUAUUUUCUAUGGCUUGCCGAUCAUCGGGCAAGUCAAUCAAAGUCCACACUUUGUUCUUAUAUAUGGAUCCUAUCUCAAAUUUCAUGGCCUCAAGCCAUUUUGCGGAAUCUGGGCUCACCAUCGCUUCUUCAUAGUUCUUAGGUUCGUCAUGGUCUAGUAACAUAACUUCCAGAACAGGAUUACCGUACCACUUUGGUGCAGAUCUUACUCUGUAAGACCUACGAGGUUCUGUAGUAACUUAAUCUGAAGUUUCAUGAUCAUCAUCAUUAACUUCCUCACUAAUUGGUGUAGUAGUCACAGGAACAGAUUUCUGUGAUGAACUAAUUUCCAAUAAGGGAGCAGGUACAGUUACCUCAUCAAGUUCUACUUUCCUCCCACUCACUUCUUUCGAGAGAAACUUCUUCUCUAGAAAGGAUCCAUUCUUGGCAACGAAUGUUUUGCCUUCAGAUCUAUGAUUGAAGGUGUACCCAACAGUUUCCUUUGGGUAUUCUAUGAAGACGCACUUCUCCGAUUUGGGUUUGAGCUUAUCAGGAUCAAACUUUUCAUAUAAGCAUCGUAGCCCUAAACGACAACUUGGGUUUUCUUGCUAAACCACAGUUCAUAUAGUGUCGUCUCAACGGAUUUAGAUGGUGCCCUUUUAAUGUGAAUGCAGCUGUCUCUAAUGCAUAACCCCAAAACGAUAAUGGUAAAUCAAUAAGAGACAUCAUAGAUCGCACCAAAAUAAAGUGCGGUUACGACGCUCGGACACACCAUAACAUUGUGGUGUUCUAGGUGGCGUGAGCUGUGAAACUAUUCCACAUUGUUUUAAUUGAAGACCAAAAUCGUAACUCAAAUAUUCGCCUCUGCGAUCAGAUCGCAGAAACUUUAUUUUCUUGUUACGAUGAUUUUUCCACUUCACUCUGAAAUUCUUUGAACCUUUGAACUAUUUCAGACUUAUGUUUCAUCAAGUAGAUAUACUCAUAUCUGCUCAAAUCAUCUUGUGAAGGUCAGAAAAUAACGAUACUUGCCACGAGCAUCAACACUCAUUGGAUCGCAUACAUCGGUAUGUAUUAUUUCCAAUAAGUCAGUAGCUCAUUCCAUUGUUCUGGAGAACGGAGUUUUAGUCAUCUUGCCUAAAAGGCACGGUUCGCAAGCAUCAAAUGAUUCAUAACCAAGUGAUUCCGAAAAUCCAUCUUUAUGGAGUUUCUUCAUGCGCUUUACACCGAUAUGACCCAAACAGCAGUGCCACAAAUAAGUUACACUAUCAUUAUUAAGUUUGCAUCUUUUGGCAUCAAUAUUAUGAAUAUGUGUAUCACUAUGAUCGAGAUCCAACAAACUAUUGUCAUUGGGUGUAUAACCAUUGAAGGACUUAUUCAUGUAAACAGAAUAACAAUUAUUCUUUAACUUCAAAUGAAUAACUGUAUCGCAAUAAACAUGAUCAAAUCAUAUUCAUGCUCAACGCAAACGCUAAAUAACAUUUAUUUAGGUUUAACACUAAUCCCGACAGUAUAGGGAGUGUGUGAUGAUGAUCAUAUCAAUCUUGGAACUAUUUCCAACACUUAUCAUCACUUCCCCUCAACUAGUCUCUGUUUAUUCUGUAACUCCUGUUUCGAGUUACUAAUCUUAGUGACCGAACAAGUAUCAAAUACUCAGGGGCUACUAUAAACACUAGUAAGGCAUACAUCAAUAACCUGUAUAUCAAAUACACCCUUGUUCACUUUGCCAUCCUUCUUAUCCACCAAAUAUUCAGGGCAUUUCCGCUUCCAGUGACCAUUUCCUUUGCAGUGUAAGCACUCAGUUUCAGGCUUUGGUCCAGCUUUGGUCUUCUUCACGGGAGUGACAACUUGCUUGCCAUUCUGCUUGAAGUUCCCUUUCUUUCCCUUUGCCCUUUUCUUGAAACUAGUGGUCUUGUCAAUCAUCAACACUUGAUGCUCUUUCUUGAUUUCUACCUUCGUCGAUUUCAGCAUCACGAAGAGCUUGGGAAUCGUUUUCGUCAUCCCUUGCAUUAUAGUUCAUCACGAAGUUCUACUAACUUGGUGGUGGUGACUAGAGAAUUCUGUCAAUCACUAUCUUAUCUGGAAGAUUAACUCCCACUUGAUUCAAGCGAUUGUAGUACCCAGACAAUCUGAGCACAUGCUCACUAGUUGAGCGAUUCUCCUCCAUCUUUUAGCUAUAGAACUUGUUGGAGACUUCAUAGCUCUCAACUCGGGUAUUUGCUUGAAAUAUUAACUUCAACUCAUGGAAUAUCUCAUAUGGUCCAUGAUGUUCAAAACGUUUUUGAAGUCCCGAUUCUAAGCCAUAAAGCAUGGUGCACAAAACUAUCAAGUAGUAAUCAUAUUGAGCUAGCCAAACGUUCAUAACGUCUGCAUCUGCUCCUAUAAUAGGUCUGUCACCUAGCGGUGCAUUAAGGACAUAAUUCUUCUGUGCAGCAAUGAGGAUAAACCUUAGAUCACGGAUCCAAUCCGCAUCAUUGCUACUAACAUCUUUCAACACAAUUUUCUCUAGGAACAUAUAAAAAUAAACAUAUGAAAGCAACAACGCAAGCUAUUGAUCUACAACAUAAUUUCCAAAAUACUACCAGGACUAAGUUCAUGAUAAAUUUAAGUUCAAUUAAUCAUAUUACUUAAGAACUCCCACUUAGACAGACAUCUCUCUAGUCAUCUAUGUGAUCACGUGAUCCAAAUCAACUAAACCAUGUCCGAUCAUCACGUGAGAUGGAGUAGUUUCAAUGGUGAACAUCACUAUGUUGAUCAUAUCUACUAUAUGAUUCACGCUCGACCUUUCGGUCUCCGUGUUCCAAGGCCAUAUCUGUAUAUGCUAGGCUCGUCAAGUAUGACCUGAGUAUUCCGCGUGUGCAACUGUUUUGCACCCGUUGUAUUUGAACGUAGAGCCUAUCACACCCGAUCAUCACGUGGUGUCUCAGCACGAAGAACUUUCACAACGGUGCAUACUUAGGGAGAACACUUCUUGAUUAUUAGUGAGAGAUCAUCUUAAAAUGCUACCGUCAAUCAAAGCAAGAUAAGAUGCAUAAAGGAUAAACAUCACAUGCAAUCAAUAUAAGUGAUAUGAUAUGGCCAUCAUCAUCUUGUGCUUGUGAUCUCCAUCUUCGAAGCACCGUCGUGAUCACCAUCGUCACCGGCGUGACACCUUCAUCUCCAUCGUAGCAUCGUUGUCGUUACGCCAUCUAUUGCUUCUACGACUAUCGCUACCACUUAGAGAUAAAGUAAAGCAAUUACAGGGCGUUUGCAUCUCAUACAAUAAAGCGACAACCAUAUGGCUCCUGCCAGUUGCCGAUAACUUCGGUUACAAAACAUGAUCAUCUCAUACAGAUAUAAUAUAGCAUCACGUCUUGACCAUAUCACAUCACAACAUGCCCUGCAAAAACAAGUUAGACAUCCUCUACUUUGUUGUUGCAAAUUUUACGUGGCUGCUACGGGCUUUAGCAAGAACCGUUCUUACCUGCGCAUAAAAACCACAACGAUAGUUCGUCAAAUUGGUGCUGUUUUAACCUUCGCAAGGACCGGGCGUAGCCACACUCGAUUCAGCUAAAGUGAGAGAGACAGACACCCGCCAGCCACCUUUAAGCACGAGUGCUCCUAAUGGUGAAACCAGUCUCGCGUAAGCGUACGCGUAAUGUCGGUCCGGCCCGCUUCAUCUCACAAUACCGCCGAACCAAAGUAUGACAUGCUGGUAAGCAGUAUGACUUGUAUCACCCACAACUCACUUGUGUUCUACUCGUGCAUAUAACAUCAACGCAUAAAACCUAGGCUCGGAUGCCACUGUUGGGGAACGUAGUAAUUUCAAAAAAAUUCCUACACACACGCAAGAUCAUGGUGAUGACAUAGCAACAAGAGGGGAGAGUGUUGUCCACGUACCCUCUUAGACCGUAAGCGGAAGCGUUAGCACAACGCGGUUGAUGUAGUCGUACGUCUUCAUGAUCCGACCGAUCCAAGCACCGAACGUACGGCACCUCCGAGUUCAGCACACGUUCAGCUCGAUGACGAUCCCCGGGCUUCGAUCCAGCAAAGCUUCGGGGAUGAGUUCCGUCAGCACGACGGCGUGGUGACGAUGAUGAUGUUCUACUGGCGCAGGGCUUCGCCUAAACUCCGCGACGAUAUGACCGAGGUGGAAUAUGGUGGAGGGGGGCACCGCACACGGCUAAGGAACGAUUCGUAGAUCAACUUAUGUGUUAUGGGGUGCCCCCUUGCCCCCGUAUAUAAAGGAGGGAGGGGGAGGUGCGGCCGGCCCCCUUGGGGUGCGCCUGGAGGAGUCCUACUCCCACCGGGAGUAGGACUCCCCCCUCUUGCCUUGGUGGAGAAGGAAAGGGGGGAGGGGAAAGAGGAAAGGGGGGCGUCGCCCCCCUUCCUUGUCCUAUUCGGACUAGAGGGGGAGGGGGCGCGCGGCCUGCCCUGGCCGGCCCUCCUCUUCUCCCUCAUGGCCCACUAAGGCCCAUUAACCCCCGGGAGGGUUCCGGUAACCCCCCGGUGUUCCGGUAAAAUCCCGAUUUCAUCCGGAACCUUUCCGAUGUCCAAACAUAGGCUUCCAAUAUAUCAAUCUUUAUGUCUCGACCAUUUCGAGACUCCUCGUUACGUCCGUGAUCACAUCCGGGACUCCGAACAAACUUCGGUACAUCAAAACUUAUAAACUCAUAAUAAAACUGUCAUCGUAACGUUAAGCGUGCGGACCCUACGGGUUCGAGAACUAUGUAGACAUGACCUAGAACUAUUCUCGGUCAAUAACCAAUAGCGGAACCUGGAUGCCCAUAUUGGUUCCUACAUAUUCUAUGAAGAUCUUUAUCGGUCAAACCGCAUAACAACAUACGUUGUUCCCUUUGUCAUCGGUAUGUUACUUGCCCGAGAUUUGAUCGUCGGUAUCCAAUACCUAGUUCAAUCUCGUUACCAGCAAGUCUCUUUACUCGUUACAUAAUGCAUCAUCGCGUAACCAACUCAUUGGUAACAUUGAUUGCAAGGCUUGUAGUGAUGUGCAUUACCGAGAGGGCCCAGAGAUACCUCUCCGACAAUCGGAGUGACAAAACCUAAUCUCGAAAUAUGCCAACUCAACAUGUACCUUUGGAGACACCUGUAGUGGUCCUUUAUAAUCACCCAGUUACGUUGUGAUGUUUGGUAGCACCCAAAGUGUUUCUCCGAACGGGAGUUGCAUAAUCUCAUAGUUACAGGAACAUGUAUAAGUCAUGAAGAAAGCAAUAGCAACAUACUAAACGAUCAAGUGCUAGGCUAAUGGAAUGGGUCAUGUCAAUCACAUCAUUCUCCUAAUGAUGUGAUCCCGUUAAUCAAAUGACAACUCUUUUGUCCAUGGCUAGGAAACUUAACCAUCUUUGAUUCAACGAGCUAGUCAAGUAGAGGCAUACUAGUGACACUAUGUUUGUCUAUGUAUUCACACAUGUAUUAUGUUUCUGGUUAAUACAAUUCUAGCAUGAAUAAUAAACAUUUAUCAUGAUAUAAGGAAAUAAAUAAUAACUUUAUUAUUGCCUCUAGGGCAUAUUUCCUUCAGUUUAAUCCUGUCCACCUUACUAAUGAACUGGUUCACCGAAAUGAGUUUCAUAUACUAGUACAUGCUAAACUUGUUAUUUGUCUGCUUGUUUCUUGUUUUAGAAUGCUGACAGAAUAUUGGGAAAAGUGCCUUAUUAAGCAAUGGUAUAGGAGGUAAUGCAGAUAAGGUUUAGGAUAGUGACACAUCCUUGUUGGUCUCCAACAAAGCUGAUAAAACAGCUAAGGAAGACUAUCUUGAAGACAGCGAGACAACCCCAAAGUCCUGUCUUGGUUUAGUGUUCGAGUUACUGGCCACUACCGCUUGCACAAGCUAUUCAAACUCACUGUCUGAAUCAGUUCAGUUUCUUGAGUCUCAACUACAAGCUGAAAGACAUCGAUCAGCUGUGGUGCAACAAGAAGCGGAAGGAGUGCGGAAGUCCCUGGAGCAUUCAGAUGCAUACUUUCUGGUGCAACAGCAAGCGUUGGAGGAUUUUAGCGCCAAACAGGACAAAGCUAAUCAGCUUGCUAAGCUUAUUGCCACCAUAGUGGAUACCCAGGAUAACGUUUCUUGAGCUCUUCUGAAGUUGUUUCAGUUAUGCUGUUGUUUUGCUGUCGCGUUUAUUUGCACUGGUGGCCAAUUUUGACGGCCAGUGUAUGUAGUGUGCUGCUUUAUUCCCAAUAUUUGCACUGGUGGCGAACUUUGAUGCCCAGUGGAUGUAAUAUGUGUAAUAGCGGUAAUAGGCUAGCGUUAAUUGCUUGCUUAUUUAUUUCCUUAUUGUCUUGUUUUGUUGUUUGAUUGUAGUCACUGCAGUUCUUUUUCUGUGUUUUUGUAGUGGCCACAAUAGCCUAUUUUUGGUAACUAGGCCAAAAUUAUCAUGGCAACACACGGACUGUUCUAACCAUGGGCCUCCUGCAGGCCGUAUGAUCCAUGGGCCUUCUUCCGACCGUAGGUUCCAUCAGCCUUCUAUACGGGCCUUAGGGUCCAUGGGCCUUCUACGGGCCGUAGGGUCCAUGGGCCUUCUGCGGGCCGCAGGGUCCAUGGGCCUUCUACGGGCCGUACGUUCCAUGGGCCUCAUACGGGCCAUAGGAUCCAUGGGCCUUCUACGGGGCGUAUCAUCAUUUCACCAAUCCUGGGCCGUACUAUUCAUGGACCAUAACGGGCCGUUAAUAGGUCGUAUUUGAUAACUCUAUGAAAACAGCCCAACGGGUUUUUUUUGACAUGAAAACGACCCAACGUAUUAAUGGUCCGCAAAUGGGCCAACUGUAACGACGGGCUGAAUUUGGCCGACAAGCAGAAAAUCACAGUAACGGGCCGUAUGUAACCGAAUGCUGCAAAUGAGCCCAAGAAUCAAUGGGCCCUGAGAAGGCCGAAAGAUAACUUGGGCUGGAAAUGGCCCAAUGGAAUAACGGGUCGUUAAUGGGUAUAACGUGAUACACUGUUCAUUACAGGCCAGUUUCACCACGGGCUGUUAAUGGGCCAAGAUUUACAAAGGGCCUCAUAUGGGCCGAAAGAAGUCAUGGGCCACACAUGGGCCGGAAGUUAAAAUGGGCUGGAAUCAUAUUGGACGGCCCAGAUGAUGCUACUGGGCCUAAUUCGGAUAGGGCGUAACGGGCCCUGGGUUAGCGGGCUGUAAAUGGACUAUAUGCGAACAGGUCGUUAACAGGCUUUCCGUGGGCCGGCCCGCCACCUUUUGACCAAGUCAAACGGGCCGGCCUUUUCACAGGAAUGGGCCUCUGUUGGGCCGUGCCACGUGUUGCCGUAUCAUAGGUGCCUUCGGUCCAAUGAGCGGAUGACAUCUGUCCCAGCGGUGAGCCGACACGUGUUUCCUCCAGCCAAUGAUGAUUUUACACGUUGAAAAUCCCCAUUGGUCGGGGCUGUUAAUGGGUUAAAGGAUCCAAAACCCGACCCGAUAGCUUAACGGCGUUCCGUUACGGUGGAUGCCACAUGUCGGUCACCCUUGAUGAAAGCACUUCUGUGAUGCGCGAUUUAUCGUCAUGGGAGUGGACACUUCCGUGAUGAUAAUUUUGGUAAUGUCAUCGAACACUUCUAUGACAACACAGGUAUGACUAUCUUGAUCCUGUCAUAAAUUUGUCAUGGAUGUACAUGCAUGACAAAAAAUGCGACCUACUAUGACAAACACGUAUCAUCACGGAAGUGUAUUUUUUUGUAGUGGAUGCAGGCAGGAGUUGGUCUACUUGCAUCGAAUGUGAUGCCUAUAUGCAUGAUCAUUGCCAUGAAUCCAUCAUAAUUAUUUGCUUUUCUAUCAAUUGCCCAACAACAAUUUGUUUACCCACCGUAUGUUCUGCAAUCAAGAGAGAAGCAUCUAGUAAAAACUAUGGCCCCUUGGUGUACUUUUAUCAUAUAUAAAAACACAAAAAUACCUAGCUGCAAUUUAUUUACUUUUAUUUUAUUUUGUAUUUUACUUUAUCCAUCUAUCACUAUCAGAAUUAGUCAUUGCAAAUAACCGCUACGAGGAUUGACAAGCCUAUUAUUUGCGUUGGGUGCAAGUGUUUGGUUUUGUGUGUGCAGGUGCUGCUAACAAUGUUUUGUGUGGUUCACCUAAUGGAUUCAUAACCUUGAUUCUUAACUGAGUGAAAUACUUAUUUGUACUAUACUGCAUCAUCCUCUCCUCCUUGGGAAUUAACAACAUAGUCUACAAGUAGCACUCUCCGUUGAAAUGUUAAAUUGUAAUUAGUCCUUACUCCCGAAUUAAUAGUACUUCAAUUUGAAACAAGUUUCGGACAUGUUAAUUAUGUUAUGUUCAUAAUACUACAGUUCAUAUAUAAGUAAACGUCGCAUAACAUUGAGAUUGUAGUUAGGGAUGGAAAUCAAAAUAUGGCAUGAAUGUAACAAUUGCUAGCAAUGUGCUUCAGAAAAGAACUUAUUUGACUUUUAUUCCCAUGUUUGGACUAGUACAGGUCGGGGUUACACAUGAUGGUGCACAUCACUUUCUUUAUCACCGUUACAUUAUGCUCCAUUGACUAACAACGAUGAUUCACCCGUCUAGUAUUACAUCUAUUCAUUUCAUAGGCCACUGAUACUUAUAACGUCGCUCCCAGAUGGUUGUUGUUGUGGAUAUUGUUGGUAUGGGGAAGGUUCUUGUGAUUGCUGGGGUGGGUAUGGUAUUGGAAAUUGUUUUUGGGGGGAUUGUUGUGGUGGUUGCAGGGGGAAUUGUUGUUGGGGGAAUUGUUGUUGUUCAGGGGAUUGUUGUNNNNNNNNNNNNNNNNNNNNNNNNNNNNNNNNNNNNNNNNNNNNNNNNNNNNNNNNNNNNNNNNNNNNNNNNNNNNNNNNNNNNNNNNNNNNNNNNNNNNNNNNNNNNNNNNNNNNNNNNNNNNNNNNNNNNNNNNNNNNNNNNNNNNNNNNNNNNNNNNNNNNNNNNNNNNNNNNNNNNNNNNNNNNNNNNNNNNNNNNNNNNNNNNNNNNNNNNNNNNNNNNNNNNNNNNNNNNNNNNNNNNNNNNNNNNNNNNNNNNNNNNNNNNNNNNNNNNNNNNNNNNNNNNNNNNNNNNNNNNNNNNNNNNNNNNNNNNNNNNNNNNNNNNNNNNNNNNNNNNNNNNNNNNNNNNNNNNNNNNNNNNNNNNNNNNNNNNNNNNNNNNNNNNNNNNNNNNNNNNNNNNNNNNNNNNNNNNNNNNNNNNNNNNNNNNNNNNNNNNNNNNNNNNNNNNNNNNNNNNNNNNNNNNNNNNNNNNNNNNNNNNNNNNNNNNNNNNNNNNNNNNNNNNNNNNNNNNNNNNNNNNNNNNNNNNNNNNNNNNNNNNNNNNNNNNNNNNNNNNNNNNNNNNNNNNNNNNNNNNNNNNNNNNNNNNNNNNNNNNNNNNNNNNNNNNNNNNNNNNNNNNNNNNNNNNNNNNNNNNNNNNNNNNNNNNNNNNNNNNNNNNNNNNNNNNNNNNNNNNNNNNNNNNNNNNNNNNNNNNNNNNNNNNNNNNNNNNNNNNNNNNNNNNNNNNNNNNNNNNNNNNNNNNNNNNNNNNNNNNNNNNNNNNNNGGGGAGUUGUUCUGGUUGCUGGGGGAUUUGAUGUUGUUGGGGGAUUUGUUGUUGGGAGAAUUGUUGUGGUUGGGGGACUUGUUGUUGUUGGGGGAAUUGUUCUUGUGGAGUAUUGCACUACUAGGAAAAGGGCUACUAGUGGCGCACCAGAUUUGCCUACUAGUGGCGCAUCACUUGUGCGCCAUUAGUAUCACGCCACUAGAAUUUUUUUCUAAUGGCGCACCACUGGUGCGCCAUUAGUAUCUGGUAUACUAAUGGCGCACCAGGCAGUGCGCCAUUAGUUUUGCCCAUGGUGCGCCACUAGUGUCUGCUAUACUAAUGGCGCACCACACUGUAAUGCGCCAUUAGUAACAAUUUUUUUAAUUUUUUUUUCUUAAUCUCAGGUCACUAUUUCACCUAUGAGAUAUCCAACACAUAUAUAUAUACAACAAGCAUCCAUAUAUAAAUACAUAGCCAACACACAAGUUCCAUCAUAUAUACAUACAUAGCCAACACACAAGUUCCAUCGUUACAUAUUACAAAAGUUUCACAUUGUUCAUCCAACACCGUUAUCCAUCAAUUCACAAAAGUUUCACAUUGAUACAAAAUAAAAACACAAAUGGAAAAGAAGCACUCCAUCCAUGCAAGCUUCCGUGAAUUAAAUCAAAUAUGCAAAAUGAUAAACAAGAAGUUAGAAGAAGAAAAAGAAGAAGACUAGAAGAAUACUAGAAGAAGAAGAACACUAGAAGAAGAAUAAGAAGAAUUUUGGAAAAGAAAUAAGAAGAAGACUAUAAGCUUAUUAUGUAAACUUGAUCAUUUUGUGCUAACAUAAGUUAUUUUGGAGCUAACCUAUAGGAAACUAAGCAUAUAAGCUCUAAGUUAGUAUAUUAGAGCCAACUUAGGUAAAAUGAAGCUAACCUAUGUCAUUUUGGAAAAGAAGAAGAAUAAGAAAAAGACAAUAAGCUUAUUAUGUAAACUUGAUCAUUUUGUGCUAACAUAAGUUAUUUUGGAGCUAACCUAUAGGAAACUAAGCAUAUAAGCUCUAAGUUAGCAUAUUAGAGCCAAUUUAGGUAAAAUGAAGCUAACCUAUAGGAAACUAAGCAUAUUAGAGAUAACAUAGGUAACUAAGUAUAUAUAUAUAUAUCAUUUUGGAGAUCUGACAUGCCUGACAAAGUUCAGUUCUCAUGCAUUGUUCUUCUCCUUCUCCUUCCUCAGUCUGAUGUGCCAAGAGCGGCAAGGCGGUGGAGGCGGUGGAGGCAGUGGGAUGUAGUCUUCUACCUCAAUUGGCGUGGUCAUGUUGCCCAGCUGUGGGAUCGCCGGCGCCACCACCGGUGCGUGGUCAUUGUCAGGCACCACCACCAUCGCGAGGCCACCUUCAGGCAUGACCAUCACUAGGUCAUCCUCAGCCACCUCCAUCUCUUGCCCAUGGUCAGCCAGCACCAUCUCUUGCCCAUGGUCAGCCACCACCAUCUCUUGCCCAUGUUCAGCCACCACCAUCUCUUGUCCUUGGUCAGCCACCACCAGCGCUAGGUCAUCCUCAGCCUGAUGCCCAUCGUCAUCCUGCAGCUCCUCAUCCCCACUCUGCUCCUCUUCUCCCGCACUCCAGUCCGGAUCAUCCUUCUUGUUGUCUAUGCUGCUGCCAGAAUCGUUGCUGCUUUCGCUACAACCAGAAUCGCUGCUGCUUUCGCUACAGCCAUGGUCGCUGCUGCUUUCGCUAUAGCCAUGGUCGCUACUGCUUUAUCUGUAGCCAUUGUCGCUGCUGCUGCUCCCAUUACCUGUCCAAAUGCAACAAUGACCGUUAACAAUCGAUGUGAGACAAAGCCAAAUGUAGAGGAAUAAGAAGAGGCGGAACCUACCGGCAUCAUAAUCUUCAGCGUAGCGCAUGCGACACAUAGUCGUGUUGAACACCUUCACGAUGAGCAUGGUGGCGUCGUCGUCGUAACUGAAGAGAAGGAAGUACCCUAGCCGCAGGUCGUAGGCACGGUAGAACUUCUCCCACCCACGAGACAAGUACAUGUGGCCCUUCUUGAUCACCAACUCCGCAUCCCACAGCCUGUGAAACCCGCUGCCGGCCUGUCGCACCUUCACAUUAUUUGGCGGAUCUUCACCCAUCAGCAUGUUCUUAAAACUGUCAGGCAGCCUCUGUAGUUUGGGACAAUAAGUGAUGUAGGCAAACAACAGAUAUCAUAAUGAGAUGGGUGAAGCUAGGGGAGAUCUCUCAUUUUAUAUACCUGCGUCAUGGAUGAUACUGAAGUCCCAAGUAUGAUAGUGAAGAACUCGGAAGCAUCCAACUCGUACUGCGGUGUCGCAGAGCGGCGGUGGCUGCUUCCCGCCAUCUCUAAUAAUUAAGCAGCAGAAGAGACCAAUUAGUACCCUUACAACCGAACAAGGCAAGGCAAGGUAUUAAGACAGAUGUGAACACAUGAGAUAAAAUCUAGAGACGUGAACACAUGAGAACUACUCGUCAUCAUCACCAAUAUUGUGACCAGUGUGAUCUUCAUCAUCACUACCAUAUUGCAUUGUAGUUUCAUCGUGGUCAUCCUCCAAUAAUUCAAACUGAUUGUAUGAUAAGAUAGCAGAGAGAUACAUUCCAAACUGUGAAUGUGGUAUGGCAAUGGACUUGUAAUCAUAUCGUUGUUCAUAGCUAAAAUAACACCUUGUAUAAGACGAAAUCAUGAUCUGGCAAACAUAUAGAUUUACCAGCAAACUUGUGUGCCUAACUAUCUAUAUCUAGGAAAUCAAAGUUAUUUCAACUUUGAUGUUUGGAAUAUACCUAGAGAAACAUGAUUUAUUUAUUUUACUUCACACUCACAACUAAACAGCUUGAGCAAAAAGGACUCGAUAAAAGGUAUCACUAUGCAUAAUUAUUUGUAGCUACAAACAAUACAUGUAAUGAGCUAGAAAAGCCACCUUACCAUCAUUAACAGUACUCAUAAGUCAUAACCCACUUUCCAAAUUUAAUUGGGAACCCUUUCAUAACCAUCACCUUUUCUAAAAAUCCUAGCAGGACAAAGUUGACUACCUUGAAGAGACGUACUAUGUAUUAUUACCGAGGUAGAGUGUGAGGUAUGCCUUUCAAGUUUGUGUCCGUCGUAGUUGAGGUGACCAACUGUUUUUGUUUACUAGCAUAUGUGUGCACGCCUGACGACUUUGCUGGUUAGUGUCUGGUGUGCAAGCUUAAUAUACGGGCGUGCACGUGCAUGCAUAUGCGAUAUGCCGUGCCGGUUUUCAAAAUAAUUCAGUGCCACCGGCCAGAUUUGAACAGCCAAAAAGUAGUGCGGGUGGAGGCGCUGCCAGGUAUGCACAAAUAAACAAAGCAAAAGCAUACUGGACGGUAAUAAAUUUCUCUUAGGUUUUGCAAGUGGCCAACAGAGAUAAAAAUUCAACGACAACAGGGCGGCCCUGACGUGUAACAGGGCACCUCAGCCAGUAACUUAUCAGUUCAUCACACAAAAGAAUUGCACAAAGUGGUGCAACUUGCAAUCAUAUACCAUCGCGGGGUCGAAAGCAACAACAUAGAUUAUCAGAUGAGAUUAUCAGGAACAAAAGUGAAGUGGCACACCAAGAAUACCAAGAAAGCACCAGCAUUCUCAGGUGACAUCAUAACGACCGCAAGUGAAUUGACAUUGCAAGUUUGCAACAAACACACCAGCACUAUCCAGUGAGAUUUAUAUGAGCCCAUAUGGCAUAGCAACUGCAGCUUCAGAAACUACGGUUCGCCAGGUUAACCAUCUGCGAAUAUGCAAGGAGCAGAUGACGAAUAAUAAAUUUGCGCAAUGUCCAAACGCUGGAAAGAGGAAACGAAACCCCUGGACCAUUAGCCAUCAAGAAAACAAGGCAAUUCAUUUACGAAUGACUUCAGUAUCUUGUUAAAGCAGUUUAAAGGAACAUUGACCAAACAUAUAGGCCUAUAUCUUUGGAUCAUCGUUCCAAUAGGCAACAAAGUAAUAAUGCCAUAGUUAAGUCUUCCUACGUCCAACUUUCCAUUAAAAUAAAUCAUGAAACAGAGGCAUCAAAUCAUAGUUAAUGUUCCAUCCUUUCAACUUUUUUCUCACUACUCUAACUCUAUUUUGCCACUUUUUUCUCAUAGUUAUCCAACUUUCCAAAAUUUUCUUCUAUUUUCUAUAAAAACUUUCAUAGUUGUAUCAAAAUGAAAUGCAUUCCAAACUUUGCUGGCCACCUCACUUAGAUGCUCUCUAAGAAACUANNNNNNNNNNNNNNNNNNNNNNNNNNNNNNNNNNNNNNNNNNNNNNNNNNNNNNNNNNNNNNNNNNNNNNNNNNNNNNNNNNNNNNNNNNNNNNNNNNNNNNNNNNNNNNNNNNNNNNNNNNNNNNNNNNNNNNNNNNNNNNNNNNNNNNNNNNNNNNNNNNNNNNNNNNNNNNNNNNNNNNNNNNNNNNNNNNNNNNNNNNNNNNNNNNNNNNNNNNNNNNNNNNNNNNNNNNNNNNNNNNNNNNNNNNNNNNNNNNNNNNNNNNNNNNNNNNNNNNNNNNNNNNNNNNNNNNNNNNNNNNNNNNNNNNNNNNNNNNNNNNNNNNNNNNNNNNNNNNNNNNNNNNNNNNNNNNNNNNNNNNNNNNNNNNNNNNNNNNNNNNNNNNNNNNNNNNNNNNNNNNNNNNNNNNNNNNNNNNNNNNNNNNNNNNNNNNNNNNNNNNNNNNNNNNNNNNNNNNNNNNNNNNNNNNNNNNNNNNNNNNNNNNNNNNNNNNNNNNNNNNNNNNNNNNNNNNNNNNNNNNNNNNNNNNNNNNNNNNNNNNNNNNNNNNNNNNNNNNNNNNNNNNNNNNNNNNNNNNNNNNNNNNNNNNNNNGGGAAGAAGUGGGCGCGGGGGCGGGGGUCGGGGCGGUGGCGCCAGGGGACGGAGGGGGCGUGGGGGCGCGGGGGCGCGGCGGCGGCGUAUGGUUGGGGCGGAGGGGGCGUACUGAGUGGGGAGGAAGGGAGGGAGAGGGAAUAAGUUUUUUGCCAAAAAGUAAAAAAUAAAUAAAUUUACUGACGCACUCUGUCUCUAGUGCGCCAUUAGUAGUUCUAACUACUAAUGGCGCACUUUGCCCGGAUGCGCCAUUAGAAUGUUUGAAAAAAUGAAAAAAAAUUGUUUUACUAGUGGCGCACCUUCUGCCUGGUGCGCCAUUAGUGUAUUCCACACUAAUGGCGUAUCUCCACCAGGUGCGCCAUUAGUAUAUAGUAGUGGCGCACCACUUCUCUGGUGCGCCAUUAGUGUCAGUCCUAUCUUUAGCCCUUUUCCUAGUACUGUUGAAUUCCUUGCCUCUAGGGCUUAACUGCCUACUGGCACUGGCGAUGUUCAUCGCCAUGGCAAGGAGGACAAAUAUGAUGAAGGUCUUCAUGUUUGAUUUGUGUUUACUAUUGCUCACUUGGCUUUGAUGUUUCAGCUCUAGGUGCUUGAAGGUUAGAUGAUGGAAGAGACCCUCAUGGUGUAGUCAUAUUUAUAGCUGGCAUCGCACAUUUUUUUUGAUCUUCACACUCAUUUCUUGAAAAAGUGCUCUUAAGCUUAUCGACCUAAUAAUUAGGUAUGUUGUGUUUGAUGGCACUACUUACUAGGGUGACUUUGGAUUGUUCAUCAUAGUUGAUUCUUCUUUCUCAUAUCAUCUGGGUGUAUCAAAUGCUUGAUAACGAAUAAUGAAUCAUCGUAUUCACUUUACACUUCAAAUAUCGAUCUAGAUUUUGUCCGUCUUUCUGAUUUAGCUUGUGCUGUUCUGCAUGUUGUUGUUGGAAAUAUGCCCUAGAGGCAAUAAUAAAAUGGCUAUUAUUGUAUUUCCUUGUUCAUGAUAAUUGUCUAUUAUUCAUGCUAUAAUUGUAUUGACCGGAAACCGCAAUACAUGUGUGAAUACAUAGACCACAACAUGUCCCUAGUGAGACUCUAGUUGACUAGCUCGUUGAUCAACAGAUGGUCAUGGUUUCCUCACCAUGGACAUUGGAUGUCAUUGAUAACGGGAUCACAUCAUUAGGAGAAUGAUGUGAUGGACAAGACCCAAUCCUAAGCCUCGCACAAGAUCGUGUAGUUCGUAUGCUAAAGUUUUUCUAAAUGUCAAGUGUCUUUUCCUUAGACCAUGAGAUUAUGCAACUCCCGGAUACCAUAGGAAUGCUUUCGCUGUACCAAACGUCACAACGUAACUGGGUGGCUAUAAAGGUGCACUACGGGUAUCUCCGAAAGUGUCUGUUGGGUUGGCACGAAUCGAGACUGGGAUUUGUCACUCUGUGUGACGGAGAGGUAUCUCUGGGCCCACUCGGUAGGACAUCAUCAUAAUGUGCACAAUGUGAUCAAGGAGUUGAUCACGGGAUGAUGUGUUACGGAACGAGUAAAGAGACUUGCCGGUAACGAGAUUGCACAAGGUAUCGGCAUACCGACGAUCGAAUCUCGGGCAAGUACUAUACCGGUAUACAAAGGGAAUUGUAUACGGGAAUGAUUGAAUCCUUGACAUCAUGGUUCAUCUGAUGUGAUCAUCGUGGAACAUGUGGGAGCCAACAUGGGUAUCCAGAUCCCGCUGUUGGUUAUUGGCCGGAGAGUUGUCUCGGUCAUGUCUGCAUGGUUCCCGAACCCGUAGGGUCUACACAGUUAAGGUUCGAUGACGCUAGGGUUAUAGGGAAGGUAUGUAUGCGGUUACCGAAUGUUGUUCGGAGUCCCAGAUGAUAUCCCGGACAUCACGAGGAGUCCCAGAAUGGUCCGGAGGUGAAGAUUGAUAUAUUGGACGAAGGGUUUUGGAGUCCGGAAGUGUUCCGGAGGUACCGGGUGAUGACCAGCAUGACCGAAAGGUGUUUCGGGAGCCCCGGCAAGUGUUGGGGGGGAUUCAUGGGCCAAGGGGAGGGGGCAAACCAGCCCACUAAGGGGCUGUGCGCCCCCCCCCCCUCACCUAUUCCCACGUGACCGGGUGGUUUGGGGCGCCCCAUCUAGGGUUCCCACCUCCUGGCUUGGGGGCCAAGUCACCCAAAGGGGAGAUCCCAUCUGCCCUGGCCCCCCCCUAGGGAAACCCUAGGGCGCCUCCCCCUCUCCCUUCCCCCUAUAUAUAAUGGAGAUUUUGGGGCUGCCCAACACAUGAGUCUAUCUCUCCCAAGGUGCAGCCCUACCUCUCUCCCUCCUCGUCUCUCGUAGUGCUUGGUGAAGCCCUGCUGGAGUACCGCGCUCCUCCACCACCACCACGCCGUCGUGCUACUGCUGGACGGAGUCUUCCCCAACCUCUCCCUCUCUCCUUGCUGGAUCAAGGCAUGGGAGACGUCACCGGGUUGCACGUGUGUUGAGCGUGGAGGCGCCGUUGUUCGACACUUAGAUCGGAAUCGACCGCGAUCUGAAUCGCCACGAGUACGACUACCUCAUCCGCGUUCUUGUAACGCUUCGGCUUAGCGAUCUACAAGGGUAUAUAGAUGCACUCCCCUCUCUCUUUUGUUGCUAGAAUCUCCAUAGAUUGAUCUUGGUGAUGCGUAGAUAAUUUUGAAUUUCUGCUACGUUCCCCAACAGUGGCAUCAUGAGCAAGGUCUAUUGCGUAGAUUCUAUGCACGAGUAGAACACAAGUUGUUGUGGCGUUGAUUUUGUUCAAUAUGCUUACUGUUACUAGUCCUAUCUUGUUUCGACUGUAUUUUGGGAUGAAGCAGCCCGGACCGACCUUACAUGUACACUUACGUGAGACAGGUUCCACCGAAUGACAUGCACUUGUUGCAUAAGGUGGCUAGCGGGUGCCAGUCUCUCCCACUUUAGUCGGAUCGGAUUCAAUGAAAAGGGUCCUUAUGAAGGGUAAAUAGCAAUUGGCAUAUCACGUUGUGGCUUCUACGUAGGUAAGAAAUGUUCUUGCUAGAAACCCAUAGCAGCCACGUAAAACAUGCAAACAACAAUUAGAGGGCGUCUAACUUGUUUUAGCAGGGUAUGCUAUGUGAUGUGAUAUGGCCAAAAGAAUGUGAUCAAUGAUAUGUGAUGUAUGAGAUUGAUCAUGUUCUUGUAAUAGGAAUCACGACUUGCAUGUCGAUGAGUAUGACAACCGGCAGGAGCCAUAGGAGUUGUCUUUAUUUAUUGUAUGACCUGCGUGUCACUGAAUAACGCCAUGUAAUUACUUUACUUCAUUGCUAAACCGUUAGCCAUAGUAGUAGAAGUAAUAGUUGGCGAGACAACUUCAUGGAGACACGAUGAUGGAGAUCAUGAUGAUGGAGAUCAUGGUGUCAUGCCGGUGACGAUGAUGAUCAUGGAGCCCCGAAGAUGGAGAUCAGAAGGUGAAAAAUGAUAUUGGCCAUAUCAUGUCACCUUUUGAUUGCAUAUGAUGUUUAUCAUGUUUAUGCAUCUUAUUUUCUUAGAGCGAUGGUAGUAAAUUAGAUGAUCCCUCAUAAUAAUUUCAAGAAAGUGUUCCCCCUAACUAUGCACCGUUGCGAAAGUUCGUUGUUUCAAAGCACCACGUGAUGAUUGGUUGUGAUAGAUUCUAACGUUCAGAUACAACGGGUGUAAGCCAGAUUUACACACGCGAAACACUUAGGUUGACUUGCUGAGCCUAGCAUGUACAGACAUGGCCUCGGAACACAAGAGACUCAAAGGUCGAACAUGAGUCUUAUAGUGGAUACGAUCAACAUGAAGAUGUUCACCGAUGAUGACUAGUCUGUCUCCCGUGAUGAUCAGACACGGCCUAGUUGACUCAGAUCAUGUAUCACUUAGAUGACUAGAGGGAUGUCUAUCUGAGUGGGAGUUCAUAAGAUGAACUUAAUUAUGCUGAACAUAGUCAAAAGGUUUUUGAAAAUUAUGCCGUAGCUCGCGCUUUAAUUCUGUUGUUUUAGAUAUGUUCCUCGAGAAAAUUUAGUUGAAAAUUGAUAGUAGCAAUUAUGAGGACUCGGUCUGUAAACUGAGGAUUGUCCUCAUUGCUGCGUAGAAGGCUUAUGUCCUUAAUGCAUCACUCGGUGUGCUGAACCUCGAACGUCGUUUGUGGAUGUUGCGAACAUCUGACAUACACGUUUUGAUGGCUACGUGAUAGUUUAGUGGGUAAUGUUAAAUGGUUUAGAAUUGAGGCACCGAAGACAUUUUUGAAAUGUCGCAGAACAUAUGAGAUGUUCCAAGAGCUGAAAUUGGGAUUUCAGGCUCGUGCCCACGUCAAGAGGUAUAAGACCUCCGACGAGCUUCUUAGCCUACAAACUAAGGGAGAAAAGCUCAAUCGUUGAGCUUGUACUCAGAUUUUCUGGGUACAACAAUCACUUGAAUCGAGUGGGACUUAAUCUUCCAGAUGAGAUAGUGAUGUUUCUCCAAAGACAUUGCCACCAAGCUACUAGAGCUUCGUGAUGAACUAUAACAUAACGGGGAUAGAUAUGAUGAUCCUUGAGCUAUUCGCGAUGUUCGACACCGCGAAAGUAGAAAUCAAGUAGGAGCAUCAAUUGCUGAUGGUUAGUAAAACCACUAGUUUCAAGAAGGGCAAGGGCAAGAAGGGAUACUUCAUGAAACAGCAAAACAGUUGCUGCUCUAGUGAAAGACCCAAGGUUGAACCCAAACCCGAGACUAAGUGCUUCUGUAAUGAGAGGAACGGACACUAAAGCAGAACCACCCUAGAUACUUGGUAGAUAAGAAGGCAGGCAAGGUCGACGGAAGUAUAUUGGAUAUACAUCAUAUUAUUGUGUACUCUACUAGUACUCCUAGUAGCACCAUGAUAAUAGAUACCGGUUCAGUUGCUAAGUGCUAGUAACUCGAAAUAAAAGGCUACGGAAUAAACGGAGACUAGCUAAAGGUGAGAUAACGAUGUGUGUUGGAAGUGUUUCCAAGGUUGAUGUGAUCAAACAUCGCACGCUCUCUCUACCAUCGGGAUCGGUGUUAAACCUACAUAAUUGUUAUUUGGUGUUUGCGUUGAGCAUAGACAUGAUUGGAUUAUGUCUAUCGCAAUAAGGUUAUUCAUUUCAGGAGAAUAAUGGUUAAUCUAUUUAUUUGAAUAAUACCUUCAAUGGUCUUGCACCUAAAAUGAAUGGUUUAUUGAAUCUCGAUCGUAGUGAUACACAUGUUCAUGCCAAAAGAUAUAAGAUAGUAAUGAUAGUACCACCUAAUUGCGGCACUGCCAUGUAAGUCAUAUUGGUAUAAAACGCAUGAAGAAGCUCCAUGUUGAUGGAUCUUUGGACUCACUCGUUUCCGAAAACUUUGAGACAUGUGAACCAUGUCUAUUGGUAUGUGCGCAUGAAGAAACUCCAUGCAGAUGGAUCAUUUGGACUCACUUGAUUCUAAAUCACUUGAGACAUGCAAAUCAUACCACAUGGGCAAGAUGACUGAAAAGCCUUGUUUUCAGUAAGAUGGAACAACAGAGCAACUUGUUGGAAGUAAUACAUUUUGAUGUGUGAUGUCCAAUGAAUGCCGAGGCACGCAGUGGAUAUCGUUAUGUUCUUACUUCACAGAUGUUUUGAGUAGAUGCUAAGUAUAUUUACUUGAUGAAACACAAGUCUGAAUUAUUGAAAGGUUCAAGUAAUUUCAGAGUGAAGUUGAAGAUCGUCGUGACAAGUGGAUAAAAUGUCUAUGAUAUGAUCAUAGAGAUGAAUAUCUGAGUUGCGAGUUUGGUACACAAUUAAGACAUUGUGGAAAUUGUUUCACAACUAACACCGCCUGGAACACCAUAGUGUGAUGGUGUGUCCGAACAUCAUAACUGCACCCUAUUUGAUAUGGUGCAUGCCAUGAUGUCUCUUAUCGAAUUACCACUAUCGUUUAUGGGUCAAGCAUUAGAGACAACCACAUUCACUUUAAAUAGGGCACCACGUAAUUCCGUUGAGACGACAUCGUAUGAACUAUGGUUUAGAGAAACCUAAGCUGUCAUUUCUUAAAAGUUUGGGGCUGCGACGCUUAUGUGAAAAGGUUUCAGCCAGAUAAGCUCGAACCCAAAGCGGAUAAAUACAUCUUCAUAGGACACCCCAAAACAGUUGGGUAUAACUCCUAUUUCAGAUCCGGAAGCAAAAGUGAUUGUUUCUAGAAACGGGUCCUUUCUCGAGGAAAAGUUUCUCUCGAAAGAAUUGAGUGGGAGGAUGGUGGAGACUUGAUGAGGUUAUUGAACCGUCACUUCAACUAGUGUGUAGCAGGGCACGGGAAGUUGUUCCUGUGGCGCCUACACCAAUUGAAGUGGAAGCUGAUGAUAUUGAUCAUGAAACUUCGGAUCAAGUCACUACCAAAACUCAUAGGUUGACAAGGAUACAUACUACUUCGGAGUGGUACGUAAUCCUGUCUUGGAGGUCAUGUUGCUAGACAAAAAUGAACCUAUGAGCUAUGAAAGAAGCGAUGGUGGGCCCGGAUUCCGAUGAAUGGCUCGAGGCCAUAAAAUCCGAGAGAAGAUCCAUGUAUGAAAACAAAGUAUAGACUUUGUAAGAACUACUUGAUGGUCGUAAGGCUGUUGGGUACAGAUGGAUUUUAAAAGAAAGACGGACAAUGAUGGUAAGUAUCACCAUUAAGAAAGCUCGACUUGUCUUUAAGAUGUUUUCCGACAAGUUCAAGGAGUUGACUGCAAUGAGACUUUCUCAUUUGUAGCGAUGGUAAGAGUCUGUUGGAACUAUAUUAGCAAUUACUGCAUGAUUUAUGAAAUCUUGCAGAUAGGGUGUCAAAACAGUGUUUCCUCGACAAUAUUCUUGAGGAAAGGUUGUAUGUGAUACAACCAGAAGGUUUUGUCAAUCCUGAAAGAUGCUAACAAGUGUGCAAAGCUCCAGCAAUCCUUCUAGGGACUGGAGUAAGCAUCUCGGAGUUGGAAUAUACACUUUGAUGAGAUGAUCAAAGAUUUUGGGUUUAUACAAAGUUUAUGAGAAACUUGUAUUUCCAAAGAAGUGAGUGGGAGCACUAUAGCAUUUCUGAUGAGUAUAUGUUGUUGACAUAUUGUUGAUCGGAAAUGAUGUAGAAUUUCUGGAAAGCAUAUAGGGUUAUUUGAAAAGUGUUUUUCAAUGGAAAACCUAGAUUAAGCUACUUGAACAUUGAGCAUCAAGAUCUAUAAUGAUAGAUCAAAACGCUUAAUAGUACUUUCAAAUGAAUACAUACAGUGACAAGAUUUUGAAGGAGUUCAAAAUAGAUCAGCAAAGAAGGAGUUCUUGGCUGUGUUAUAUGGUGUGAGUAUUGAGUAAGACUCAAGACAUGACCAUGGCAGAAGAGAGAGAAAGGACGAAGGUCGUCCCCUAUGCUUCAGACGUAGGCUCUAUAGUAUGCUAUGCUGUGUACCGCACCGGAAGUGUGCCUUGCCAUGAGUCAGUCAACGGGUACAAGAGUGAUCCAGGAAUGGAUCACAGGACAGUGGUCAAACUUAUCCUUAGUAACUAGUGGACUAAGGAAUUUUCUUGAUUAUGGAGGUGGUAAAAGAGUUCAUCGUAAAGGGUUACGCCGAUGCAAACUUUGACACUAAUCCAUAUUAUUCUGAGUAGUACACCGGAUUCGUAUAGUAGAACAGUUAUUUGGAAUAGCUCCAAAUAGAGCGUGGUAGCUGCAUCUAGGAGAUGACAUAGAGAUUUGCAAAGCACACAUGGAUCUGAAAGGUUCAGAUCCGUUGACUAAUAACCUCUCUCACAAGCGAGAUAUGAUCAAACCCCAUGGGUGUCGAUGCAUUACAAUCACAUAGUGAUGUGAACUAGAUUAUUGACUCUAGUGCAAGUUGGAGACUGUUGGAAAUAUGCCCUAGAGGCAAUAAUAAAAUGGUUAUUAUUGUAUUUCCUUGUUCAUGAUAAUUGUCUAUUAUUCAUGCUAUAAUUGUAUUGACCGGAAACCGCAAUACAUGUGUGAAUACAUAGACCACAACAUGUCCCUAGUGAGCCUCUAGUUGACUAGCUUGUUGAUCAACAGAUGGUCAUGGUUUCCUGACCAUGGACAUUGGAUGUCAUUGAUAACGGGAUCACAUCAUUAGGAUAAUGAUGUGAUGGACAAGACCCAAUCCUAAGCCUAGCACAAGAUCGUGUAGUUCGUAUGCUAAAGCUUUUCUAAAUGUCAAGUAUCUUUUCCUUAGACCAUGAGAUUGUGCAACUCCCGGAUACCGUAGGAAUGCUUUGGGUGUACCAAACGUCACAACGUAACUGGGUGGCUAUAAAGGUGCACGACGGGUAUCUCCGAAAGUGUCUGUUGGGUUGGCACGAAUUGAGACUGGGAUUUGUCACUCCGAGUGACGGAGAGGUAUCUUUGGGCCCACUCGGUAGGACAUCAUCAUAUUGUGCACAAUGUGAUCAAGGAGUUGAUCAUGGGAUGAUGUGUUACGAAACGAGUAAAGAGACUUGCCGGUAACGAGAUUGCACAAGGUAUCGGCAUACCGACGAUCGAAUCUCGGGCAAGUACUAUACCGGUAUACAAAGGGAAUUGUAUACGGGAAUGAUUGAAUCCUUGACAUCAUGGUUCAUCUGAUGUGAUCAUCGUGGAACAUGUGGGAGCCAACAUGGGUAUCCAGAUCCCGAUGUUGGUUAUUGGCCGGAGAGUUGUCUCGGUCAUGUCUGCAUGGUUCCCGAACCCGUAGGGUCUACACAGUUAAGGUUCGAUGACGCUAGGGUUAUAGGGAAGGUAUGUAUGCGGUUACCGAAUGUUGUUCGGAGUCCCAGAUGAGAUCCCGGACGUCACGAGGUGUCCCGAAAUGGUACGGAGGUGAAGAUUGAUAUAUUGGACGAAGGGUUUUGGAGUCCGGAAGUGUUCCGGAGGUACCGGGUGAUGACCAGCAUGACCGAAAAGUGUUUCGGGAGCCCCGACAAGUGUUGGGGGGGCUUCAUGGGCCAAGGGGAGGGGGCAAACCAGCCCACUAAGGGGCUGUGCGCCCCCCUCACCUAUUCCCACGUGACCAGGGGGUUUGGGGCGCCCCAUCUAGGGUUCCCACCUCCUGGCUUGGGGGCCAAGUCACCCAAAGGGGAGAUCCCAUCUGCCCUGGCCGCCGCCCCACUAGGGAAACCCUAGGGCGCCUCCCCCUCUCCCUUCCCCCUAUAUAUAGUGGAGGUUUUGGGGCUGCCCAACACAUGAGUCUAUCUCUCCCAAGGCGCAGCCCUACCUCUCUACCUCCUCGUCUCUCGUAGUGCUUGGUGAAGCCCUGCUGGAGUACCGCGGUCCUCCACCACCACCACGCCAUCGUGCUGCUGCUGGAUGCAGUAUUCCCCAACCUCUCCCUCUCUCCUUGCUGGAUCAAGGCAUGGGAGACGUCACCAGGCUACACGUGUGUUGAACGCGGAGGCGCCGUUGUUCGGCGCUUAGAUCGGAAUCGACCGCGAUCUGAAUCGCCACGAGUAUGAUUACUUAAUCCGCGCUCUUGUAACGCUUUCGCUUAGAGAUCUACAAGGGUAUGUAGAUGCACUCCCCUCUCUCUCUUGUUGUUAGGUAUAUCCAGAUUGGCAUAACUUAAGGGAACUAAGUUUGUAAUCUUCACACUCACUUCUUGAAAAAGUGCGCUUAAGCUUAUCGAUUACCUAAUAAUUUGGUGUGUUGUGUUUCAUGGCACUACUUACUAGUGUGAUUUUGGAUUGUUCUUGCACAUAUCAUCUAGGUGUAUGGAAUGCUUGAUAAUGACAAAUGACUCAUCGUAUUCACUUUACACUUCAAACAUUGAUCUAGAUUUUGUCCCUUGCUCUGAGUUAGUUUGUCAUGUUCUACAUGUUGUUAGGCGUAUCCAGAUUGGCAUACUUGAGGGAACAAAGUUUUUAAUCUUGUGUGUGUCAUUGAGAUACAUCACACUAUUAAUGCGAAGAUUGUUCUAUACACAAUUUUUUCUGAACUAACUUUAUACUUUUUGCACAAUAUAUAUGUAAGAUGGAUAAGCAUACAUGACUCAUCGUAUUACCUUUUCAUAUGGAGCGGUUGUAUUGUCAUAUGAGUUACAAAUACAAAACAAAGUAUUAGGGCUUUGCGCGGCUUGAUUGAUUCACUCCACGUAGACAUGAACAUUUCUUUUGUAUUUCAUUCGUUAGUUAAUCUAAGUUUGUACAUAUUGUUUCAAGUUGUUCAUAUAGUUUCCAGGUUUCUUUUAUUGAAUUUAUUACCACCAGUAUAGGAAGCUAUUAGUACUAUGAUUGUUGAUACUAAUACAGAACAAAGAGGAAAGACAGAGCGAUAUAAAGUUGAUUUUGUCUGGUAAUUAUAUAAGUGUCUUUUUUUCUAUUUUCUUGUAAGCAAGGAACCUACAAAAAAGAAAUGAAAUUAGUUCUCCUUCUACACGAUACGUGAAUAAAUAAUUUAGGACAUAGCAUGCCUGACUGAAUGGGAACUGGCCUGUCGCCAUCAUGUAGCAAACACAAGCCAUAAUGCCGAUACACUUGGCUCAUGCAACAUGCACACGUGAAAAAAAGAAGAGCCUAUCAGUAUAUUUAUAUUUUUUUACUUCUCUUAUCCUUGGCCAUAUUAUUCAUACAUAUGGUUGCAUCAAAUUAAUUGACUUGUCAAUGCCAUGGACCAGCUAGCAUACUACUGUUUUUGUGUGUGUGGCUUUAGGUGUUGCAAAUCCUCUACAUAUGUUUUUUUCAUUCCUUUACCCUCUACCACUUAUUUUCAGAUUGAUGGAAAGCGAAGUUUCAGACAAGGAAACAAAACAUGAUUACAUCCUCCUCCAUGCAGCUUCGUGGUAAUUGAAACUCCUGUUAAUCGCACUGGAUGUCAUGCCAGAUUCGUGCAGAAUUUGCCGGAUCGAUUGACUAGGACUUGACCCUUGGAUUUUUAACCUUGUACGUCGUAAUUUUUGUUGUACAUGGAUUAGUAAAGGUAUAGUCGAUCCACCAUCAUCACUAUGAAUUAGUAUUACAGAUUCAGAACAGGUCUUUGUCAGAGAAGGAAGUAGGAGUAGCCAAUGAUACAGGAAAAAGCCAGAGAGACCUGCCUGCCUGGCUGUGAACAGUUCUUCUCCUUCUCCUUGCUAUUAAUGUUGUGUUGAAAUACCUAACUAGCUAGCUAGCAAAUCAUAGGUUGUCCUUCUCUAAAAGAACUGUAGAAAGUUCUUUGAAUCUAGUUAAUUAAACAAGUGAAAUUUUAAAAGAAAAGUUAUUUUGAAGUUGUUCGUUUGUUUGUUGUUGCUAUUGUUUUCGUUGUUCUCGAAACAGGCUUUCACACUUCUUUAUAAAUAAAGCAAUAUCCAAAGAUAUACAUGGCCAAACUAUAAAAUAUGGUGAGGUAGCCCCUACAAAGCCGAUCUUGACAUAUCAGGCACACGCGCACACGACUACGCUACCAGCAACAAGCACCGAAAGAACUAAACAUCCUCACGCUACAAACUAGCACACCAAAGCUCCACGAGAAUGCCCCCAAGAGGGAGAAUGGCAUAGGGCGUCGCCGCUGCUAAGUCCAUACCGGACAAAGGUCUACACCUGGAGACCUCACACGGAGAGAAGAAGCACAAAAACGUCUUCAAGAAGAGCGCGACACCCAUGAGUGUCGUCGAUGGUGGUGCCCAGGCACGGAGCUUUCGCUUGGCAACUCACCCAUGCCACCAUGAGGUCCUCAAGAGUAGUGCCGCGAUGUUUAAUCGCAAGAUCUUGAUUAGGACGUUGCCCCUCCGAGAGAGAGGGCAUGUCUGAGCUACUAACCGCAACACCUACCGUUGCCCACACAACCCGGGAGGGGAGACACCACAACCGGAAUAAUGCCCGCCAAAGAGCAACCAUGCGGCCCGCCAUCAGGGGCCGCCAACCCAGUAUCCCUGACGCGAGAUACCAUACACCACUCACAUCACAAUGCAACCAACCACGGUAGGAAGAGCGACAACACUCCACUACUCCUAGCCUAGCCUCUGUCCUAAUGUUUGGUUAGGCGCCUCCACCAUAGGACGCACCCACACCUGCAUCCCCAGCCAAUGCUCUAUGGACUAGGGGGGCCACCAGCGAGCCAACCUCCAGCCCUUGGUCAGGCGAGCUCACAUGAUGCCAUGUCCGUGUUCUCCGACACUGGUCCGCUCAUGAAUGCAACACUAACACAACUAUCACCACCGAGCACCACCCAAGCUGUCUCGCUUCGCAAUGCACAAAUCAUGGCAGAUAAAGCCCGUCAUCAGUCACCUAGCCAGUGACUGCUACCGGCCAUUGUCGAGGACAGCUCAGACGCCAAGUCUGCGAACUGAGGCACUGGUCCGCCAGCCGACACAACGUAGCCCUGGCCACCACAUCCAUGAACCAUCACCGACGCUACAAUGUGUGGAGGUGCCUCCCCCAACCUAGCUUCAAGCAUCCACCUUGGCUUGACCGGCAGCGACCCAGAGCCGAGAAACCUUAGGCCAAGGCGACUAAGCACCGAAGCUCAUGUGAUGAGCAACCAACCCCGACAAGGACGACCAUUUCAAAAUCCAUGUCCGGUGGCUAGUCUGCGUCACCAGCCCGCUACCUACAUACGCACUCAGACAAGGCGGGAGCCGCCCCAUCAAGAGGGGGGGGGCGCUUAGAGUAGCUGGCAACUCCGGUCGCUGAGCAGCUGCACCAAUGCUAACCCCACCUCUCCAUUGACACCCACCGCCUAUAUCCACCGCCACCAGCCAAAACCAUGGCCACCACCCACCGCCUCUUGUCAUGCCUCCACGCCCGUGAGAGAGACCGUCGAAACCCACAAUCACUAGCUGCCGCGCUCAGAAGAGGGAGAACUGCCACCACCUCCUUGUGCCGCUUGUCACAACUUGGCAGCCAGAUCCACACUGCCAUAGCUAUCACAUGCCUGCCUACACAGUAGGAUUUGCUAGGCUUUACCAUGUCUGCACAAUUCUUUUUUCCUGUUUUCUCCAAGAUGUUGUUUUUAAAAUUUGCUUGCAGGUUUAAGGAAAGGAGAAGUUCACUAUCACCACCACCUCGUGCAAGGGGAUGUCAGCAUCAGUCAUCUUUACCAUCAUCCACCUCCAUCCCAUUGUAAUACCAAACCCAUGUGGAUCCAUACAUGUAUUAUCGGUGUGUUUCAUCCAAUGUUUACCACCACUAUUUCCACUAUUCGCACGAUAUUUGUCGUCUCCAUGUGUGAUUUGUUUCCUCAGUUCUCAGGGAUAUGGACGAACCAUGGUAUGUAUAGGAGCUGAAAUGUUAAUUAGGGUAUGAGAUUCUCUACUGAAUGUUUGUUUUAAAAGCAUUCAUGAAUUUUGUGAAGGGGCCCCACUCACCAUUUCCAUCGCAAGGCCACGAGGCAUAUCAUCGAGGUUGUAAAGGUUAGGAUGUUCAGGUAACUUGAGGUGAGAGUAAAAGACUCUCUACCUCGCCUUUGCAACUGCUAGGGGAAUAAUAGAGAUCCCUCAAUAAGGCAGCUUCCACAGGGAAACCCUUAAUUACCGUAGUGAGAACUAGAGUGGGGAAGCUAAAGUGAUGGCCUGCGUGGUAUGGAGUACACCUUGAGUAGAACUUAUUUUGUACCCGGAUACGCCCAAUGACAAAUAUUAAGAGUGACUCAAGUAUCUAGCUUAGAAUUACAAAGUGGCAUAUGAUACCUUAGGCACACUUCAAUGGGAAUUAUGGUGUCCCUGAGAACGCCUCAAUCCUCCACUGUUUCACAUCUUUAUUCAUUCUGCUAUGCUCUUUUAGUUCUUUUGGGUUAUUUACUUUUGUUCGCACUAAACUUAGAAGUCAAUAUAAUCUUCGCCAUUCACUUGCUUUGUGUCGAAAACUAAGAUGCAGCCACAUUACAAUAAGUGUCUCUUAGGUACAAAGUCCAAUUCAUGUAUUCCCUAUGGGAUUUAUACUCAUACUUAAAUAGGUGAAAAAUAAACCAUGUGGACUUGCAGAUCAUCAAGCUUUUUCUGGCCCUAGGAGCGGAGUGCUUUUGGGCCUGUAUUGUGUUUUGUUUUAUUUCAUGUUUAUGGGUGAUAAUGUCUGCCUCCACAACUUGUUGUUUGACUCGGCAAUGGUGGACUCCCGGUGUAGGUGUGUAUCGAGUGGAGGGCUGAGGAAGCCCAUUAUGAUUUCAGUUGAUUGUAAGCAAAUUAUGAUUUUUGACUCAAGUUGAGGGGGUCAUUUUCCUUCAAAUUUAGAACCUUGUUUGAUGGGUCAUGAUUUGUGAGAGGAUACUUUUUGUCCCGCUAAGAUUGUUAUUGGAUAUAAUUGGUACUUAAACUCAUUUUGUGAAUGGAACAUCAAAGGCGAAAAGUGCAUAAGUUAUCAAUUAUUCUCACUAUAAAUGAACAAUGAAAUCUGGCAUGGAGUUCGUGGAAAGCAUAAACACCUAGUUUGAUGUAGAUCCAUGUCAGAUAAGAUGGUUACAAACUCAUGGGGCUCUCCACUGAAGUGUUAUAUAGCAAUUACUCCUUACUCCCUAACUAAUAGUACUUCAAUUUGGACCAAGUUUCACACACGUUAAGUAUGUUAUGUUCAUAAUACUACACUUCAAAAAUAAGUAGAUAGCGCAUAACAUUGAGAUUGUAGCUAGGGAUGAAAAUCGAAAUAUGGCAUGAAUGUAACAAUUGCCAGCAAUAUGCUUUAGAAAAGAACUUAUUUGCCUUUUAUUCCCAUGUUUGAACUAGUAUAGUUCGGGGUUACACAUGAUGGUCACAUCACUUUAUUUAUCAUUGUUACAUUAAAUACUCCAUUGACUUACAACGAUGAUUCCCCCGUCUAGUAUUACAUCUCUUCAUUUCAUCGUCCAGUGAUACUUAUAACAUCGCUCCCAGUUGGUUGUUGGUGUGGGGAAGGUUUUUAUGAUUGCUGGGGGAAUGGUUGCUGUUGUGGGUAUGGUAUGGGAAAUUGUUGUUCGGGGAAUUGUUUUUUGUUUUGCUAGGGAAAUUGUUGUUGUUGUGGCAAUUGUUGUUGCGGUAAUUAUAUGCUCUUCCAUGAUCUAGAAAAUAAAAGACCUCACUCUUACCGUCUCUGCAUGUUUGUCAUCAAACAUCCGUAAACUCAUUAAAAUUAAUGAAAUGGUUCAACUUUUGGAGUACAGUUCUUGUCGCCUUGAAGAGAAUUUGACGGGUUGUGUCACUCUAUCAAUUCCACUUCGUCUUAUCACUUCAGAAAACACAACAAAGUUGAUUCCAGAAAAAAUAAACUCCAUGUGUAAAGCUUUACUAAUUAUCUUGUACAAAGUUCACAUACUUAGCUCUACACAAACUGUAGAAAGUUCCAACCCUCUGCCGCAAAAAAGAAUGAAACCUUGAUAAGGAUUUGACAUGGAAAGUGAAAAAGGUGAGUCAGUUUUUUCUCAAAAUAAAAUACCAAGCACCAUGCUUUCGUGACAACCAUACGAUCUUUUGCACAACUAGCCAAAAAAAUUUUGAUGAUCAAUCCUAUAUUAAACUUGUGGCUAGUGCAACCUGACAGAAUAUACAAAAUGAUCCAUUUCAUAAGCAUGCAUGCAAAAAAAUUGGAAAAUGAAUGAAAAAAUUAAUCGCUAGCUGGAAUUUCAUUCAAUCAUCCCAUCCAAGCUGGUACAACCACACUGACUGCAAUCCGACAUCUACAUAACAAGAUGUCCACAACCCAACACGUCCAAAACAAAAAGAUAAAAAAAUGCAAAGACGGCAAGAGGUUAUGCCAUAAAUGGACUUCUGCCGCAAAGAUCAUCACAAGUACAAAACAUAAAUAGAAACAGCAAAGACAAGUAGGAGCAGUCAAGAGCAAUUCACCAUAAAGACACAUCCCCAACCUUUCCCUCACCACCAUUGCAUCGGCCAGCGCCAAUGAACAGCUCGAGGGCAGCAGGAUCAAUGCUAGUGAAAGCGUUUCACCGACAUCAUUUUGCUGAGGAAGUCCAUGCAAUGAAUCGACAUGAAAGAAAGUGUUUAGUUAGUUCAAAUACAGAUAUCCUGAGAGCAGCCUAAUGAAUGAGAAAUCCUAUUUCGGUCAUUCAUCAACAAAAUCCAUGUCAACGCACUUGGAUGGAUCAUGCAUUUAGGAACAAAAGUCCAAGGGGGCGACCUAUAUAUACAGUUUAUUUGCAUGGUAACUCUGGUUUAGCACUAUCUUUUUUCCUUAUCCUUGUCCAUUUUAUCCCUGCAGAAUAGAGCCAAAUGAGGAAGCAAAGGGAAGUGUUUGAUUAGUUCUCCAUGAAAUGAGAAUAAAUGAAUUUCGUACAAAGUAUGGCUGAACUACGAAAUCCAUAGAUUGGCCUAACUGAAUCGGGAAACUUGUCUCCAUCAUGCAGCCGACAAAAGCCAUACUGCUGAUACACUUGGCCCAUGCAACAUGCAUGCAUGAUUAUAAGGAGAACAUCCAUUAUUCUAUAAUUUAAAUGAGUAACAGUCUCGCAGUAAACAAGAUCCAGAUAUAGUGUUCAUGCUCGACGCAUGCACUAAAUAACAAUUAUUCAGGUUCAUCACUAAUCCCGAUGGUAAUCGAAAAGCGAGCGUGCCGACGGUGAUCACAUCAACCUUGGAACCAUUUCCCACACGCAUCAUCACUUCGUUCGUCACCAGCCUCCGUCUAUUUCGUAGUUCCUGCUUUGGGUUGCAAAUGUGAGCAACCAAACAGGUGUCAAAUACCGAGGCACUACAACAAGAGUUGGUAAGGAACACAUCAAUAAUAUAUAUAUAUAUCAUAUAUAUCUUGUUUGGCGUUGGCCCCUUCUUGUCGGCCAGGCUUGGGGAAAUUCCGCUUUCAGUGGCCAAUCUCGUUGCAAUAGAAGCACUCAUUUUCUGGCUUGGGCGCAGCCUUGGGUUUCUUCACGGGAUAGGAAACUACUUUGCCACUCUUCUUGGAGUUACCAUUCUUGCCCUAGCCAUUCUUCUUGAAACUAGUGGUUUUAUUGACCAUCAACACGUGAUACUCUUUCUGGAUGUCUAACUCAGCGACUUUCAGCAUCGCAAACAGCUCGGAGACUGACUUGUUCAUCCCUUGCAUGUUAUAGUUUAGCACAAAGCUCUUGUAGCUAGGUGGUACUGAUUGAAGAACUUUGUCAGUGAUCGCUUCUGAUGGGAGCACAACUCCCAACUUAGCCAGACGGUUGUAAGACCCAGACAUUCUAAGUAUGUGUUCACUGACAUACCCGUUCUCGUCCAUCUUGUAAGCAAAGAACUUAUCGGAGGUCUCAUACCUCUUGAUCCGGUCAUUCCUUUCAAAAAUGAACAUCAACUCCUCGAACAUCUCAUAUGCUCCAUGGCGUUCAAGAUGUCUUUGAAGUCCCAGUUCUAAGCCAUGCAACAUAGCACACUAAACUACUGAGUAGUGAUCCACAUGCGCUUGCCAGGUGUUCAUAACAUCCAUAGAUGCCGGAGGGGGUUGCACACCAAGCGAUGCAUGAAGGACAUAAGCCUUUUGUGCAGCCGUGAGGAUAAUUCUUAGAGUACAGGCCAAGUCUACAAAGUUACUUCCAUCAUCAUUCAGCUUGGCUUUCUCUAGGAACGCAUUGAAAUUCAGGGAAGCUAUUGUGCGAGCCAUUGAUCUACAACAUAAAUUUGCAAAGUCAACUUAGACUAUUGUUCAUGAUAAAUGAGUUCAAAUAAUCAUAUUACUUAAAACUCCCACUCAAAUUUACAUCCCUGCGGUCAUCCGUGUGUAACAUGAUGAAAAUUCACCAACCCAAGUCUGAUCAUAAUGUGAGAUGAAGUGGUUUCAAUGGUGAAGAUCUCCAUGUUGAUCAUAUCUACUAUAUGGCUCAUGUUCGACCUUUCUGUAUGUUGUGUUCCGAGGCCAUGUCUGUAGAUGCUAGGCUCGUCAAGUUUAACCCGAGUGUUUCACAUGUGCAAAAAUGGCUUGCACCCGUUGUAUGUGAAUGUAAAGUCUAUCACACCCGAUCAUAACGUGGUGCUUAGAAAUGACAAACUUCCGCAAUGGUUCACACUCAGGGAGAACACAAUUUUGUUUUGAAAUUUUAGUGAGGGAUAACUUAUAAUGCUACCAUCAUCCUAAGAAAAAUAAGAUGCAGAAAAGGAUUAACAUCACAUGCAAAUCAUAUGUGACAUGAUAUGACCACCAACUUGUGCUUUUGAUCUCCAUCUCCAAAGCAUCGGCAUGAUCUCCAUCGUCACCGGCAUCACACCAUGAUUUCCAUCAUCAUGAUCUCCAUCAUCGUGUUGCCAUCAAGGUUGUCACGCCAACCAUGCUUCUACUACUAUUGCUAUUGUUUAGUGAUAAAAUAAAGCAUUACAUAGCGCUUAAUGAUUGACACGCAGGUCAUACAAUAAUUCAAGACAACCCUAUGGCUCCUUCCGGUUGUCGUAUUCAUCGACAUGCAAGUCAACACAAACUAUUACAAACAUGAUCAUCUCAUACAUCAAAUAUAUUUCAACAUGUCUUUGGCCAUAUCACAUCACAACAUACCCUGCAAAAACAAGUUAGACGUCGUCUAAUUUGUUGUUGCAUAUUUUACAUGGCUGCUAUGUGUAUCCAACAAGAAUGGUUCUUACCUAUGCAAAACCACAACUGUGAUAUGGAAGUUUCUAUUUAACCUUCUACAAGGAAUGCCUUCAUCGAAUUCGAUUCAACUAAGGUGCAAGAGACAGACACCAGCCAACCAUCUUAUGCAAUAAAGUCACAUCUCUAUUGAAUGAACCGGUCUCAUGUACGUGGACAUGUAAAGUUGGUCCAGGCCGCUUCAUCCCACAAUUCCGCUAAAUCAAGAAAAGACCAAGGAAGGAAGCAAUUUGAAUAUCAAUUCUGAUAAACUCCUUUGUGUUCUACUCAUGAUGUCAUCUGCGCAUAGCCCUAGCUCUGGUACCACUGUUGUUGGAAGUUGCAUGGGAAAGAAAAAAGAUCCUACACUCACCAAGAUCAAUCUAGGAGAUGAACAUCUAUGAGAGGAGAGACUGCAUCUACAUACCGUUGUAGAUCACUAAGAGGAGGCGCUAAGAAAUAUGGUUGAUGUAGUCAAACGUCUUCGCGAUCCAAUCAUGAUACGUCCCACAAACUCCCGAUCUAGUGCCAAAAGGACGGCACCUAUGCAUUCAACACGCGCACGGCUUGAUGAUGCCUUCACCUCCUUGAUCCAGCAAGAAAUGGAGAAGUAGUAGUUCAAGACCUCCAACAACACGAUAUCAUGGCGGCGGUGGUGGUGGAGGAAUUUCAGCAGAGCUGCGCUAAGCACUACGCAGAAGGAGAAGGACUACGAGGGAGAGGAAAGGCAGCGACACAACACAGAUGUGUCUGUCUGCCCUCCUUCUACCCCUAUAUAUAUAGGGGGAAGGGAGGAGGUGGGGAUGCCCUAUGGGUUCCCUUAGGGGGCGGCGGCCACCAUAGAUGAGGGCGCCCCUAGGGAAACCCUAGGGUGGCUUUCCCCCCAAGCUAGGUGGAGGCAGCCCUAGGGGGUUGCCCCAACCCUUCUGUCAUGGUGGGAUUGAGUGUGGGGGGCGCACAACCCCUUAGUGGGCCGGUGUGCUCCCUCCCCUUGUCCCAUGAAGCGCCCAACACUUACCUGGCCCCCCAGAAACCCCUUUUCGUACUCCGUCGAUUCCCGCGGUACCCCUGGAACAAUUCCGGACUCCUAUACCCUUCGUCCUAUAUAUCAAUCUUCACCUCCAGACCAUUCUGGAGUUCCUCGUCAUGUCGGGGAUCUCAUCCGGGAAUCCGAACAACCUUCGGUAACCACCAUAUGACCCAACUAUACUUAUAUCGUCAACAAACGUUAAGUGUGUAGACCUUGCGGGUUCGAGAACUAUGCACACAUGACCGAUACACCUCUACGGUCAAUGACCAAUAGCAUGACCUGGAUGCCCAUGUUGGUUCCUACAUAUUCUACGAAUAUCUUUAUCAGUCGAACCUCGAUGUCAAGGUUUCAGGCAAUCCCGUAUGAAGUUCCCUUUUUCCAUUGGUAUGUUACUUGCCUGAGAUUUGAUCAUUGGUAUCUCCAUACCUAGUGCAAUCUCGUUACCGGCAAGUCUCUCUAUUUCGUAAUACAAGAUCCCGUGGCUGACUUCUUAGUCACAUUGAUUGCAAGCUUAUUGUGAUGUUGUAUUACCGAGUGGGCCCUGAGAUACCUCUCCAUCAUACGGAGUGACAAAUCCCAGUCUCGAUCCAUGCCAACUCAAUAGACACCCUUGGAGACACCUGUAGAGCAUCUUUAUAGUCACCCAGUUACGUUGUGAUGUUUGAUACACACAAGGCACUCCUCCGGUGUCAGUGACUUGCAUGAUCUCAUGGUCAUAGGAACAUAUAAUUGACAUGUAGAAAACGAUAGCAAUAAACUUGACAAGAUCAUAUGCGACAUUCAUAGUUUGGGUCUUGUAAAUCACAUCAUUCUCCUAAUGAUGUGAUCACGUUAUCAAAUGACAACUCAUGUCCAUGACCCGGAAACCAUGGCCAUCUUUGAUCAACGAGCUAGUCUGGUAGAGGCUCACUAUGGACACGUUGUUUGUCUAUGUACCCACACAGGUAUUUUAAUUUCCAAUCAAUACAAUUAUAGCAUGGAUAAUAAACGAUUAUCAUGAACAAGGAAACAAAAUAAUGACCAUUUUAUUAUUGCCUCCAGGGCGUAUUUCCAACACUUCCGAUGAUUUUGUGAGUAGUUUACGACAGCCCUUCGGGUCUAUAGCUAGAAUCUAGAUGGCUUCUUCUCUCUCUUUGAUCUUCAAUCCAAAGUUCUUCUCAAUGUUCUUGGAGUUCUAUCCAAUGUAAUCUCCUUUUGCGGUGUGUUUGCUGGGACCUGAUAAAUUAUGAGUUUAUGAUCAGAUGAUUCAUGAGAAUAUUUGAUUCUUCUUUGGACUCUUUUAUGUGUGAUUAUUUUAGCUUUGUAUUUCUCUCCAAUCUAUCGAUUUGGUUUGGCCAACUAGAUUGGUUUAUCUUGCAGUGGGAGAGGUGCUUUGUGAUGGGUUCAAUCCUGUGUUGCUCAAUCCUAGUGACAGAAACAGACAUGGCACAUAUUUGUAUUGUUGACAUUAAGGAUAAAAAUAUGGGGGUUAAUCAUAUUGCUUGAAUUUACUUUGUCUACAUCAUGUCAUCUUGCUUAAGGCGUAACUCUAUUUUAUACCUAAAACUCUAGAUGCAUGCUGGAUAGCGGUCGAUGGGUGAAGAAUAGAUGCAGGCAGGAGUCGGUCUACUUGCAUCGAAUGUGAUGCCUAUAUACAUGAUCAUUGCCAUGAAUCCUUCAUAAUUAUUUGCUUUUCUAUCAAUUGCCCAACAGCAAUUUGUUUACCCACCGUAUGUUCUACGAUCAAGAGAGAAGCAUCUAGUAAAAACUAUGGCCCCUGGGUGUACUUUUAUCAUAUAUAAAAAAAACACAAAAAUACCUAGCUGCAAUUUAUUUACUUUUAUUUUAUUUUGUAUUUUACUUUAUCCAUCUAUCACUACCAGAAUUAAUCAUUGCAAAUAACGUCUACGAGGAUUGACAAGCCUCUUAUUUGCGUUAGGUGUCAGUGUUUGCUUUUGUGUGUGCAGGUGCUGUUAACAAGGUUUUGUGUGGUUCACCUACUGGAUUGAUAACCUUGAUUCUUAACUUAGUGAAAUACUUAUUUGUACUAUACUUCAUCAUCCUCUCCUCCUUGGGGAAUUAACAACACAGUCUACAAGUAGCACUCUCCAUUGAAAUGUUAAAUUGUAAUUAGUACUUACUCCCGAAUUAAUAGUACUUCAAUUUGAAACAAGUUUCGUACAUGUUAAUUAUGUUAUGUUCAUAUAAUACUACACUUCCUAAAUAAGUAGACGUCACAUAACAUUGAGAUUGUAGUUAGGGAUGGAAAUCAAAAUAGGGCAUGAAUGUAACAAUUGCGAGCAAUGUGCUUCAGAAAAGAACUUAUUUGUCUUUUAUUCCCAUGUUUGGACUAGUACAGGUCGGGGUUACACAUGAUGGUGCACAUCACUUUAUUUAUCAUCGUUACAUUAUGCUCCAUUGACUAACAACGAUGAUUCACCCGUCUAGUAUUACAUCUCUUCAUUUCAUAGGCCACUGAUACUUAUAACGUCGCUCCCAGAUGGUUGUUGUUGUGGAUAUUGUUGAUAUGGGGAAGGUUCUUGUGAUUGCUGGGGUGGGUAUGGUAUUGGAAAUUGUUGUUGGGGGAAUUGUUGUGGUGGUUGCUGGGGGAAUUGUUGUUGGGGGAAUUGUUGUUGUUCAGGGUAUUGUUGUGGCNNNNNNNNNNNNNNNNNNNNNNNNNNNNNNNNNNNNNNNNNNNNNNNNNNNNNNNNNNNNNNNNNNNNNNNNNNNNNNNNNNNNNNNNNNNNNNNNNNNNNNNNNNNNNNNNNNNNNNNNNNNNNNNNNNNNNNNNNNNNNNNNNNNNNNNNNNNNNNNNNNNNNNNNNNNNNNNNNNNNNNNNNNNNNNNNNNNNNNNNNNNNNNNNNNNNNNNNNNNNNNNNNNNNNNNNNNNNNNNNNNNNNNNNNNNNNNNNNNNNNNNNNNNNNNNNNNNNNNNNNNNNNNNNNNNNNNNNNNNNNNNNNNNNNNNNNNNNNNNNNNNNNNNNNNNNNNNNNNNNNNNNNNNNNNNNNNNNNNNNNNNNNNNNNNNNNNNNNNNNNNNNNNNNNNNNNNNNNNNNNNNNNNNNNNNNNNNNNNNNNNNNNNNNNNNNNNNNNNNNNNNNNNNNNNNNNNNNNNNNNNNNNNNNNNNNNNNNNNNNNNNNNNNNNNNNNNNNNNNNNNNNNNNNNNNNNNNNNNNNNNNNNNNNNNNNNNNNNNNNNNNNNNNNNNNNNNNNNNNNNNNNNNNNNNNNNNNNNNNNNNNNNNNNNNNNNNNNNNNNNNNNNNNNNNNNNNNNNNNNNNNNNNNNNNNNNNNNNNNNNNNNNNNNNNNNNNNNNNNNNNNNNNNNNNNNNNNNNNNNNNNNNNNNNNNNNNNNNNNNNNNNNNNNNNNNNNNNNNNNNNNNNNNNNNNNNNNNNNNNNNNNNNNNNNNNNNNNNNNNNNNNNNNNNNNNNNNNNNNNNNNNNNNNNNNNNNNNNNNNNNNNNNNNNNNNNNNNNNNNNNNNNNNNNNNNNNNNNNNNNNNNNNNNNNNNNNNNNNNNNNNNNNNNNNNNNNNNNNNNNNNNNNNNNNNNNNNNNNNNNNNNNNNNNNNNNNNNNNNNNNNNNNNNNNNNNNNNNNNNNNNNNNNNNNNNNNNNNNNNNNNNNNNNNNNNNNNNNNNNNNNNNNNNNNNNNNNNNNNNNNNNNNNNNNNNNNNNNNNNNNNNNNNNNNNNNNNNNNNNNNNNNNNNNNNNNNNNNNNNNNNNNNNNNNNNNNNNNNNNNNNNNNNNNNNNNNNNNNNNNNNNNNNNNNNNNNNNNNNNNNNNNNNNNNNNNNNNNNNNNNNNNNNNNNNNNNNNNNNNNNNNNNNNNNNNNNNNNNNNNNNNNNNNNNNNNNNNNNNNNNNNNNNNNNNNNNNNNNNNNNNNNNNNNNNNNNNNNNNNNNNNNNNNNNNNNNNNNNNNNNNNNAUUUGUUGUUGGGGGAAUUGUUGUGGUUGGGGGAAUUGUUGUUGUUGGGGGAAUUGUUCUUGUGGAGUAUGCAAUUCCUUGCCUCUAGGGCUUAGCAGCCUACUGGCACUGGCGAUGUUCAUCGCCAUGGCAAGGAGGACAAAUAUGAUGAAGGUCUUCAUGUUUGAUUUGUGUUUACUAUUGCUCACUUGGCUUUGGUGUUUCAACUCUAGGUCCUUGAAGGUUAGAUGAUGGAAGAGACCCUCAUGGUGUAGUCGUAUUUAUAGCUGGCAUCGCACAUUUGUUUUUGAUCUUCACACUCGUUUCUUGAAAAAGUGCUCUUAAGCUUAUCGACCUAAUAAUUUUGUAUGUUGUGUUUGAUGGCACUACUUACUAGCGUGACUUUGGAUUGUUCAUCAUAGUUGAUUGUUCUUUCUCAUAUCAUCUGGGUGUAUCAAAUGCUUGAUAACGCAUAAUGACUCAUCGUAUUCACUUUAUACUUCAAAUAUUGAUCUAGAUUUUGUCCGUCUUUCUGAUUUAGCUUGUGCUGUUCUGCAUGUUGUUAGGUAUAUCCAGAUUGGCAUAACUUAAGGGAACUAAGUUUGUAAUCUUCACACUCGCUUCUUGAAAAAGUGCUCUUAAGCUUAUCGAUUACCUAAUAAUUUGGUAUGUUGUGUUUCAUGGCACUACUUACUAGUGUGAUUUUGGAUUGUUCUUCAUAGUUGAUUGUUCUUGCACAUAUCAUCUAGGUGUAUGGAAUGCUUGAUAACGACAAAUGACUCAUCGUAUUCACUUUACACUUCAAACAUUGAUCUAGAUUUUGCCCCUUGCUCCGAGUUAGUUUGUCAUGUUCUAUAUGUUGUUAGGCGUAUCCAGAUUGGCAUACUUAAGGGAACAAAGUUUGUAAUCUUGUGUGUGUCAUUGAGAUAGAUCACACUAUUAAUGCGAAGAUUGUUCUAUACACAAUUUUUUCUGAACUAACUUUAUAUUUUUUGUACAAUAUAUAUGUAAGAUGGAUAAGCGUAGAUGACUCAUCGUAUUACCUUUUCAUAUGGAGCGGUUGUAUUGUCAUAUGAGUUACUAAUAGAAAACAAAGUAUUAGGGCUUUGCGUGGCUUGAUUGAUUCACUCCACGUAGACAUGAACAUUUCUUUUGUAUUUCAUUCGUUGGUUAAUCUAAGUUUGUACAUAUUGUUUCAAGUUGUUCAUAUAGUUUCUAGGUUUCUUUUAUUGAAUUUAUUACCACCAGUAUAGGAAGCUAUUAGUACUAUGAUUGUUGAUACUGAUAUAGAACAAAGAGGAAAGAUAGAGCAAUAUACAGUUGAUUUUGUCUGGUAAUUAUAUAAGUGUAUUUUUUUCUAUUUUCUUGUAAGGAAGGAACCUACAAAAAAGAAAUGAAAUAAGUUCUCCUUCUACACGAUAUGUGAAUAAAUGAAUUUAGGACAUAUCAUGCCUGACUGAAUGGGAACUGGCCUAUCGCCGUCAUGUAGCAAACACAAGCCAUAAUGCCGAUACACUUGGCUCAUGCAACAUGCACACGUGAACAAAAGAAGAGCCUAUCAGUAUAUUUAUAUUUUUUACUUCUCUUAUCCUUGGCCAUAUUAUUCAUACAUAUGGUUGCAUCGAAUCAAUUGACUUGUCAAUGCCAUGGACCAGCUAGCAUACUAAUGUUUAUGUGUGUGUGGCUUUAGCUGUUGCAAAACCUCUACAUAUGUUUUUUUCAUUCCUUUACCCUCUACCACUUAUUUUCAGAUUGAUGGAAAGUGAAGUUUCAGACAAGGAAACAAAACACGAUUACAUCCUCCUCCAUGCAGCUUCGUGGAGGCUAAUUAUAAUUGAAACUCCUGUUAAUCGCACUGGAUGUCAUGCCAGAUUCGUGUAGAAUUUGCCGGAUCGAUUGACUAGGGUUUGACCCUUGGAUUUUUAACCUUGUACGUCGUAAUUUUUGUUGUACAUGGAUUAGUAAAGGUCUAUAGUCGAUCCACCAUCAUCACUAUGAAUCAGUAUUACAGAUUCAGAACAGGUCUUUGUCAGAGAAGGAAGUAGGAGUAGCCACUGAUACAGGAAAAAGCCAGCGAGACCUGCCUGCCUGGCUGUGAACAGUUCAUCUCCUUCUCCUUGCUAUUAAUGUUGUGUUAAAAUACCUAACUAGCUAGCUAGCAAAUCAUAGGUUGUCCUUCUCUAAAAAAACUGUAGAAAGUUCUUUGAAUGUAGUUAAUUAAACAAGUGAAAUUUUAAAAGAAAAAUUAUUUUGAAGUUGUUGGUUUGUUUGUUGUUGCUAUUGUUUUCGUUGUUCUCGAAACAGGCUUUCACACUGCUUUAUAAAUAAAGCAAUAUCCAAAGAUGUACACGGCCGAACGAUACAAUAUGGUGAGGUAGCCCCUACAAAGCCGAUCUUGAGAUAUCACGCACACGCGCACACGACUACGCUACCAGCAACAAGCACCGAAAGAACUAAACAUCCUCACGCUACGAACUAGCACACCAAAGCUCCAGGAGAACGCCCCCAAGAGGGAGAAUGGCAUAGAGCAUCGCCGCUGCCAAGUCCAUACCGGACAAAGGUCUACACCUGGAGACCUGACACGGAGAGAAGAAGCACAACAACGUCUUCAAGAAGAGCGCGACACCCAUGAGUGUCGUCGGUGGCGGUGCCGAGGCAUGGAGCUUUCACUUGGCAACUCACCCGUGCCACCAUGAGGUCCUCAAGAGUAGCGCCGCGAUGUUCAAUCCCAUGAUCUUGAUUAGGACGCUGCCCCUCCGAAAGAGAAGGCACGUCUGAGCUUAUGACCGCAACACCUACCGUUGCCCACACAACCCGGGAGGGGAGCCACCACAACCGGAAUAAUGCCCGCCAAAGAGCAACCAUGUGGCCCGCCAUCAGGGGACGCCAACCCAGUAUCGCUGUCGCGAGAUACCAUACACCACUCACAUCACAAUGCGACCAACCAUGGUAGGAAGAGAGACAACACUCCAUCUACUCCUACCCUAGCCUAUGUCCCAAUGUUUGGUUAGGCGCCUCCACCAUAGGACGCACCCACACCUGCAUCCCCAGCCAAUGCUCCAUGGACUAGGGGGGCCACCGGCGAGCCAACCUCGAGCCCUUGGUCAGGCGAGCUCACACGACGCCAUGUCCGUGUUCUCUGACACUGAUCCGCUCAUGAAUGCAAUGCUAACACAACUAUCACCACCGAGCAGCACCCAAGCUGGCUCGCUUCGCAAUGCACAAAUCAUGGCAGGUAAAGCCCGGCAUCAGUCACCAGCCAGUGACUGCCGACGGCCAUUGUCGAGGCCAGCUCAGACGCCAAGUCUGUGAACUGAGGCACUGGUCCGCCAGCCGACACAAUGUAUGCCUGACCACCACAUCCAUGAACCAUCACCGACGCUACAACGUGUGGAGGUGCCUCCCCCAACCUAGCUUCAAGCAUCCACCUUGGCUUGACUGGCAGCGACCCAGAGCCGAGAAAUCCUACUCCAAGGCGACUACGCACCGAACCUCAUGUGAUGAGAAACCAACCCCGACAAGGACAACCAUAUCAAAAUCCAUGCCCGGUGGCUAGUCUGCGUCACCAGCCCGCUGCCUACAUACGCACCCAGACAAGGCGGGCGCCGCCCCAUCAAGAGGGGGGCCGCUUAGAGCAGCUGGCAACUCCGGUCGCUGAGCAGCUGCACCAAUGCUAACCCCACCUCUCCAUUGACACCCCCCGACUAGAUCCAUCGCCGCCAGCCAAAACCAUGGCCACCACCCAUCGCCUCUUGUCAUGCCUCCACGCCCGUGAGAGAGACUGCCGAAACCCACCAUCACCAGCUGUCGCGCUCAGAAGAGGGAGAACUGCCACCAUCGCCUUGUGCCGCUUGUCACAAGUUGGCAGCAGAUCCACACUGCCAUAGCUAUCACAUGCCUGCCUACACAGUAGGAUUUGCUAGGUUUUACCAUGUCUGCACAAUUCUUUUUUCCUAUUUUCUCCAAGAUGUUGUUUUUAAAAUUUUCUUGCAGGUUUAAGGAAAGGAGGAGUUCACUAUCACCACCACCUCGUGCAAGGAGAUGUCAGCAUCAGUCAUCUUUACCAUCAUCCACCUCCAUCCCAUUGUAAUACCAAACCCAUGUGGAUCCAUACAUGUAUUAUCCGUGUGUUUCAUCCAUGUUUACCACCACUAUUUCCACUGCAAAUUAUGAUUUUUGACUCAAGUUGAGGGGGUCAUUUUCCUUCAAAUUUAGAACCUUGUUUGAUGGGUCAUGAUUUGUGAGAGGAUACUUUUUGUCCCGCUAAGAUUGUUAUUGGAGAUAAUUGGUACUUAAACUCAUUUUGUGAAUGGAACAUCAAAGGCGAAAAGUGCAUAAGUAAUCAAUUAUUCUCACUAUAAAUGAACAAUGAAAUCUGGCAUGGAGUUCGUGGAAAACAUAAACACCUAGUUUGAUGUAGAUGCAUGUCAGAUAAGAUGGUUACAAACUCAUGGAGCUCUACAUUGAAGUGUUAUAUUGCAAUUACUCCUUACUCCCUAAUUAAUAGUACUUUAAUUCGGACCAAGUUUCACACACGUUUAGUAUGUUAUGUACAAAAUGAAUGAAACCUUGAUAAGGAUUUGACAUGGAAAGUGAAUAAGGUGAGUCAGUUUUUUCUCAAAAUAGAAUACCAAGCACCAUGCUUUCGUGACAACCAUACGAUCUUUUGCACAACUAGCCAAACAAAUUUUGAUGAUCAAUCCUAUAUUAAACCUGUGGCUAGUGCAACCUGACAGAAUAUACAAAAUGAUCCAUUUCAUAAGCAUGCAUGCAAAAAAAUUGGAAAAUGAAUGAAAAAAUUAAUCGCUAGCUGGAAUUUCAUUCAAUCAUCCCAUCCAAGCUGGUAGAACCACACUGACUGCAAUCCGACAUCUACAUAACAAGAUGUCCACAACCCAACACGUCCAAAACAAAAAGAUAAAAAAAUGCAAAGACGGCAAGAGGUUAUGCCAUAAAUGGACUUGUGCCGCAAAGAUCAUCACAAGUACAAAACACAAAUAGAAACAACAAAGACAAGUAGCAGCAGUCAAGAGCAAUUCACCACAAAGACACAUCCCCAUCCUUUCCCUCACCACCAUUGCAUUGGCUAGCGCCAAUGAACAGCUCGAGGGCAGCAGGAUCAAUGCUAGUGAAAGCAUUUCACCGACUUCAUUUUGCUGAGAAAGUCCAUGCAAUGAGUCGACAUGAAAGAAAGUGUUUAGUUAGUUCAAAUACAGAUAUCCUGAGAGCAGCCUUAUAAAUGAGAAAACCUGUGUCGGUCAUUCAUCACCAAAAUCCAUGUAAACGCACUUGGAUGGAUCGUGCAGUCAGGAACAAAAGUCCAAGGGGGCGACCUAUAUAUACAGUUUAUUUGCUUGGUAACUCUGGUUUAGCACUAUCUUUUUUCCUUAUCCUUGUCCAUUUUAUCCCUGCAGAAAAUAGCCAAAUGAGGAAGCAAAGGGAAGUGUUUGAUUAGUUCUCCAUGAAACGAGAAUAAAUGAAUUUCGGACAAAGUAUGGCUGAACUGCGAAAUCCAUAGAUUGGCCUAACUGAAUUGGGAAACUUGUCUCCAUCAUGCAGCUGACAAGAGCCAUACUGCUGAUACACUUGGCCCAUGCAACAUGCAUGCAUGAUUAUAAGGAGAACAUCCAUUAUUCUCUAAUUUAAAUGAGUAACAGUCUCGUAGUAAACAAGAUCCAGAUAUAAUGUUCAUGCUCGACGCAGGCACUAAAUAACAAUUAUUCAGGUCCAUCACUAAUCCCGAUGGUAAUCGAAGAGCGAGCGUGCCGACGGUGAUCACAUCAACCUUGGAACCAUUUCCCACACGCAUCAUCACUUCGUUUUUCACCAGCCUCCGUCUAUUUCGUAGUUCCUGCUUUGGGUUGCAAAUGUGAGCAACUGAACCGGUAUCAGAUACCCAGGCACUACAACAAGAGUUGGUAAGGAACACAUCUAUAACAUAUAUAUAUAUAUAUAUCAUAUAUAUCUUGUUUGGCGUUGGCCCCUUCUUGUCGGCCAGGCUUGGGGAAAUUCCGCUUCCAGUGGCCAGUCUCGUUGAAAUAGAAGCACUCAGUUUCCGGCUUGGGCCCAGCCUUGGGUUUCUUCACGGGAGAGGCAACUACUUUGCCACUCUUCUUGGAGUUACCAUUCUUGCCCUAGCCAUUCUUCUUGAAACUAGUGGUUUUAUUGACCAUCAACACUUGAUGCUCUUUCUGGAUGUCUAACUCAGUGACUUUCAGCAUCGCAAAUAGCUCGGAGACUGACUUGUUCAUCCCUUGCAUGUUAUAGUUUAGCAAAAAGCACUUGUAGCUAGGUGGUACUGAUUGAAGAACUUUGUCAGUGAUCGCUUCUGGUGGGAGCACAACUCCCAACUUAGCCAGACGGUUGUAAUACCCAGACAUUCUAAGUAUGUGUUCACUGACAUACCCGUUCUCGUCCAUCUUGUAAGCAAAGAACUUAUCGGAGGUCUCAUACCUCUCGAUCCGGGCAUUCCUUUCAAAAAUAAACAUCAACUCCUCGAACAUCUCAUAUGCUCCAUGGCAUUCAAGAUGUCUUUGAAGUCCCAGUUCUAAGCCAUGCAACAUAGCACACUAAACUAUUGAGUAGUGAUCCACAUGCGCUUGCUAGGUGUUCAUAACAUCCAUAGACGUCGGAGGGGGUUGCACACCAAGCGAUGCAUGAAGGACAUAAGCCUUUUGUGCAGCCAUGAGGAUAAUUCUCAGAGUACAGGCCCAGUCUACAAAGUUACUUCCAUCAUCUUUCAGCUUGGCUUUCUCUAGGAACGCAUUGAAAUUCAGGGAAGCUAUUGUGCGAGCCAUUGAUCUACAACAUAAAUUUGCAAAGUCAACUUAGACUAUUGUUCAUGAUAAAUGAGUUCAAAUAAUCAUAUUACUUAAAACUCCCACUCAAAUUGACAUCCCUCCGGUCAUCCGAGUAUAACAUGAUGAAAAUUCACCAACCCAAGUCCGAUCAUAAUGUGAGAUGAGGUGGUUUCAAUGGUGAACAUCUCCAUGUUGAUCAUAUCUACUAUAUGACUCAUGUUCGACCUUUCGGUCUGUUGUGUUCCGAGGCCGUAUCUGUACAUGCUAGGUUCGUCAAGUUUAACCCGAGUGUUUCGCAUGUGCAAAACUGGCUUGCACCCUUUGUAUGUGAAUGUAAAGUCUAUCACACCCGAUCAUAACGUGGUGCUUAGAAAUGACAAACUUCCGCAAUGGUGCACCCUCAGGGAGAACACAAUUUUGUCUUGAAAUUUUAGUGAGGGAUAACUUGUAAUGCUACCAUCGUCCUAAGAAAAAUAAGAUGCAUAAAAGGAUUAACAUCACAUGCAAAUCAUAAGUGACAUGAUAUGACCACCAACUUGUGCUUUUGAUCUCCAUCUCCAAAGCAUCGGCAUGAUCUCCAUCGUCACCGGCAUCACACCAUGAUUUCCAUCAUCAUGAUCUCCAUCAUCGUGUUGCCAUCGAGGUUGUCACGCCAACCAUGCUUCUAUUACUAUUGCUAUCGUUUAGUGAUAAAGUAAAGCAUUACAUAGCGCUUAAUGAUUGACACGCAGGUCAUACAAUAAUUUAAGACAACCCUAUGGCUCCUGCCGGUUGUCGUAUUCAUCGACAUGCAAGUCAACACAAACUAUUACAAACAUGAUCGUCUCAUACAUCAAAUAUAUUUCAACAUGCCUUUGGCCAUAUCCCAUCACAACAUACCCUGCAAAAACAAGUUAGACGUCGUCUAACUUGUUGUUGCAUGUUUUACAUGGCUGCUAUGUGUAUCCAACAAGAACGGUUCUUACCUAUGCAAAACAACAACUGUGAUAUGGAAGUUGCUAUUUAACCUUCUACAAGGACUGCCUUCAUCGAAUUCGAUUCAACUAAGGUGCGAGCGACAGACACCAGCCAACCAUCUUAUGCAACAAAGUCACAUGUCUAUCGAAUGAACCGGUCUCAUGUAUGUGGACAGGUAAAGUUGGUCUGGGCCGCUUCAUCCCACAAUUCUGCUAAAUCAAGAAAAGACCAAGGAAGGAAGCAAUCUGAAUAACAAUACCGAUAAACUCCUUUGUGUUCUACUCAUGAUGUCAUCUGCGCAUAGCCCUAGCUCUGGUACCACUGUUGUUGGAAGUUGCAUGGGAAAGAAAAAAAUUCCUACACUCACCAAGAUCAAUUUAGGAGAUGAACAUCUACGAGAGGAGAGAUUUACUCUACAUAAACUUGUAGAUCACUAAGAGGAAGCGCUAAGAAACAUGGUUGAUGUAGUCAAACAUCUUCGCGAUCCAAUCAUGAUACGUCUCGCAAACUCCUGAUCUAGUGCCAAACGGACGGCACCUAUGCGUUCAACACGCGCACGGCUAAUUGAUGCCUUCACCUCCUUGAUCCAACAAGAAAUGGAGAAGUAGUAUUUCAAGUCCUCCAACAACACGAUAUCGUGGCGGCGGUGGUGGUGGAGGAAUUUCAGCAGAGCUUUGCUAAGCACUACGCGGAAGGAGAAGGACUACGAGGGAGAAGACAGGCAGCGACACGACACAGAUGUGUCUGUCUGCCCUCCUUCUACCCCCAUAUAUAUAGGGGGAAGGGAGGAGGUGGGGAUGCCCUAUGGGUUCCCUUAGGAGGCGGCGGCCACCAUAGAUGGGGGCGCCCCUAGGGAAACCCUAGGGUGUCUUUCCCCCCAAGCUAGGUGGAGGCAGCCCUAGGGGAUUGCCCCAACCCUUCCGUCAUGGUGGGAUUGGGUGUGGGGGCGCACAACCCCUUAGUGGGCCGGUGUGCUCCCUCCCCUUGUCCCAUGAAGCGCCCAACACUUACCUGGCCCCCCAGAAACCCCUUUCUGUACUCCGUCGAUUCCCGCGGUACCCCUGGAACAAUUCCGGACUCCGAUACCCUUCGUCCUAUAUAUCAAUCUUCACCUCCAAACCAUUCUGGAGUUCCUCGUCAUGUCAGGGAUCUCAUUCGGGAAUCCGAACAAUCUUCGGUAACCACCAUAUGACCCAACUAUACUUAUAUCGUCAACAAACGUUAAGUGUGUAGACCCUGCGGGUUCGAGAACUAUGCACACAUGACCGAUACACCUCUACGGUCAAUGACCAAUAACAUGACCUGGAUGCCCAUGUUGGUUCCUACAUAUUCUACGAAGAUCUUUAUCAGUCGAACCUCGAUGUCAAGGUUUCAGGCAAUCCCGUAUGAAGUUCCCUUUUUCCAUUGGUAUGUUACUUGCCUGAGAUUCGAUCAUUGGUAUCUCCAUACCUAGUGCAAUCUCGUUACCGGCAAGUCUCUCUAUUUUGUAAUACAAGAUCCCGUGGCUAACUUCUUAGUCACAUUGAUUGCAAGCUUAUUGUGAUGUUGUAUUACCGAGUGGGCCCUGAGAUACCUCUCCAUCAUACGGAGUGACAAAUCCCAGUCUCGAUCCAUGCCAAUUCAAUAGACACCCUUGGAGACACCUGUAGAGCAUCUUUAUAGUCACCCAGUUACGUUGUGAUGUUUGAUACACACAAGGCACUCCUCCGGUGUUAGUGACUUGCAUGAUCUCAUGGUCAUAGGAACAUAUAAUUGACAUGCAGAAAACGAUAGCAAUAAACUUGACAAGAUCAUAUGCUACAUUCAUAGUUUGGGUCUUGUAAAUCACAUCAUUCUCCUAAUGAUGUGAUCACGUUAUCAAAUGACAACUCAUGUCCAUGACCCGGAAACCAUGGCCAUCUUUGAUCAACGAGCUAGUCUGGUAGAGGCUCACUAUGGACACGUUGUUUGUCUAUGUACCCACACAUGUAUUUUAAUUUCCAAUCAAUACAAUUAUAGCAUGGAUAAUAAACGAUUAUCAUGAACAAGGAAACAAAAUAAUGACCAUUUUAUUAUUGCCUCCAGGGCGUAUUUCCAACACUUCCGAUGAUUUUGUGAGUAGUUUACGAUAGCCCUUCGGGUCUAUAGCUAGAAUCUAGAUGGCUUCUUCUCUCUCUUUGAUCUUCAAUCCAAAGUUCUUCUCAAUGUUCUUGGAGUUCUAUCCAAUGUAAUCUCCUUUUGCGGUGUGUUUGCUGGGACCUGAUAAAUUAUGAGUUUAUGAUCAGAUGAUUCAUGAGAAUAUUUGAUUCUUCUUUGAACUCUUUUAUGUGUGAUUAUUUUAGCUUUGUAUUUCUCUCCAAUCUAUCGAUUUGGUUUGGCCAACUAGAUUGGUUUAUCUUGCAGUGGGAGAGGUGCUUUGUGAUGGGUUCAAUCCUGUGUUGCUCAAUCCUAGUGACAGAAACAGACAUGGCACAUAUUUGUAUUGUUGACAUUAAGGAUAAAAAUAUGGGGGUUAAUCAUAUUGCUUGAAUUUACUUUGUCUACAUCAUGUCAUCUUGCUUAAGGCGUAACUCUAUUUUAUACCUAAAACUCUAGAUGCAUGCUGGAUAGCAGUCGAUGGGUGAAGUAUAGUAAUAGAUGCAGGCAGGAGUCGGUCUACUUGCAUCGAAUGUGAUGCCUAUAUACAUGAUCAUUGCCAUGAAUCCUUCAUAAUUAUUUGCUUUUCUAUCAAUUGCCCAACAGCAAUUUGUUUACCCACCGUAUGUUCUACGAUCAAGAGAGAAGCAUCUAGUAAAAACUAUGGCCCCUGGGUGUACUUUUAUCAUAUAUAAAAAAACACAAAAAUACCUAGCUGCAAUUUAUUUACUUUUAUUUUAUUUUGUAUUUUACUUUAUCCAUCUAUCACUACCAGAAUUAAUCAUUGAAAAUAACGUCUACGAGGAUUGACAAGCCUCUUAUUUGCGUUAGGUGUCGGUGUUUGCUUUUGUGUGUGCAGGUGCUGUUAACAAGGUUUUGUGUGGUUCACCUACUGGAUUGAUAACCUUGAUUCUUAACUUAGUGAAAUACUUAUUUGUACUAUACUUCAUCAUCCUCUCCUCCUUGGGGAAUUAACAACACAGUCUACAAGUAGCACUCUCCAUUGAAAUGUUAAAUUGUAAUUAGUCCUUACUCCCGAAUUAAUAGUACUUCAAUUUGAAACAAGUUUCGUACAUGUUAAUUAUGUUAUGUUCAUAUAAUACUACACUUCCUAAAUAAGUAGACGUCACAUAACAUUGAGAUUGUAGUUAGGGAUGGAAAUCAAAAUAGGGCAUGAAUGUAACAAUUGCGAGCAAUGUGCUUCAGAAAAGAACUUAUUUGUCUUUUAUUCCCAUGUUUGGACUAGUACAGGUCGGGGUUACACAUGAUGGUGCACAUCACUUUAUUUAUCAUUGUUACAUUAUGCUCCAUUAACUAACAACGAUGAUUCACCCUUCUAGUAUUACAUCUCUUCAUUUCAUAGGCCACUGAUACUUAUAACGUCGCUCCCAGAUGGUUGUUGUUGUGGAUAUUGUUGGUAUGGGGAAGGUUCUUGUGAUUGCUGGGGUGGGUAUGGUAUUGGAAAUUGUUGUUGGGGGAAUUGUUGUGGUGGUUGCUGGGGGAAUUGUUGUUGGGGGAAUUGUUGUUGUUCAGGGGAUUGUUGUGACCGGGGGAAUUGUUGNNNNNNNNNNNNNNNNNNNNNNNNNNNNNNNNNNNNNNNNNNNNNNNNNNNNNNNNNNNNNNNNNNNNNNNNNNNNNNNNNNNNNNNNNNNNNNNNNNNNNNNNNNNNNNNNNNNNNNNNNNNNNNNNNNNNNNNNNNNNNNNNNNNNNNNNNNNNNNNNNNNNNNNNNNNNNNNNNNNNNNNNNNNNNNNNNNNNNNNNNNNNNNNNNNNNNNNNNNNNNNNNNNNNNNNNNNNNNNNNNNNNNNNNNNNNNNNNNNNNNNNNNNNNNNNNNNNNNNNNNNNNNNNNNNNNNNNNNNNNNNNNNNNNNNNNNNNNNNNNNNNNNNNNNNNNNNNNNNNNNNNNNNNNNNNNNNNNNNNNNNNNNNNNNNNNNNNNNNNNNNNNNNNNNNNNNNNNNNNNNNNNNNNNNNNNNNNNNNNNNNNNNNNNNNNNNNNNNNNNNNNNNNNNNNNNNNNNNNNNNNNNNNNNNNNNNNNNNNNNNNNNNNNNNNNNNNNNNNNNNNNNNNNNNNNNNNNNNNNNNNNNNNNNNNNNNNNNNNNNNNNNNNNNNNNNNNNNNNNNNNNNNNNNNNNNNNNNNNNNNNNNNNNNNNNNNNNNNNNNNNNNNNNNNNNNNNNNNNNNNNNNNNNNNNNNNNNNNNNNNNNNNNNNNNNNNNNNNNNNNNNNNNNNNNNNNNNNNNNNNNNNNNNNNNNNNNNNNNNNNNNNNNNNNNNNNNNNNNNNNNNNNNUUGUUGUUGCGGGGAUUGGUGUUGUUGGGGGAAUUGCUGUUGCUGGGGGAAUUGUUGUGGUUGCUGGGGGAUUUGAUGUUGUUGGGGGAUUUGUUGUUGCGGGAUUUGUUGUUGUUGGAGGAAUUGUUGUUGUUGGGGGAAUUGUUGUGGUUGCUGGGGGAUUUGAUGUUGUUGGGGGAUUUGUUGUUGGGGGAAUUGUUGUUGUUGGAGGAAUUGUUCUUGUGGAGUAUGCAAUUCCUUGCCUCUAGUGCUUAGCAGCCUACUGGCACUGGCGAUGUUCAUCGCCAUGGCAAGGAGGACAAAUAUGAUGAAGGUCUUCAUGUUUGAUUUGUGUUUACUAUUGCUCACUUGGCUUUGGUGUUUCAACUCUAGGUCCUUGAAGGUUAGAUGAUGGAAGAGACCCUCAUGGUGUAGUCGUAUUUAUAGCUGGCAUCGCACAUUUGUUUUUGAUCUUCACACUCGUUUCUUGAAAAAGUGCUCUUAAGCUUAUCGACCUAAUAAUUUUCUAUGUUGUGUUUGAUGGCACUACUUACUAGCGUGACUUUGGAUUGUUCAUCAUAGUUGAUUGUUCUUUCUCAUAUCAUCUGGGCGUAUCAAAUGCUUGAUAACGCAUAAUGACUCAUCGUAUUCACUUUACACUUCAAAUAUUGAUCUAGAUUGUGUCCGUCUUUCUGAUUUAGCUUGUGCUGUUCUGCAUGUUGUUAGGUAUAUCCAGAUUGGCAUAACUUAAGGGAACUAAGUUUGUAAUCUUCACACUCGCUUCUUGAAAAAGUGCUCUUAAGCUUAUCAAUUACCUAAUAAUUUGGUAUGUUGUGUUUCAUGGCACUACUUACUAGUGUGAUUUUGGAUUGUUCUUCAUAGUUGAUUGUUCUUGCACAUAUCAUCUAGGUGUAUGGAAUGCUUGAUAAUGACAAAUGACUCAUCGUAUUCACUUUACACUUCAAACAUUGAUCUAGAUUUUGUCCCUUGCUCCGAGUUAGUUUGUCAUGUUCUAUAUGUUGUUAGGCGUAUCCAGAUUGGCAAACUUAAGGGAACAAAGUUUGUAAUCUUGUGUGUGUCAUUGAGAUAGAUCACACUAUUAAUGCGAAGAUUGUUCUAUACACAAUUUUUUCUGAACUAACUUUAUAUUUUUUGUACAAUAUAUAUGUAAGAUGGAUAAGCAUAGAUGACUCAUCGUAUUACCUUUUCAUAUGGAGCGGUUGUAUUGUUAUAUGAGUUACUAAUAGAAAACAAAGUAUUAGGGCUUUGCGUGGCUUGAUUGAUUCACUCCACGUAGACAUGAACAUUUCUUUUGUAUUUCAUUCGUUGGUUAAUCUAAGUUUGUACAUAUUGUUUCAAGUUGUUCAUAUAGUUUCUAGGUUUCUUUUAUUGAAUUUAUUACCACCAGUAUAGGAAGCUAUUAGUACUAUGAUUGUUGAUACUGAUACAGAACAAAGAGGAAAGAUAGAGCAAUAUACAGUUGAUUUUGUCUGGUAAUUAUAUAAGUGUCUUUUUUUCUAUUUUCUUGUAAGCAAGGAACCUACAAAAAAGAAAUGAAAUAAGUUCUCCUUCUACACGAUACGUGAAUAAAUGAAUUUAGGACAUAUCAUGCCUGACUGAAUGGGAACUGGCCUAUCGCCGUCAUGUAGCAAACACAAGCCAUAAUGCCGAUACACUUGGCUCAUGCAACAUGCACACGUGAACAAAAGAAGAGCCUAUCAGUAUAUUUAUAUUUUUUACUUCUUUUAUCCUUGGCCAUAUUAUUCAUACAUAUGGUUGCAUCGAAUCAAUUGACUUGUCAAUGCCAUGGACCAGCUAGCAUACUAAUGUUUUUGUGUGUGUGGCUUUAGCUGUUGCAAAACCUCUACAUAUGUUUUUUUUCAUUCCUUUACCCUCUACCACUUAUUUUCAGAUUGAUGGAAAGUGAAGUUUGAGACAAGGAAACAAAACACGAUUACAUCCUCCUCCAUGCAGCUUCGUGGAGGCUAAUUAUAAUUGAAACUCCUGUUAAUCGCACUGGAUGUCAUGCCAGAUUCGUGUAGAAUUUGCCGGAUCGAUUGACUAGGGUUUGACCCUUGGAUUUUUAACCUUGUACGUCGUAAUUUUUGUUGUACAUGGAUUAGUAAAGGUCUAUAGUCGAUCCACCAUCAUCACUAUGAAUCAGUAUUACAGAUUCAGAACAGGUCUUUGUCAGAGAAGGAAGUAGGAGUAGCCAAUGAUACAGGAAAAAGCCAGCGAGACCUGCCUGCCUGGCUGUGAACAGUUCAUCUCCUUCUUGCUAUUAAUGUUGUGUUAAAAUACCUAACUAGCUAGCUAGCAAAUCAUAGGUUGUCCUUCUCUAAAAAAAACUGUAGAAAGUUCUUUAAAUGUAGUUAAUUAAACAAGUGAAAUUUUAAAAGAAAAAUUAUUUUGAAGUUGUUGGCUUGUUUGUUGUUGCUAUUGUUUUCGUUGUUCUCGAAACAGGCUUUCACACUGCUUUAUAAAUAAAGCAAUAUCCAAAGAUGUACACGGCCGAAUGAUACAAUAUGGUGAGGUAGCCCCUACAAAGCCGAUCUUGAGAUAUCACGCACACGCGCACACGACUACGCUACCAGCAACAAGCACCGAAAGAACUAAACAUCCUCACGCUACGAACUAGCACACCAAAGCUCCACGAGAACGCCCCCAAGAGGGAGAAUGGCAUAGAGCGUCGCCGCUGCCAAGUCCAUACCGGACAAAGGUCUACACUUGGAGACCUGACACGGAGAGAAGAAGCACAACAACGUCUUCAAGAAGAGCGCGACACCCAUGAGUGUCGUCGGUGGCGGUGCCCAGGCAUGGAGCUUUCGCUUGGCAACUCACCCGUGCCACCAUGAGGUCCUCAAGAGUAGCGCCGCGAUGUUCAAUCCCAUGAUCUUGAUUAGGACGCUGCCCCUCCGAAAGAGAAGGCACGUCUGAGCUUAUAACCGCAACACCUACCGUUGCCCACACAACCCGGGAGGGGAGCCACCACAACCGGAAUAAUGCCCGCCAAAGAGCAACCAUGUGGCCCGCCAUCAGGGGACGCCAACCCAGUAUCACUGUCGCGAGAUACCAUACACCACUCACAUUACAAUGCAACCAACCAUGGUAGGAAGAGAGACAACACUCCGUCUACUCCUACCCUAGCCUAUGUCCCAAUGUUUGGUUAGGCGCCUCCACCAUAGGACGCACCCACACCUGCAUCCCCAGCCAAUGCUCCAUGGACUAGGGGGGCCACCGGCGAGCCAACCUCGAGCCCUUGGUCAGGCGAGCUCACACGACGCCAUGUCCGUGUUCUCUGACACUGAUCCUCUCAUGAAUGCAAUGCUAACACAACUAUCACCACCGAGCAGCACCCAAGCUGGCUCGCUUCGCAAUGCACAAAUCAUGGCAGGUAAAGCCCGGCAUCAGUCACCAGCCAGUGACUGCCGACGGCCAUUGUUGAGGCCAGCUCAGACGCCAAGUCUGUGAACUGAGGCACUGGUCCGCCAGCCGACACAAUGUAUGCCUGACCACCACAUCCAUGAACCAUCACCGAUGCUACAACGUGUGGAGGUGCCUCCCCCAACCUAGCUUCAAGCAUCCACCUUGGCUUGACUGGCAGCGACCCAGUGCCGAGAAAUCCUACUACAAGGCGACUACGCACCGAACCUCAUGUGAUGAGAAACCAACCCCGACAAGGACGACCAUAUCAAAAUCCAUGCCCGGUGGCUAGUCUGCGUCACCAGCCCGCUGCCUACAUAUGCACCCAGACAAGGCGGGCGCCGCCCCAUCAAGAGGGGGGCCGCUUAGAGCAGCUGGCAACUCCGGUCGCUGAGCAGCUACACCAAUGCUAACCCCACCUCUCCAUUGACACCCCCCGCCUAGAUCCAUCGCCGCCAGCCAAAACCAUGGCCACCACCCAUCGCCUCUUGUCAUGCCUCCACGCCUGUGAGAGAGACUGCCGAAACCCACCAUCACCAGCUGUCGUGCUCAGAAGAGGGAGAACUGCCACCAUCGCCUUGUGCCGCUUGUCACAAGUUGGCAGCAGAUCCACACUGCCAUAGCUAUCACAUGCCUGCCUACACAGUAGGAUUUGCUAGGUUUUACCAUGUCUGUACAAUUCUUUUUUCCUAUUUUCUCCAAGAUGUUGUUUUUAAAAUUUGCUUGCAGGUUUAAGGAAAGGAGGAGUUCACUAUCACCACCACCUCGUGCAAGGGGAUGUCAGCAUCAGUCAUCUUUACCAUCAUCCACCUCCAUCCCAUUGUAAUACCAAACCCAUGUGGAUCCAUACAUGUAUUAUCCGUGUGUUUCAUCCAUGUUUACCACCACUAUUUCCACUGCAAAUUAUGAUUUUUGACUCAAGUUGAGGGGGUCAUUUUCCUUCAAAUUUAGAACCUUGUUUGAUGGGUCAUGAUUUGUGAGAGGAUACUUUUUGUCCCGCUAAGAUUGUUAUUGGAGAUAAUUGGUACUUAAACUCAUUUUGUGAAUGGAACAUCAAAGGCGAAAAGUGCAUAAGUAAUCAAUUAUUCUCACUAUAAAUGAACAAUGAAAUCUGGCAUGGAGUUCGUGGAAAACAUAAACACCUAGUUUGAUGUAGAUGCAUGUCAGAUAAGAUGGUUACAAACUCAUGGAGCUCUACAUUGAAGUGUUAUAUUUCAAUUACUCCUUACUCCCUAAUUAAUAGUACUUUAAUUUGGACCAAGUUUCACACACGUUAAGUAUGUUAUGUACAAAAUGAAUGAAACCUUGAUAAGGAUUUGACAUGGAAAGUGAAUAAGGUGCGUCAGUUUUUUCUCAAAAUAAAAUACCAAGCACCAUGCUUUCGUGACAACCAUACGAUCUUUUGCACAACUAGCCAAACAAAUUUUGAUGAUCAAUCCUAUAUUAAACUUGUGGCUAGUGCAACCUGACAGAAUAUACAAAAUGAUCCAUUUCAUAAGCAUGCAUGCAAAAAAAUUGGAAAAUGAAUGAAAAAAUUAAUCGCUAGCUGGAAUUUCAUUCAAUCAUCCCAUCCAAGCUGGUAGAACCACACUGACUGCAAUCCGACAUCUACAUAACAAGAUGUCCACAACCCAACACGUCCAAAACAAAAAGAUAAAAAAAUGCAAAGACGGCAAGAGGUUAUGCCAUAAAUGGACUUGUGCCGCAAAUAUCAUCACAAGUACAAAACACAAAUAGAAACAACAAAGACAAGUAGCAGCAGUCAAGAGCAAUUCACCACAAAGACACAUCCCCAUCCUUUCCCUCACCACCAUUGCAUCGGCUAGCGCCAAUGAACAGCUCGAGGGCAGCAGGAUCAAUGCUAGUGAAAGCAUUUCACCGACUUCAUUUUGCUAAGAAAGUCCAUGCAAUGAGUCGACAUGAAAGAAAGUGUUUAGUUAGUUCAAAUACAGAUAUCCUGAGAGCAGCCUAAUAAAUGAGAAAACCUGUGUCGGUCAUUCAUCACCAAAAUCCAUGUAAACGCACUUGGAUGGAUCGUGCAGUCAGGAACAAAAGUCCAAGGGGGCGACCUAUAUAUACAGUUUAUUUGCUUGGUAACUCUGGUUUAGCACUAUCUUUUUUCCUUAUCCUUGUCCAUUUUAUCCCUGCAGAAAAUAGCCAAAUGAGGAAGCAAAGGGAAGUGUUUGAUUAGUUCUCCAUGAAACGAGAAUAAAUGAAUUUCGGACAAAGUAUGGCUGAACUGCGAAAUCCAUAGAUUGGCCUAACUGAAUUGGGAAACUUGUCUCCAUCAUGCAGCUGACAAGAGCCAUACUGCUGAUACACUUGGCCCAUGCAACAUGCAUGCAUGAUUAUAAGGAGAACAUCCAUUAUUCUCUAAUUUAAAUGAGUAACAGUCUCGUAGUAAACAAGAUCCAGAUAUAAUGUUCAUGCUCGACGCAGGCACUAAAUAACAAAUAUUCUGGUUCAUCACUAAUCCCGAUUGUAAUCGAAGAGCGAGCGUGCCGACGGUGAUCACAUCAACCUUGGAACCAUUUCCCACACGCAUCAUCACUUCGUUUUUCACCAGCCUCCGUCUAUUUCGUAGUUCCUGCUUUGGGUUGCAAAUGUGAGCAACUGAACCGGUAUCAGAUACCCAGGCACUACAACAAGAGUUGGUAAGGAACACAUCUAUAACAUAUAUAUAUAUAUAUAUAUAUAUAUAUAUAUAUCAUAUAUAUCAUAUAUAUCUUGUUUGGCGUUGGCCCCUUCUUGUCGGCCAGGCUUGGGGAAAUUCCGCUUCCAGUGGCCAGUCUCGUUGAAAUAGAAGCACUCAGUUUCCGGCUUGGGCCCAGCCUUGGGUUUCUUCACGGGAGAGGCAACUACUUUGCCACUCUUCUUGGAGUUACCAUUCUUGCCCUAGCCAUUCUUCUUGAAACUAGUGGUUUUAUUGACCAUCAACACUUGAUGCUCUUUCUGGAUGUCUAACUCAGCGACUUUCAGCAUCGCAAACAGCUCGGAGACUGACUUGUUAAUCCCUUGCAUGUUAUAGUUUAGCAAAAAGCACUUGUAGCUAGGUGGUACUGAUUGAAGAACUUUGUCAGUGAUCGCUUCUGGUGGGAGCACAACUCCCAACUUAGCCAGACGGUUGUAAUACCCAGACAUUCUAAGUAUGUGUUCACUGACAUACCCGUUCUCGUCCAUCUUGUAAGCAAAGAACUUAUCGGAGGUCUCAUACCUCUCGAUCCGGGCAUUCCUUUCAAAAAUGAACAUCAACUCCUCGAACAUCUCAUAUGCUCCAUGGCAUUCAAGAUGUCUUUGAAGUCCCAGUUCUAAGCCAUGCAACAUAGCACACUAAACUAUUGAGUAGUGAUCCACAUGCGCUUGCUAGGUGUUCAUAACAUCCAUAGACGUCGGAGGGGGUUGCACACCAAGCGAUGCAUGAAGGACAUAAGCCUUUUGUGCAGCCAUGAGGAUAAUUCUCAGAGUACAGGCCCAGUCUACAAAGUUACUUCCAUCAUCUUUCAGCUUGGCUUUCUCUAGGAACGCAUUGAAAUUCAGGGAAGCUAUUGUGCGAGCCAUUGAUCUACAACAUAAAUUUGCAAAGUCAACUUAGACUAUUGUUCAUGAUAAAUGAGUUCAAAUAAUCAUAUUACUUAAAACUCCCACUCAAAUUGACAUCCCUCCGGUCAUCCGAGUAUAACAUGAUGAAAAUUCACCAACCCAAGUCCGAUCAUAAUGUGAGAUGAGGUGGUUUCAAUGGUGAACAUCUCCAUGUUGAUCAUAUCUACUAUAUGACUCAUGUUCGACCUUUCGGUCUGUUGUGUUCCGAGGCCGUAUCUGUACAUGCUAGGUUCGUCAAGUUUAACCCGAGUGUUUCGCAUGUGCAAAACUGGCUUGCACCCUUUGUAUGUGAAUGUAAAGUCUAUCACACCCGAUCAUAAUGUGGUGCUUAGAAAUGACAAACUUCCGCAAUGGUGCACACUCAGGGAGAACACAAUUUUGUCUUGAAAUUUUAGUGAGGGAUAACUUGUAAUGCUACCAUCGUCCUAAGAAAAAUAAGAUGCAUAAAAGGAUUAACAUCACAUGCAAAUCAUAAGUGGCAUGAUAUGACCACCAACUUGUGCUUUUGAUCUCCAUCUCCAAAGCAUCGGCAUGAUCUCCAUCGUCACCGGCUUCACACCAUGAUUUCCAUCAUCAUGAUCUCCAUCAUCGUGUUGCCAUCGAGGUUGUCACGCCAACCAUGCUUCUAUUACUAUUGCUAUCGUUUAGUGAUAAAGUAAAGCAUUACAUAGCGCUUAAUGAUUGACACGCAGGUCAUACUAUAAUUUAAGACAACCCUAUGGCUCCUACCGGUUGUCGUAUUCAUCGACAUGCAAGUCAACACAAACUAUUACAAACAUGAUCGUCUCAUACAUCAAAUAUAUUUCAACAUGUCUUUGGCCAUAUCACAUCACAACAUACCCUGCAAAAACAAGUUAGACGUCGUCUAACUUGUUGUUGCAUGUUUUACAUGGCUGCUAUGUGUAUCCAACAAGAACGGUUCUUACCUAUGCAAAACAACAACUGUGAUAUGGAAGUUGCUAUUUAACCUUCUACAAGGACAGCCUUCAUCGAAUUCGAUUCAACUAAGGUGCGAGCGACAGACACCAGCCAACCAUCUUAUGCAACAAAGUCACAUGUCUAUCGAAUGAACCGGUCUCAUGUAUGUGGACAGGUAAAGUUGGUCUGGGCCGCUUCAUCCCACAAUUCUGCUAAAUCAAGAAAAGACCAAGGAAGGAAGCAAUCUGAAUAACAAUACCGAUAAACUCCUUUGUGUUCUACUCAUGAUGUCAUCUGCGCAUAGCCCUAGCUCUGGUACCACUACUGUUGGAAGUUGCAUGGGAAAGAAAAAAAUUCCUACACUCACCAAGAUCAAUUUAGGAGAUGAACAUCUACGAGAGGAGAGAUUUCCUCUACAUAAACUUGUAGAUCACUAAGAGGAAGCGCUAAGAAACAUGGUUGAUGUAGUCAAACAUCUUCGCGAUCCAAUCAUGAUACGUCUCGCAAACUCCUGAUCUAGUGCCAAACGGACGACACCUAUGCGUUCAACACGCGCACGGCUAAUUGAUGCCUUCACCUCCUUGAUCCAACAAGAAAUGGAGAAGUAGUAGUUCAAGUCCUCCAACAACACGAUAUCGUGGCGGCGGUGGUGGUGGAGGAAUUUCAGCAGAGCUUUGCUAAGCACUACGCGGAAGGAGAAGGACUACGAGGGAGAGGACAGGCAGCGACACGACACAGAUGUGUCUGUCUGCCCUCCUUCUACCCCCAUAUAUAUAGGGGGAAGGGAGGAGGUGGGGAUGCCCUAUGGGUUCCCUUAGGACGCGGCGGCCACCAUAGAUGGGGGCGCCCCUAGGGAAACCCUAGGGUGGCUUUCCCCCCAAGCUAGGUGGAGGCAGCCCUAGGGGGUUGCCCCGACCCUUCCGUCAUGGUGGGAUUGGGUGUGGGGGGCGCACAACCCCUUAGUGGGCCGGUGUGCUCCCUCCCCUUGUCCCAUGAAGCGCCCAACACUUACCUGGCCCCCCAGAAACCCCUUUCCGUACUCCUUCGAUUCCCGCGGUACCCCUGGAACAGUUCCGGACUCCGAUACCCUUCGUCCUAUAUAUUAAUAUUCACCUCCAGACCAUUCUGGAGUUCCUCGUCAUGUCGGGAAUCUCAUUCGGGAAUCCGAACAACCUUCGAUAACCACCAUAUGACCCAACUAUACUUAUAUCGUCAACAAAAGUUAAGUGUGUAGACCCUGAGUGUUCGAGAACUAUGCACACGUGACCGAUACACCUCUACGGUCAAUGACCAAUAACAUGACCUGGAUGCCCAUGUUGGUUCCUACAUAUUCUACGAAGAUCUUUAUCAGUCGAACCUCGAUGUCAAGGUUUCAGGCAAUCCCGUAUGAAGUUCCCUUUUUCCAUUGGUAUGUUACUUGCCUGAGAUUCGAUCAUUGGUAUCUCCAUACCUAGUGCAAUCUCGUUACCGGCAAGUCUCUCUAUUUUGUAAUACAAGAUCCCGUGGCUAACUUCUUAGUCACAUUGAUUGCAAGCUUAUUGUGAUGUUGUAUUACCGAGUGGGCCCUGAGAUACCUCUCCAUCAUACGGAGUGACAAAUCCCAGUCUCGAUCCAUGCCAAUUCAAUAGACACCCUUGGAGACACCUGUAGAGCAUCUUUAUAGUCACCCAGUUACGUUGUGAUGUUUGAUACACACAAGGCACUCCUCCGGUGUCAGUGACUUGCAUGAUCUCAUGGUCAUAGGAACAUAUAAUUGACAUGCAGAAAACGAUAGCAAUAAACUUGACAAGAUCAUAUGCUACAUUCAUAGUUUGGGUCUUGUAAAUCACAUCAUUCUCCUAAUGAUGUGAUCACGUUAUCAAAUGACAACUCAUGUCCAUGACCCGGAAACCAUGGCCAUCUUUGAUCAACGAGCUAGUCUGGUAGAGGCUCACUAUGGACACGUUGUUUGUCUAUGUACCCACACAGGUAUUUUAAUUUCCAAUCAAUACAAUUAUAGCAUGGAUAAUAAACGAUUAUCAUGAACAAGGAAACAAAAUAAUGACCAUUUUAUUAUUGCCUCCAGGGCGUAUUUCCAACACUUCCGAUGAUUUUGUGAGUAGUUUACGACAGCCCUUCGGGUCUAUAGCUAGAAUCUAGAUGGCUUCUUCUCUCUCUUUGAUCUUCAAUCCAAAGUUCUUCUCAAUGUUCUUGGAGUUCUAUCCAAUGUAAUCUCCUUUUGCGGUGUGUUUGCUGGGACCUGAUAAAUUAUGAGUUUAUGAUCAGAUGAUUCAUGAGAAUAUUUGAUUCUUCUUUGGACUCUUUUAUGUGUGAUUAUUUUAGCUUUGUAUUUCUCUCCAAUCUAUCGAUUUGGUUUGGCUAACUAGAUUGGUUUAUCUUGUAGUGGGAGAGGUGCUUUGUGAUGGGUUCAAUCCUGUGUUGCUCAAUCCUAGUGACAGAAACAGACAUGGCACAUAUUUGUAUUGUUAACAUUAAGGAUAAAAAUAUGGGGGUUAAUCAUAUUGCUUGAAUUUACUUUGUCUACAUCAUGUCAUCUUGCUUAAGGCGUAACUCUAUUUUAUACCUAAAACUCUAGAUGCAUGCUGGAUAGCGGUCGAUGGGUGAAGAAUAGAUGCAGGCAGGAGUCGGUCUACUUGCAUCGAAUGUGAUGCCUAUAUACAUGAUCAUUGCCAUGAAUCCUUCAUAAUUAUUUGCUUUUCUAUCAAUUGCCCAACAGCAAUUUGUUUACCCACCGUAUGUUCUACGAUCAAGAGAGAAGCAUCUAGUAAAAACUAUGGCCCCUGGGUGUACUUUUAUCAUAUAUAAAAAAACACAAAAAUACCUAGCUGCAAUUUAUUUACUUUUAUUUUAUUUUGUAUUUUACUUUAUCCAUCUAUCACUACCAGAAUUAAUCAUUGCAAAUAACGUCUACGAGGAUUGACAAGCCUCUUAUUUGCGUUAGGUGUCAGUGUUUGCUUUUGUGUGUGCAGGUGCUGUUAACAAGGUUUUGUGUGGUUCACCUACUGGAUUGAUAACCUUGAUUCUUAACUUAGUGAAAUACUUAUUUGUACUAUACUUCAUCAUCCUCUCCUCCUUGGGGAAUUAACAACACAGUCUACAAGUAGCACUCUCCAUUGAAAUGUUAAAUUGUAAUUAGUACUUACUCACGAAUUAAUAGUACUUCAAUUUGAAACAAGUUUCGUACAUGUUAAUUAUGUUAUGUUCAUAUAAUACUACACUUCCUAAAUAAGUAGACGUCACAUAACAUUGAGAUUGUAGUUAGGGAUGGAAAUCAAAAUAGGGCAUGAAUGUAACAAUUGCGAGCAAUGUGCUUCAGAAAAGAACUUAUUUGUCUUUUAUUCCCAUGUUUGGACUAGUACAGGUCGGGGUUACACAUGAUGGUGCACAUCACUUUAUUUAUCAUCGUUACAUUAUGCUCCAUUGACUAACAACGAUGAUUCACCCGUCUAGUAUUACAUCUCUUCAUUUCAUAGGCCACUGAUACUUAUAACGUCGCUCCCAGAUGGUUGUUGUUGUGGAUAUUGUUGGUAUGGGGAAGGUUCUUGUGAUUGCUGGGGUGGGUAUGGUAUUGGAAAUUGUUGUUGGGGGAAUUNNNNNN
RNAcentral lists this long non-coding RNA (95057 nucleotides) under Triticum aestivum (bread wheat). RNAcentral's name for it is "long non-coding RNA (TAES_LNC028382)". The stretch from base 3220 to 3354 matches the Rfam family "MIR1120/MIR1122 microRNA precursor family". Lineage: Eukaryota; Viridiplantae; Streptophyta; Magnoliopsida; Poales; Poaceae. The record is from RNAcentral.